This 166473-nucleotide long non-coding RNA is filed under the name Sorghum bicolor (sorghum). Its description in RNAcentral is "long non-coding RNA (SBIC_LNC010359)". The stretch from base 57842 to 57948 matches the Rfam family "Plant small nucleolar RNA R71". Lineage: Eukaryota; Viridiplantae; Streptophyta; Magnoliopsida; Poales; Poaceae. The record is from RNAcentral.
ACAUUUCUAUUUUUCCCCUGUGAAAUAAAUGCUCAAGUUAUCUUGGUUACUACCACUUGCUAUAUUAUUUCAAGAGAUGAGUGCUCUAUAAAAAAAGAUACGAGGAAAUAAAAAGGAACAAGUGCCCAGAACCUUGAUAGAAAAGAAAAAGUGAGAAGAGAGGUAAAAAUGGACAAGUGUCCGGCAGUAGAAUUAGGGGUACAAGAUACCCACCUGAGAGAAAAGAAAAAGAAAAUAUAGAGCAUCUUAUUCUCCAUAAAAGUUUCAAAAAAGCAAGAAAGGUAUGUAUCCCCUCAAAAGAGCAAAAGUAGAAUUAGACUUUCACCUUUGUUAUCACCAUCAUCACCAUACACCAUUCAUUCGCCACACAUGCACAUCUUGAUUUGACUUAUUGACUUGUUUCUCUGGAUCCAUGGUUUGACUAUACAAUAAAUGUCUUGUAAGUAUGUAUACUUUAUCUCCCACCUAUGAGCUCCAGAUAUCAAAGACUUAUUAGAGUAGGGUGAGAGAGAAGGCAACGCCACUAUGCCUUAUACCACAAAUACUACAUAUUUUGAGCAAAGGCAUGUACCAUCACUGCUUGGUAAGGAUGCAGAAAUACCACAAAAGAGAGAUCUGAGAGAGGCAUACAAGGAAUCUCUCAGUUUUAUUUGAAAAUCUGCAAAAACUCCAGAGCUAUAGCUGAUCAAGAAUAAGAGACAUGGCACUUGACUAGACUGUUCUAUCUUUUAACUGCUCAAGAUAGAAGUGACGGUUACAACUCCCAUGGUGAAAGGUAAAAUAAGUAAGUUUUAAGUCUUGACAGUUUACUCUAACUCAGAGAUGAGACCUCAUUUAAAAGCAAGUGUACCGUCAACUUUUAAAGGCAUUACAACAACUUCUGAUCCAUCACUGAGUCUAUCCUUGCUCAGGGACAAGCAAGAGGUAAGCUUGGGGGAGUUUGUUGACGGUCCUUAAGUAUCAAAUUUAAUUAUCAAAUAAACAAAGAAAAGGAUCCAAAUGCAACCGACACCCAGACUUAGGGUUUUAUUUGAUAGAAUUCCACGAGUUUUGGUGUUUGUCUAUUUCUGCAGCGGGUUAUCAGGAAAUAUGGAAGAAAGGCCCACACGUUGGGAUUACAUAGAGAUAUUAACAUGCCACGCAAUUAUCUUACAUCUAGAAGAGUACAGAAGCCACGGGAACGAACGGGAGACCGGACGGGCUCGCGGGCAGGGCGCCCGCCCUGCCCACGGGGCCAAUCAGCUUCAACUUCGCGGAUCAUGCUCCACCGACCUAAAGGAUCAAGGAAAACCGUGCGAUUAAUGUCGGUUUGAUCCGACGGCCCACAUUCACUUGGAAGGACUAUAUAACCAGACCCCCUGGCCCCUAGAGGAGAGGACCUCAGACCCCUAAUUCAUUAUUCAUCUUGGGAGAAGAAGCCUCUGAUCAAGCCCUAGAGCCACCACAUCAAUUAGAUCUCUAGAUUAGCAUAGCUACACAGGAAUGGAACUAGAAGGAGUCAAUCUUCGAUUGGUUUCCGGAUCUGUCAAGAGUAUUCUUGGUAAUUCCUCUAUUGUUCUUCAAUUGUUCAUCUUUGUUCUUCAAUAUUAUGAAUAUGACUUUGCUCUACUUCAAUAUAUUGAUUAUGACUUUGCUCUACUUGUUUAUAUUCGCAAUUAUAUUGUUCUUAGUUUACCAUAGUUAUAUACUUGGCUUAGUUAGAUUGGAAUUAUAUACAUGUUUAGGAUCGUAUAGCAUUUAUCCAUGUGUACAGUGGGUAAAUGAUAAGUAUUGUGUAGGCGUGGUGCCUAUACCGUAUUUAUCUAUGAUUGUACCCUAUAUGCCAGACCGCAGGAUAGUUCGUGGUAGUGACAGCUCCAUUGAUUCUUAUAUAGUCCCCCUCUCAUGUAUAGGGCUGGCAAAGCAACAUUAUUAUAGGGGAGUGAUUGCUAUGUUUCUCAUAUUCCUUGAUAAUAUCACUAUGCAUGGGCGUAGUCCUGUCUCGCAAUGAUUGCCAAGUAUAAUUGCACUAACUAUGAUAUGCUAGACUGUAUAGUUAAGAAUAACUUAGGAAAUAUUCUUGUAGUUCGUCCUAAUUCCAUGCUAAUGACUUGCUAGAAUAUCUAAUUGAGGUGCUUAUCAUAUUUAUAUGUGACUAAGUUAUGCUGAUUAGAUUAAUUAUCUUUGUCACCAUUCAUACUUUAUAUAUCUUUUAUGUGACACUUAUCCCUGUAUGAAAGAGAUAGAUAGAUGCUCUCAAUUAUACAUGCAAUGAUAGAUACUCAAUUCUAUAUUCCAUUCUAUAAUCAACAUUGAUGAUUACUAAUCCCUUCCUAGUGGUAAAAAUAUAAAUAACGAUACCUUGAAUACUUCCCGGUUAAAAUGCUACAUCGGUAUUAAUCUGUGCACUUGCAGAUCUCAUUUAUUAUUUAUUUAGAAGAGCAAUUGCAUAUUUCAAUACCGCGUCUCUCAUGUCAUACUGGGGAUGACAACUUGGCUUAAGUGGCAUGAGGGAUAGGUUUGGCAUUUUUGGCGCCGUUAUCAGAAUUAGAAAACUAAGUCUACUUUUGGUAGUGAUGUUAAGAAUGCCCAACAGGCUUCACAUCAUAUUCUAUAGUUUCUCAAACUCUUUGGAGAACUCGUAGAACAUAUUCUUUGUGUAUAUAGUGGAAGCAUGCUUCUCAAGCGGAUGCCUUGACCAUCGUCUUUGCUCAUUCUCAACAGACCUGAUGUCUUGCCCAUCCUAUGCAACUAGACAAUUUUCUUGUAUUUUAUGGUAUUGUCUCACAAACUAUAGCAUGGACAAGUUUGGGUUGACAUACUUCUUCAGCAAAGCAUUGAACCCCUCACUUCUUUGAGUCAACUUCAAGAAUCGGAAGAAACUAUUGAAAGGUCCAAAUGGCUAGAGGGGGGUGAAUAGCCUAUUUAAAUUUUCUACAAACUUCAACUAGACAAGUUGAUUAGUAAAACAAAAGGCAAAGCUAUUCUAGCACUAGCACAACUAAGCUAUGCAAGCCACCUAUACAAGUCUAGCAAGAAAGGUAAACACUAGUUACAACAAGAAAGCACAACUAGAAGCAUGCUACACUCUUAAACAAGAUAGCUAAACUAAACAAGCUACACAACUAGCAAUGUAUGCACAUAAGUAAAGGAGAUGGGAGUGAUUGUUAUACCAACGUUGUAGAGUAGAGAUAUAGCCAAUCAAUCAAUCACAAUUACAAGAGAAUCCUCGGCAAGAGAUGACACGAGAUUUUUUACCGAGGUUCACUUGCUUCCCGGCAAAGCUAGUCCUCAUUGUGGCCAUACACCCACUUGAUGGAUCACGAGCUAAUUGGCAAUCCAAAGCCAAACCCUUAGCGGGUACCGCACAUCCGCUCACAAGACGGGGAUCCUCUAAGCCACGAGCAGUCCACUAGAUUAGCCAAUUGCGAUCUCCUGCGGGGAAGGCUCAAGAACCCCUCACAAAUCACUUGGUGAGGCUCGAAACAAUCUCCAAUCACGAGCUCAACACCACCGCUGCUCCAAGCCGUCUAGGGCGUCAGGAAACACCCAAGAGUAACAAGAAAUCCACAGCAAACUCAAGAAUCAAGUGCCACUAAAUGCAAAUCUCAAAGCAAUGCACUUGAAUCUCACUCAAUCUCACUAGGAUUAGCAAUCAAGCAAGGAGAUGAGUGGAGGGAGUAUUCUCUAGCUCAAUGUAUGCCUCAAGUAUUCAAAUGUGCAAGAGUUAACCUCCCAAAGCCGGCCACCUUAUAUUUAUAAGCUCCCUCAAAGAACUAGCCGUUCGCCACUUUCACUGGGCUGAAAAUGGGGGCACCGGACGCUACCAAGUGAGCACCAGAUGCUCGACCCCCUGCGUCCGGUGCUCUAGGGUUGGCCACGUGUUCUCUUUUGAAUCUCGCGCGUCAGUCUCUAACGGCUACCUGCGAACCACCGGACAUGGUCAAGUGAGCACCAGACGCGUCCGGUACUCACCAGACCCAUGCGCAGAGAGUUCUGCAAACCGCGACCUCACCCGACUCGGAGCACAACACGCGUUCGGUGCUCACCGGACUUAUGUGCAGAGAGGGUUGCAAAAUGUGCUCACACCGGACACACACCACUAGAUGCACCCAAAGUGUCCGGUGCUCUCAGUUAGACACCCUCUGCUUAAGUUAGGCCACAUCGGACGCAUGAACAGGGAACACCCUGCGUUCGGUGCAGUGCGUUCGGUGCUCAACCCUAAUAGGGCCAAGCACUGACAGCACACCGGACGCUCAGGCCAGCGUUCGGUGCCUCUGCACCCUGGGUUCGGUGAGUGUUUCUCAGUGAGAAAUACUCCUGCGACUUCUCCAAAUUUUCCACCGGCGCAAUAGAAAAUAUGCACUUAAUUUUCUCAAAAGCGCCGAAUCCCCUCUCAACCCUAGGAACUCCACCUCCUUGUAAAGUGUGCUAACACCAAUAAGUGUCCACCACCAAAGUGCAUGUGUGUUAGCUUUUCACAAACAUUUUCAUCAAAUGAGUUAAGUUAGCACUUUACUAGAUCCUAAUGCAUAUCCUCAAGAUAUGGACCUAGUAGCACUUGAUUCGAGAGAUGACCGUGAUUUCCCCUCUUGAUAGUCAGCUAUCUGUCCUAAACCCGGUCAAUCACUUCUCUACUCAUCUUAGACCAGCAAAAGUAAAACCCUAUGUUUAUACCUUUGCCUUGAUAACUUUGCUCCUCAUCUACCAUGAUCUUUACUUCAUUCUUCAUCCCUUUGUGAUCAUAUGGCCACCUUUCCAUGCCACCAUGCACCUUCAUCACAUGUGUUGCUAUGCCUAACUAAAAUCACUUAAACGCAAGGCAUUAGCAACUUGGUGUCAUUAAUUACCAAAACCAAACUUGGGGUUUCAAUCUCCCCCUUUUUGGUAAUUGAUGACAACCAUCACAAAGAUAUGAAAUGAAAUCAUAAUGAACUUGAAUUGCUUGUCCAAAGCAUUUAAAUCAUGAGACAAGAUUGGACAACAAUUUCAAUUUUGGUUUUGGUAGUACUAGCUCCCCCUACAUAUGUGCUUUCAUGAGUUUGGUUCAAGUUUGCACAUAUGCAUGAAUUGGAAUUUUGGGAGAUUUAUUACUACCAAAAUGAUGCUAAGGUAUAUAGAAUGGACCUUUGAAGCGUGAUACCAAUCAGAGUUGCCAAUAUACCAUCCUUAGCACCAAUGUAGCUAGACAUACAUCAAAAACUCAAGAUACCUCAUGAGAUCACAUUAUAUGUCUAGAUACCACAUGAAAAUAAAAUUCUAUUCUAGAAUUCAAAGCAUCAUUCAAGUUCUAUUUCUACCAAGCACCAAUCAAACAAGAGUUGUGAAUUUGAACUUGCAAUGCAACACCUCAUUAUGUUAGUGCACAUUCAAAUGCAACAAUUGGUUCAUGAGCUUGCUCCCCCUAUUUGUGUGCUCAAGUUUAAAUGGUUUUCUCUCCUUUUUUGUUUCUCUCCCCUUUUUGACUUUAUCUUUGUUUCUCUCCCCCUUUGUCAUCAAUGACCACAAUGGUUCAAAGUUUUAGUGAGAAUUAAGUCAAUCAAUGUGAGGGUCAAAUUAUAGUUCAAUCUAGAUCACUUGCCUAAAACAUGUAAUUCGGUUUGAUCCAAGGACAAGCUUUUUCACACCUCAUGAAGUACAAGGGUUAUCUUGACCAUGUUGAAUUAAACAUCAUAAGCUCAUAUUCUAGAUUCAACACUAGGCUUGCAAGCUCACACACAUGUCAUAUGCUACCACUAGAUCAAACAACCAUAGAAACAAUAGUGGUACCAUACAUACAUCAAAUCCUUUUGAUUUUCAUGAAUGAGCCUAUUUUUCAUGCAAAUAUGUCUACAUGAGCUAAUCAUGUCCUUAGCAAAGUAUGAAUGCUAUGUCAACCAUCUUUACCUUGCUUUGUUGGAGGAGAGGCAUGUCAUAUAUAAAUGUAGGGGUGCACUCAUCUCAAGUUGGAGAAGUCAAGUAUGUUCAAUUCAUUUCUCAACUUGCAAAAUCUCUUCUCAUCAAGUGGCUUUGUGAAAAUGUCGGCUAGUUGAUCUUCGGUGCCAAUGCUUUCAAUGCUAAUAUCACCCUUUUGUUGAUGGUCCCUUAUGAAAUGGUGCCUUAUGUCAAUGUGCUUGGUUCCUGAAUGUUGAAACAGAUUUUGUGUCAUCUUGAUUGCACUUUCAAUGUCACAUAGCAAAGGCACAUUCUUGAAUUUGAUUCCAAAGUCAUUCAAAGUAGCUUUUGUCCAAAGCAAUUGUGCACAACAACUACCAGCCCUAAUGUAUUCAGCCUCGGUGGUUGAUAGUGCAACAUUAUUUUGUUUCUUUGAUGACCAAGAAACUAGAGACCUUCCUAGCAAUUGACAAGUGCCACUUGUGCUCAUUCUAUCAAUCUUGCAUCCACCGUAGUCGGAGUCCGAAUAACCAAUCAACUCAAAGUUAGACCCCUUGGGAUACCAUAAUCCAACAUCAUGAGUGCCCUUGAGAUACCUCAAUAUUCUUUUGGUUGCCUUCAAGUGACUUUCUUUAGGUGAAGCUUGGUAUCUUGCACAUUUGCACACACUAAACAUCACAUCGGGCCUUGAUGCAGUGACAUAGAGCAAACUUCUAAUCAUGGACCGAUAUAACUUUUGAUCUACCAUGUUGCCACUUGCAUCACUACCUACUUGAUCAUUUGUGCCCAUAGGUGUGCUCAUUGGUUUAGCUUCUUGCAACCCAAACUUAUUGAUCAUGUCCUUGAUGUACUUGCCUUGACUUACAAAAGUGCCAUUCUUCAUUUGCUUGAUUUGAAGACCAAGGAAGUAACUAAGCUCUCCUAUCAUGGACAUCUCAAACUCAUUUGCCAUCAUUCUUCCAAACUCUUCACAAAAGUCUUGAUUGGUUGAUCCAAAGAUGAUAUCAUCAACAUAGAUUUGCAUCGCAAACAAGUCAUUGCCAAGUUUCUUGGUGAAGAGGGUAGUGUCAACCUUUCCCAUUUUGAAUCCUUUAGAGAGAAGGAAAUCUCUCAAUCUCUCAUACCAUGCUCUAGGUGCUUGUUUUAAACCAUACAAUGCCUUCUUGAGCUUGUAAACAUGGUUGGGUUCCUUGUCAUCUUCAAAACCGGGAGGUUGUUCAACAUAAACCAACUCAUUGAUGUAUCCAUUGAGAAAUGCACUCUUCACAUCCAUUUGAUAGAGCUUGAUGUUGUGGGCACAAGCAUAGGCUAAUAAUAUUCUAAUUGCCUCCAAUCUUGCAACCAGUGCAUAUGUUUCUCCAAAGUCAAGACCUUCAACUUGAGUGUAGCCUUAUGCUACUAGUCUUGCUUUGUUUCUCACAACUACACCAUCUUGAUCUUGCUUGUUUCUAAAGACCCACUUGGUACCAAUCACAUUGUAGUUCUUUGGCCUGUCAACAAGCUCCCGCACUUGAUUUUUGUGAAGUUGUUCAAUUCUUCAUGCAUGGCAUUUACCCAAUCGGAAUCUUUCAAUGCAUCUUCUAUCUUCUUUGGUUCCUCAAAUGAGACAAAUGAGUAGUGCUCACAAAAAGAUGCUAGCCUUGAUCUUGUUUGUACACCACUUUGAAUACCACCAAUGACUUGAUCCAAUGGAUGAUCUCUUGCUAUGCUUGUAGGUUGGAGUAUUGGGAGUUGAUUGCUUCCACUAGCUUGAUUUUGAUCUUGAUCAUCAUCAUGAGAGCCACUAGUACUAGCUUGAUUUGAAUCAAUUUGCACUUCUUGAUUCAUCAUGUGAAUGUCACCAUUAUCAUCGUCUACUUGCCUCGGCCUUAUGUCACCUAUAUCCAUAUUCUUCAUUGCAUUUGCCAAUUGAUCUCCUCUCACAUCAUCAAGAUUUUGAACUUCAUUUUGAGAUCCCUCAGUUUCAUCAAACUCCACAUCAUGGACUUCUUCCAAUGUGCCAUUUGUCAAGUUCCAAACUCUAUAUGCUUUGCUUGUGGUGGAAUAACCAAGUAAGAACCCUUCAUCACAUUUCUUCUCAAAUUUGCUCAAUCUAGUGCCUUUCUUGAGAAUGUACCAUUUACAACCAAACACUCUAAAGUAUGCAAUGUUGGGAUUUCUUCCAUUCAAUAGCUCAUAUGGUGUCUUCCCAAGCUUCCCAUGGCAAUAGAGACGGUUGCUACAAUAGCAAGCAGUGUUGAUAGCUUCACUCCAAAAUGAAUGGCUAACAUUGUAUUCACUAAGCAUUGAUCUAGCCAUAUCAAUCAAGGUUCUAUUCUUCCUUUCAACUACACCAUUGGAUUGGGGAGUGUAUGUUGGAGAGAAUUGAUGUCCAAUGCCAAGAUCAUCACACAAUUCCACAAUUCUUGUGUUCUUGAAUUCACUACCAUUGUCACUUCUAAUCUUCUUGAUAGUGGUUUCAAACUCAUUUUGCACCCUCUUGACAAAAGACUUGAAUAGAUCACAAACAUCACUCUAGUCAUAGAGGAAGAACACCCAAGUGUAUCUAGUGUAGUCAUCUACUAUCACAAAUCCAUACUUUUUACCACCAAUGCUAGUAUAUGUUGUUGCCCCAAAUAAAUCCAUAUGCAAUAGCUCAAAUGCCUUUGAUGUGCUCAUUUCACUUUUCUUAGGAUGUGCAUUUCCAACUUGCUUUCCGGCUUGACAAGCACUACAUGGUUUAUCUUUCUCAAAUGUGACAUCCUUCAAGCCUCUAACUAAGUCAUGCCUCAAUAGUUUGUUCAAUUGUUUCAUUCCAACAUGACCAAGCCUUCUAUGCCACAACCAAACCAAACUUGAUUUGCUAAUUAGGCAAGAUGUCAAUUGAGUGUCACUAUCAUUGAAAUCAACCAAGUAUAAGCUACCAUGCCUAAAUCCUUUGAAUAUCAAAUUUGAUCCAUCAACACUAACCACCUCAACAUCAUCACUACCAAAAAUGCACUUGAAACCAAGGUCACAAAGUUGUGCAAUUGACAAGAGAUUGAAAUCAAGGCUCUCAACUAGCAACACAUUUGAUAUGCUCAUGUCAUUUGAGAUAUCAAUUUUACCAAGCCCCUUGACCUUGCCUUUCUUGUUGUUGCCGAAAGUGAUAGAAUCAAAGCCACCAUUUUGAUUUGUAUCAAUUGAUUUGAACAUACAAGACUCUUCGGUCAUAUGUUGAGUGCACCCACUAUCAAGCACCCAAUGCCUUCCUCCGGCUUUGUAAUUGACCUACAAGACGAGAUCAAUUCUUUUUAGGUACCCAAACUUGAUUGGGUCCUCCAAGGUUAGCAACUAAGCUCUUUGGUACCCAAAUGUCUUUCUUCUUUGAGCCCAUCCGUGGUGCACCAAUGAACUUAGCAGAAACACCUUUUGUAUCCUUGGUAAGCACAUAGAAAGAAUUAAGCUUAAUUGAGGAUACAUAAGCUUUGGGUUUCAUGUUCAUGCAUUGUUGCUCUUAGUGACCAACAUGCUUGCAAGCUUUGCAAUACCGGCCAUUGUUCUUCACAAAACUAUUUUUGUGAGGAGCAAAGGCGGCCUUGCCUUUCUUGGGGUUAUAGCCCAAUCCCUAUUUAUAGAGAGAAGCUCUUUGGCUACCCAAGCACAUAAGCAAGCGGUCCUCACCACCAUAAGCAUUGGUUAUGGUGUGAUUGAGCUCUUUCACCUCCUUGAGAAUUUCAUUCUCAACUUUUAGUGUGGUCUCACAUGUGAAACCAUCACCACUAGAUGAGGAUGAUGUAGAUGUGCUACAUGAAGGGUUAGUAGAAGCAAUAAUUUAGGCUUACUCAAGAUAUCACAUGUUAUGCCUAUGUUGCAAGUUUGAGCUCUUUCAAUUUUGAUUGGCUCAUUUUCACAUUUGUUAACUAGAGAGGAAUGAGCUUCUUCAAGCUUUUUCCUUGAAUUGCAAUGCUAGCAUGCGCCUUCUUCUUGGUGCUCUCAUCAUCACUUGAGGAGUCAUCACUAUCCCAAGUUGAAACAUGGGCAUCACCCUUCUUCUUAUUUGAGCCAUCCUACUUUUCUUGCUUCUUCUUUUGCUUCUUUCUUCCCUUCUUGAUAGCAUCUUCAUCAUCGCUAUCAUAAGGACACUUGGCGAUGAGAUGAUCCUUGCUAUGGCAUCUAAAGCACCUCAUGGAAUGGUCAUUCUUCUUGGAGGAGCUCUUCUUUCUUCUUGUCAGAUAGCCCUUCUUCUUCAUAAACUUGCCAAAUCUUUUGACAAGAAGAGCCAUCUCCUCAUCUUCAUCACUAUCACAAGAGCUUGCUUCUUCUUCACUUGAUGAUUCUAUCUUGGCUUUGCCCUUGGAUGAGGAGGCCUUGAAUGCCACACUUUUCUACUUCUCAUCAUCCUUCUUCUCACCAUCCUUCUUCUUCUUCUUGAUCAACUCAUCCUUCUCAUCAUCUUCUCUAUAAGAAUCAUCGGUCAUCACUUUUUGGAACACUUGUUGGGGAGUUGAUUCAAUAAGUAUUGUCUUGACUAGCACGGUGAUCAAAGUGUCAAAUCACUUGGGCAAGCUUCUCAAGAACUUCAUGGAGAAUUGACUAUCCUUCACUUCUUCCCCAAGUGCCUUGAGCUCAUUCACAUAACUUGCAACCGGUGAAACAUCUCCGGCACACUUUCAUCUUCUUGCAUCUUGAAGCUUGAGAACUUCUCUUGGAGGAUGUAUGCUUUGGCAGUCUUGGUUCCCUUGGUGCCUUCAAACAUUUCUUCUAGCUUUGCCCAUGCAUCAUGAGCAACCUCAAUGUUCUUGAUUUUCUCAAAGGUCUUGUCAUCAAGAGCUUCAUGAAGAGCACUUAUUGCAAUGUCAUUACAUUGAAGCUUCUUCUCUUCAACCGGUGUUGGUGCAUUCUCAUUUGCAACCUCAAACUUUGUUUUGGUCACCUUCUAAACCUCUCUAUUGAUUGACUUGAGAUGAGCGGUCAUCUUGACCUUCCAAUAUGCAUAAUUGGUGCCAUCAAAGAAAGGUGCCUUCUUGGUGUUGUUGAUAUGCAAACUUAGAGCCAUUUCUUCACAAGAGGUUGUUAAGCCUCAAAUAAACAGUGCCUCGGCUCCGAUACCACUUGAAAGGUCCAAAUGGCUAGAGGGGGGUGAAUAGACUAUUUAAAUUUUCUACAAACUUCAACUAGACAAGUUGAUAGUAAAACAAAAGGCGAAGCUAUUAUAGCACUAGCACAACUAAGCUAUGCAAGCCACCUACACAAGUCUAGCAAGAAAGCUAAACACUAGUUACAACAAGAAAGCACAACUAGAAGCUUGCUACACUCUUAAACAAGAUAGCUAAGCUAAACAAGCUACACAACUAGCAAGGUAUGCACAUAAGUAAAGGAGAGGGGAGUGAUUGUUAUACCAACGUUGUAGAGUAGAGAUAUAGCCAAUUAAUCAAUCACAAUUACAAGAGAAUCCUCGGCAAGAGAUGACACGAGCUUUUUUACUGAGGUUCACUUGCUUCCCGGCAAGCUAGUCCUCGUUGUGGCGAUACACCCACUUGAUGAGUCACGAGCUAAUUGGCAAUCCAAAGCCAAACCCUCAGUGGGUGCUGCACAUCCACUCACAAGAUGGGGAUCCUCCAAGCCAUGAGCAGUCCACUAGAGUAGCCAAUUGCGAUCUCCCGCGUGGAAGGCUCAAGAACCCCUCACAAAUCACUUGGUGAGGCUCGAAACAAUCUCCAAUCACGAGCUCAACACCACCGCUGCUCCAAGCCGUCUAGGGCGUCGCGAAACACCCAAGAGUAACAAGAAAUCAGCAGCAAACUCAAGAAUCAAGUGCCACUAAAUGCAACUCUCAAAGCAAUGCACUUGAAUCUCACUCAAUCUCAAUAGGAUUAGCAAUCAAGCAAGGAGAUGAGUGGAGGGAGUAUUCUCUAGCUCAAUGUAUGCCUCAAGUAUUCAAAUGUGCAAGAGUUAACCUCCCAAAGUCAGCCACCUUCUAUUUAUAAGCUCCCUCAAAGAACUAGCCGUUGGCCACUUUCACUACGCUGAAAACGGGGGCACCGGACGCUACCAAGUGAGCACUAGAUGCUCGACCCCCUGCGUCCGGUGCUCUAGGGUUGGCCACAUGUUCCCUAUUGAAUCUGGCACGUCAGUAUCUAACGGCUACCUGCGAACCACCAGACAUGGUCAAGUGAGCACCGAACGCGUCUGGUACUCACCGGACCCAUGCGCAGAGAGUUCUGCAAACCGCGACCUCACCGGACUCAGAGCACCGGAUGCGUCCGGUACUCACCGGACUUAUGUGCAGAGAGGGUUGCAAAACGCGCUCACACUAGAUGCACACCACCGGAUGCACCCAGAGUGUCCGGUGCUCUCAGUCAAACACCCUCUGCUCAAGUCAGGCCACACCGGACGCAUGAACAGCGAACACGCUGCGUCCGGUGCAGUGCGUCCGGUGCUCAACCCUAACAGGGCCAAGCACUGACAGCACACCGGACGCUCAGGCCAGCGUCCAGUGCCUCUGCACCCUGCGUCUGGUGAGUGUUUCUCAGUGAGAAAUACUCCCGCGACUUCUCCAAAUUUCCCACCGGCGCAAUAGAAAAUAUACACUUAAUUUUCUCAAAAGUGCCCCUACCCUAGGAACUCCACCUCCUUUGUAAAGUGUGCUAACACCAACAAGUGUCCACCACCAAAGUGCAUGUGUGUUAGCUUUUCACAAACAUUUUCAUCAAAGGAGUUAAGUUAGCACUUUACUAGAUCCUAAUGCAUAUGCUCAAGAUAUGGACCUAGUAGCACUUGAUUUGAGAGAUGACCGUGAUUUCCCCUCUCGAUAGUCAGCUAUCUAUCCUAAACCCGGUCAAUCACUUCUCUACUCAUCUUAGACCGGCAAAAGUAAAACCCUAUGUUUAUACCUUUGCCUUGAUAACUUUGCUCCUCGUCUAUCACCAUGAUCUUUACUUCAUGCUUCAUCCCUUUGUGAUCAUGUGGCCACCUUUCCAUGCCACCAUGCACCUUCAUCACAUGUGUUGCUAUGCCUAACUCAAAUCACUUAAACACAAGGCAUUAGCAACUUGGUGUCAUUAAUUACCAAAACCAAACUUGGGCUUUCAACUAUGCAUGUAGUAGGCUGGUAUGAAGCUCUACCUUAUGUGGUAUAGGUGCUGGAAAUGCUCAUUGCCCUCCAAACUUUGUUUUUGCACCAUAGCAGCCCACUUUGACUCAAAAUCUUCUGGCCUUACGUUGUGGUUCAAGCAAUCCAUGAACUCCUCAUUUAGCUCUUCAUUUUUAGCAAGGAUCGGUCCAACUGUGCUUGAAAACUUGUCCAUGAUAUGCCACCUGCAAUUCCUCUAGGUCAUGUUUGGAAACACAAUGCAAAUGGCAGCUCUUAUUACAGCGUCUUGAUCGAUGAUUAUGUUGAGGGGUGCUUUUUUUCCAUAGCCUCUAGAAAUGUUAGAAACAACCAUUCAUAGGUAGUUAUCUUCUCAUUUCUUUUAAAGGCACAUCCUAGCUGAAAAGUUUGGUAGUGUCUAUUGAUUCCUAUGAAUGGUGUACAGAGCAUCUCAUAUAUGUUGGUCAUAUAGGUUGCGUCAAAUGCAACACAGUCGUUGUAUGCCUCUCUGUAAGCACGCAUUGCGGCUGAAUCAACCCAAAACAGGUUCUCAACCCUCUGGUUCUCAUUGAGCUUGAUCUUGUAGAAGAAAUCAUGGUCUUCUUCUUUCAAAGCUCUAAAUUAAUUUGAAGUUUCCUACAUAUCUUUGAAUUUUUCUAUCAUGUGGAUGGUGGAGCAAAAGUUGGAAACUUGUUUGCCCUCACAUGGCACUAGCUGUGCACAGCCAUAUAACUCGUUCAUCAGCUGCAUGAUUCUACCCAUGCUCAAGUUGCAUCCAUGCAGCAAAACAAUGAAGUCAUUUUCCUUCUUUGUAUCCCUUUGUGGGACCUUAGGAACUUCUUGAGCGAGGACGGAACCACAGGAUCAUGGUUGUGCUCGGCCAAAAAAUAGAUGACUAGCCACCUAGAGCCAAUCAUUUUGACCACCAUCCUCGCCUUGCAGUUUGUAUAUACCAUUUUCUCCCUCUUCCUUUUCUUACAUCCAUCAAGCUUCUUCCUCCUCUCCUCUUGCUCAUCCUCUUAUUGUGCGGUAUCCUCCUCUUUGGCUUCAUCAUUGUCAAAGUAGCAAAUGAUAGCAUCAACAAGCUAAGCAGCAACUCUUCUUUUCUUGCCAAAGCCUUCCUUGUUGCAAACGAACUGGAUCUUCUACACUUCUCUUGUGAUUGCGGACCGGCGAGACAUGUUUGUUCUAAUCGAGAAGCCAGUUCUCUUUGCAUAAGAGAUCUAGUACUCCUUUGUUUCGUCCAAGGAUGCAAAAGACAUCCCGUUGUGUGGCAUUUGAGGAGUAGACCACACCUCUUCCUUCUCUUCUGCUACUUCAGCAACUAUAGGAUUAGUAGUAGAACCUUCAUUCCUGUCCUCUAUCCUUGCCUGUUCAAAUGACAAUCUGAUCUCGCAAAUGGUAGGAAGAACAUCUUUUGUAACUGCAGGAUCUGCCUCUCCUAAACCAGCAUGACCAUCUUUAGAAAUACUAGGCAAAAUCUGUUGGUUAACAUGCUCAUCAUUAGGUUGAGGAAUUUUAGGAAUGGCAGACACUUGAGUGCAAAAGGUAGGGUUGCUAGUCACAUAAUCCAAAUCAAGUGCAACCAACAAUGCAUGUAACAAAUCUUCAUCCAAAUCUAGUGGCAGCUUGUUAAGAUCCAUAUUUCAGAACUGCAUGCAAAACAGUAAGUAUAGGGGUGUGUUACUAUAUUAUGAUAGUAGGCAACUUAAUCAAACCUAUUAGACAAAAUAGGCCAGCAACUUAUGCAAUUUUGUUUCAGUACAUGCUAUCAACUUUGUAUUUUAUUCCAUAACCAGUUUUACAACUUAAUGAAUCUACUGUUCUCAUUUGAUUUAAACUUCUUAAAUUGUUGGUGUCAAGCCAUGUGCAGCAGAUAACACAAGAAAGUUUAAUGCAUAGGAGUAAACAUGUGCAGCAGCUAACACAAGAAGAUUUAAUGCAGCAAGAUGUAUAUCUAUAGGAGUGUUGCAUACAACAUAUAUCCAUGGUAACUAGUAGGAAUAAAAUCCGGUAGUAAGAUGUGUAGUAAGAACAUUAGUCAUUUACAUGUCCAAGUUAGAAUUAGAUUUGCUAAUGCAGUAGGAAUUGCAGUACUAUUUGUGAUGCAAGAAAACUCUUGCUUAUGCAAAACAACAGAAUUGCUUAUGCAAAAGUACUGAAUUGGUGAUGCAAAAGAACUAAAAGGCUUCUAGUAAUAGAUCUAGCUAGUUCUAUUUUUGUGAUAAUUGUGUAAUUCUACUAUACGAGAAGAAGCUAAUACUAUUAAGUUUCUGCAUAUCUGUACAUACAUGUUGUUUGGAUGUAUUAGAAUGUCUUGUUUGGAUGAAUCUAGCAGCCCCCAGAUGGUGACAGCGGUGUCCUGGACGCCUCUAUUUUCACUACCAGAAUCUGGAAUUACCUUGACGGCCAAAGAUUUCCUUGAGUGUCAAAAUCAAACCGUCAAGGAAAAUAUAAUUUUCUUGGCUGUGGACAGCAACCUCCAAGGAAACAUAUAUUUCUUGCAGGUUGAAGUAAACCGCCAAGGAAUAUGGGUGUUUCCUUGGCGGUUUCUAAUUACCUCCAAGGAAAUGAUUUAUUUCCUUGAGUGUAAUUGUAAAUUGUAACACCCUAGGUGUUAAGCAUGCACUUAGCCUUAUCAAAGCAAUGCAUAAGCAUUCUCAUCAAGCAUAGCAUCAUGAGCAUGUCAUUCAUCCCAAAAUAUGAUUUUAUGUGUUUUAUUCCAUGUGCUUUAAAUAUGCUAAAAAUAUGAUGCUUGCUUCUAAAAAUGUGAAAUAUUCAAACUAGGUUGAUUUAUGUGUAAGAAGAAUUAAGAAUAUUUUUGUGCAAUUUUUGGAGCCAUAGAAUUUGAGAAAUGGAAUUUAUACAAAAAUCCCCAAAAUGAAUUUAUUUGAAAACCUAGAACUAGUUUUAAUAUGUAAUUCAAAUUCUAUUUGGAAUUUGGUCUUGCUUAUUAAAACAAAGUUGUAGGGUUUUUGUUUUGGAACAACUUUGUUUUAGGAAGAAAGAGGUGAAAAUGAUUUUAAAUUGGUCCAAAUGAAUUUAGAAAAGAAAUUGAGGAAAGAAAUUCAAAAAAAAUGGAAAAAGGGGCAGGCGCUGCCGGGCCAACCCCGCCUCCCUUUCGGCCCAGACCGCGGCCCGGCCUGCCUCCCCCUCCCCCUCUCUCCCGCGCGCGGACGCCCGCCUCGUCCCAGCCAGCGACGGCCACGUGGCGGCCGUACGCCGGCGAUGGGCGCGCCGCGGCCGACCGGCUUCACCUGGUCGGGACGCCGGCCCGGGCUCCCAGGCCACUCCAUUCGCUCUGUCGCCCGCGCCUCUCUCCUUCCUCCCUCCGCUCGCGAGCGCAACCGAAGCCGUAGAGCUCCGCCGCAGCGCCAUCACCGGAGCAGCUCCGCUGCUCACCGCCGGCCACGCCAGUGCCCCAACCUCGACGCCAAAACCACCAGAGCACUCGCCGUCGUCGCGGUAAGCUCCUGCGAACGUUCUACCGAGGUGAGAGCCCGUCGAGCGCCGUGAAUCGCUCGCCGGAGUUGCUCCGAGCUCGCCGGAGUGCUCCGUCGCGACGGAUCUUGCUGUUUCCGCCCCCUUUUCGCUCGUUCUUUGGUGCGCUAGGUCAGUCGUGAGGAGAGGAAGCUCGUAGGGUGGUUUGUGCGCGCUCUACCGCACCGGAGUGGCAUGGCCACGGCGAGCAGCGCCGCCGUGCCGCCAUGCAUGCUCGUCGGAGGUGCUCCGGCCCUCCUCCGGCCAAUCCGAGGGUACCGCCGGGUGCGCCUCGCUGCGGGGAGCACGAUGGUGCUCACCCCGUGGACGGGGACCUCACAGCCGGUGAGAUCUGCUCGUCGGAGGUGCCCUCCCUCUCGGCCUCGCUGACCAGUGGGGUCAGAGGCCCACUGUCAGUCGCAGGGGGACCGUGUUGGGUGUAGAUCUGGGUGUCUUUAGCGUUUUUGAUCCCGAUUUCGAUUUGAUUUUCAGAAAAUGAUUUCCAGAAAUCGAUUUAAACCUUGUAAAAUCCAUAUCUUGAGUUCUACAGCUCCAAAUUUGAUGAAAUAAAUUUUGGUGUACUCUAUAUUUUCAGAUCUACAGUUUGAUGUAAUUGCAUGUCAUGUUUGAACACUUUUUAUGGACAGAAAUAAUUAAUCCAUGCUUUUGCAAAACUUGGGAAAUGCAUAGUAAUUAAAAUUUGGUUAGAAAUCGAUUCGAAUCGCCAUCGCUCCUGGAUAGUGAGCACUUGACAUGAGCUUCGUCCUCGUAGUAAGGACUAUGGAACACUUGGGUUAUAAUGAUAAAUGGUUUUAAGAAUGCUAUGAUGAGGUACCAUCAUAUUGCUACACUUGAUUGUAAUAGUGCAGGUGCAAACCUAGAUAAUAGGCUGUCAACUUGAGCAAAUUAAAAGAAGAAAGGUUUAUGUAAGGCAUGUUAAUAGCAUCUUGCAGUUAUGCAAAAAGGUUGUCAGCUACCCCACUAUAUAGCCUUCAUGAUCCUUGUUGAGUCUUUAUUUUGAGUUUAUGACGGGUAAGUCUAGCUGAGUACAUUCUCGUACUCAGGGUUCUACUCCCAUGUUGUUUUGCAGAUGGUCAAAUGUACUAUGGUUAUUGCAUCCUCUGUCUGUACCCAGCCAUGGGUGAUGACUAGACCAAGGGCGAUGGUCACUCCGUCUUCUCUUCUGCUUUUGUGGGAAUGACAGAAUUAUGGCACUGUAUCAGACUAAGUGUGUGUGUUGUAUUUUCGAAUUAUGAAGCUUCCGCUACUUGAAGAACUUGGUUUGUAAUAAUUUUUAAGAACUCCGAUGAAUUGUAUGAAUGUUUUCGAACUGGGAUGUAAUUGUGGAUGGUGACCGCUAAACUUAUUACGAUCUUGGCUGUUUGUAUGCUAUGUGGUUUGAAAUCCUUCGAGAUUUCACGGACUACCGGGAUUAUAUGGGUUUAAGCUUGAUGGUUUGACUAUGCAAAUGGUCACUGUUAGGCUUAAUCUCUUAUAAUUUGGUCGGUUCUCUUACAUAAAUAGUCAAGGAAACUGUUAUUUCCUUGGGUGUUAUUCUAAACCGUCAAGUAAAUUAUUAUUUCUUUGGGGGUUAUUGAAUUUCCUUGGAGGUUGGCUCCCAAUGAAAUGCUUAUAAGUAUUUAUGUGACUUCGUCUGAAAAAAAACAAUAAUAUCCUAAAGGUGUCUGGAAAACCUAAAAUUUGGCAUGAGAUCAUAAUAUGGUUGUACUCUCUUGGCAUAAAAAUUUCAAAUCAUUUUAACAAAGUUGGACUAUACAUAUUCACAAAUGGAUAAAUAUCUCACAUACUUACAUAACUAUGUGAAAGAUAUAUCCAUUUGUGAACACCAUAUGGUCUCACUUUGUCAAAAUGAUUUAUUCUAUGGGAAGCUUAUACACCCACAUUAUGACCCCAUAUCAAUUCUUAGAAUUUUUAGACCACUUUAUGAUAUUAUUUAGUUUUUCAUCAGAAUCACUAAAAUGGUAGUCUAAGUAAUGUUUAGCAAAACACUUAGUUUUUCAUCGAUAUUUAGGAUGUGAGCUCAAAUAGACAUGUCUUCUUACAUGUACAUUAUUUUCUAAUUUUUGGACAUUGUUAGAUAGGACGUGUAGUUCAAGUUGUAGUGAUUUUCCAAAAGCGCGCAAAAAUUCAUUUAAACUAUAGAAAAUAAUAAAUUAGUUCUCAAAUUUGUGAAACUUAUACAAAGAGAAAUAUAUGUAGUAUAUUUUAUUUAAAAGUAUUUUGGGUAUAUGAAUACAAUUGGAUUAGAGUGUUUACUUCACAAGUUUGUCUAGUAAUCAAAUAGUGCUUAAAUAAAACCUCGAUAAACAGGAAAUAAAACGUUAAGGCCCAAUGGCUUGGGCUUGGGCCACGCAUACACAGCAGGCCACAUGAACCUGCUAGCCUACUAAGGCACUGUUAGAUCUGAACCGUCCAAGGUCGACGCAUGAAGGUUGCGGCCUCGGUAGCCGAGGGCGUCGCACACGGAUGUCGCGGCCCCGAUGACUGGCACGCUGAGGUCAUGGUCCCGACGGCUGAUGGUGGUGCGUGGAGGUUGUGGUCCAAUGAGGAGGCAUCAUCGUCGUUGGUGGUGCGUGGAGGUUGUGGUCCAAUGAGGAGGCAUCAUCGUCGUUGCAGAUCUGUGUCCAUUGAGCUCUCAGCGCGGUGAAAACGUAAAGUCCUCUCUGUGUCUUCCUCUGAUCGUGUCCUGUUUCUUAGUUUCUUCAUUAGGAGUGGCAGCGUCAGCAGCAUAUAUGUGUUCUCUUAGUUUCUUCAUUAGGAGUGGCAGCAGCAGCAGCAUACAACGUUGAUUUUGUGCUCAAAUUUUAGAUAAGUGAUAGUAUGUUCAGAAAAAACUAGGUGCUGAACUGGUUGGGAUGCAAUGUGCUCUGACAUUUCUUUUAGGAUUUGAUCUUGCUCUUGCUCUGACAUAUUGUAGUUGUAGAUGAACACAAGUAUCCAAGUCUUAGAACCAAGAAUCCAGUCUAACUAGCAGAGUAUCCAAUAAUUAUCUUGAAUUGCUAUGUUCUUUAAUCAAUCCAUUUCAAGUUAUCUGUGUUUGUAUUUAUAUUUUUCAUACAGUAUACUUUCCAUUUGGUGUUUUAUUAUUGCUUAUGUCUUGCUUUUUCUCACAAGUAUUUAUCAUACUACAUUUUCCUUCUGCUGUUUCUUUUAUGUGGACAAAUUGCUGAAUGUGGCUAUCAGCGUCACCUUCAUCUUAGUUGGAAUGUAUUUUUUAUCAAACAAUACUGGCACUGGCAAGGCUCACCUGCAUACUGCUCCUGAAAGAAAUUAGGCUGUAGGCGUUUUUUAGAUAGAAUGGACUCUAAGCUGUGAAGCACCUGAUUACUGGAUGGUGAAAUUACUUCUUGUCUCUAUUUAUUGGCCCAAUAAUUGAUAUUUUUCCUAGAACAAAUGGUAUUGUUCAGCAAGCAUAUUUAGUGUGUUCUAAACUUUUGAUCCAGUUCUCAUAUCCAUCUUAUCAUGUGCCAUUUCAGGGGACUGCCUAUACAAGGGGAAAGUGAGGCUCGCAGGUUGCUGUGUGCAGCAUACACCGCUGUGAGUUUGUGCCACUGAUCUAUAUCCUUGCCAACUUGGGAGGCUAGAGAAGGGAGCUCAGCCAUUUCCUCAACAUAUGGUGUUUCAUGACAUUGGAGUUAGUAAUACUCCUACCAUUUUGGAAACUAUUAGUCACCUGUGUGUUAAUGUAAGGAUGAAUGUUCAAUGCACUUGUAAUAUUCUUAUGGAUAUAUUAAUGUCAAUAUAAUAGUUGUGCUCAAUAACAAAAUAUCUAUAUGCAUGUCAUCAUGUGUCAACUGAGUAUAUUGAUCGGAAUACUUGAAUAUAUUGAUUAUUGCAAUUAUUUUUUUGUUGCCAGUAUAGAUUUGCUUGGGGGCUGACCUUCAAGGAAAUCAUAAUUAACUUGGUGGUUAAUGAUAGUCAAGGAAAACUAUAAUUUCCUUGGAGGUGAAGUGCAGCCAAGGAACAUAAUUACCUUGACGGUCUAGAGUGUUUCCUCAGAGGUUGUCGACCCUCAAGAAAAUAAAUUUACUUGGCGGCUAUCAACCCUCAAGAAAACUUGUUUCCUUGACGGUUGUAAUAUUUCCUUGGCCAUUUAGCAAAUUAAGUCUGGUCGUAGUUUUCUUAGCAGCUAGCCUCCAAGAAAAUUAUCCUUGAGUGUCAAAACCGCCAAGGAAACUAAUUUUCCUUGACGGUUUGUGGUCAAGGAUCAUUUCCUUGACGGUUUAACCCCUUUUCAGCUUCUAUUCUUGAGUGCGUUUGCUUGACGGUUUGUGGUUAAGGAUCAUUUCCUUAACGGUUUAACCCCUUUUCUUGGCGAUUUUUAGCCGCCAAGGCAAUUCGGGAUUUAGGUAGUGUUUGUAUGUUGCAAAGGAAAAGCAAAACACGGGAGAGAGGAAGAAGCUUCCUAGCGGGGUGUGGGCAUGGGCCUGACCUCUCGUGGCCUCGUCUAGGCGGGGCAUGGGCGUGGACGUGCUUCGCACGCGCGCAACCAUGGUACUUUCCCGUUGAGCAGAAACGGAAAGGAAAGAAGUGGAUUUUCUAAUAUAUAUGGAGUCUGUGUGCAUCCUGCUUAAUGCAUGCACGGCCGUACAUUAGCCGCUUCCAGAAAUAUAUACUGAUGCCAACCUUGAACAUAAAGCCUUCCAUGCCAGGCGUGACCAUGUCUUCCUUCCAACUACCCCCCUCCUCGCUAUGAAACAAUAGCCAUCUGAUUCUUACAUUGACAAUGGAGGAAAAUUUUAGGGACUGAUGUUAAUUAAAUGCGAUCAGCAGAGUGUUAAUCAAAUGCAAUGUACACAGGUAAUCUAAAAAACUUAUGCUCUAAGAGAAAGUCCUUCUGGAUUGUGUGCCUCGAUGUCAACAUGUUUAAUCCCAGGCACAAGCUUUUGGAUCUCAGACUCCAGCCGAUCCACUUCAUAUCCCAGAGCUUCAACUACAUCCUCGCCUGUCGAAACAGUGUAGUUUCAGAUCAGGGUAGCAAAGCUUAGAUCCAUCUAUAGAGCGACAUGUAUUUCACAUACCGUAGUUAGCCAUGACCCUUAGUAAUUCCGUAUCAUCCUUGGACACUGCAGCUUCCCGGAACUGUAGAAUGAAAAUGAUAAGAAGUCAGGGAGUAAAAUGUGUUACCAUUCGCUACAGUAUGUUGUGAGAUAUUGGCAGUCUUUUCUCAGGGACGAGUUGGCUGAUGUGUUGGAACAGCUCGUAAUGUUCUUUGUGAAAGGUAUAGUGGAAGAAGGGUACAAGACCACAAGCUCAAAGUGCCAGACAACUGUAAUAAGAUGAAACUAGGACAUAAUCUGCUUCCUUGACAUUAUUCUUUUCCAGAUUAAACUAGCCAAGCAUCAAUAAAAUGUCAGCUAGAAUUUUAGCCACACAAUUGGAACAGACUAAUAAUAGGGCAAUAAAUCACCUAGUUUGAAGGCUGAAAAUUUUGCAAUUAUUUUACUACAUUACUGACAGAAGAAUACUGAAUAUCAAAAUGCACAUCAGUCAAUGACUGUAGAUAAAGUAUUUUCAAGGUAAGGCACCUGUUUUGCCCAAGUCCCACGUCCAGUCCUUUCCAAAUAAUUUUGUACCAGAACAACUCCAUUGAAAUCUGUAAGACGAUUUAGAUGACAAUAAAUAUCAGAAAUUUUUUAUGUAAAAAAAAUUAUUGCACUGGGAAAUGAAUUGUAACUAGGAUAUAAGAUGUCACUCGCUUGAUCUUCCUUGCGGCUGACAGGGCAGCCGAUUAGGGCUGACCAGCGGUGGUGGCGGCCUGGCAAUGGCAGCUGCGGCUGGCUGGGCUGGGGGCAGCGGCCUGGCUGGGAGCAGCUGCGGCUGGCUGGGCUGGGCGGCCUGGCUGGCAGCGGCUGAGGGGCGGCACGGCCAAGGGAGAGAAGGGGGCGACGGCGGCAGAAGGGAAGGGAAGGGAAGAGGCGCGGUGCACAAGGAGAGAGAGAGAGAGAGAGAGAGAGAAAAGGGUUGAACCCCAAACCUGCCUAACUUCUCAUUGUCUCCCUCAUAUAUAUAAGGGGGGUUACAAUUGCUAAUGGUAGCCCAUGAGUCUAUCCUCCUAUAGAGGCCUGAUCUAUACCAGCUGGACCUAUUGCCCCUCUCUACUUUAACUAGCUUAUCGUCGUCUUCCGGCAUAGGUCCUAUUGACCAUGACAUCUCUCCCUGCCUGAAGAAUCAGCUCAUCCUCAACUGAAAUUUGGGAUAGAGCUGUCUGAAGAGCUCAGCAUCUUCCCAAGAGGACUCUGCAGUCGGUUGGUUCUUCCAUUUGAUCAAGACCUGUAGUUGGCCCUGGUAUAGUCGUCAUUUCAGCAUGAGGUCGGGUUCUGGAACAGCAGCACCUUUGUGCAUUGUCGGCACCUGGCCGGGCUCACAAUGUUCGGGGCCUAUGUGGGGUAGGCAUUGUGGAUGCGGGCCGCCUCAUGUAGAUUCAAAUGGUAGGCAACCGAGCCAAUGCAUUCACUGAUCUGAAAGGGGCCGAAGUAUUUUGGAGCUAACUUGGCUUUCUGAAGGGUCGAGAUGCCCAAUGCCGCUCGAGCCAUUAGUUUAAGCCAUACCCAAUCACUAACUUGGAAUGAUCGGUCUGUGUGCUUGUCAUCAUAGUAUUUUUUGUAGUAAUUGCAGGAGACGUACUUUUGUUUGUUCUAGAAACUGAUCACGCUCUGUAAGCAGAUCAUCAUCGACUGAAGGUACUGCAGCAUCACCUGGACUAUAGGUUUUCAGCUGUGGGGGUCACGUCCAUAGACCAGUUUGAAUGAGUACCGAUGGACUUUUGGUAAGCGGUGUUGUAGCAAAACUCUGCCCAAGGGGGCCAUCUGAUCCAUUCUUUUGGUUUGUUUCAUGUAGGUACAUAGUGAUGACUUUGUUUACUAUUUCUGACUAGCCAUCUGACUGUGGGUGGUGGGCUGAUGUCAUCUAUAGUUUUACUGCAUAUAAUCAAAAUAGUUCUUGCCAGAAUCUUGACAAAGGAAUCGAUUCGAAUCGCUGUCUCUCCCGGAUAGUGAGAACUUGACAGAGUAGCGGCAAACGUAGCAUUCACUAAGUACAAUGGUUCUUGAUAAUGAUGUUGAGGAUAGCAAGGAAGAACAUAUGAUGAAACUUGAUAUGGUUAUUAUUGUUUGUAAUAAUCAAAUGAAGUACUUAGUCUAGGUGCUAAUCUAGUGGUAGGCAAAUGGUAGACAUAAUGAUGUUGAGGAUAGCAAGAAAGAUGAUUAAUAUGAUGCCUUUACAAAUGGUGUACCAUCCAAUAUAAGCUUUUGGCAAAUUGUCCAAGUCAAACCAGCUACACUUAUACUCAGCCUUGCAUGAUCCUUGGUGUCUUUUCUGUUUGGUUAGACGGGUAAGUCUAGCUGAGUACAUCCUCGUAUUCAGGGUUUAUUCCCAUCUGUUGCGGAUGAUGUCUUUUAUGAUGGCUUCUGCAAGACCUGUCUCCAUCCCGCUGGGGAUGAGGACUAAACCGUUGGGCACGGUUCUCUAACAACUUCGCACCCUGAUGCUUUUGGUGGAUGAGAUGAGACUCUGGCAGUAACAAGAACUGGUGAAAUGUGUGUGUAAACUAUUUUGCUUCCGCUACUUCAAAACUUGUGUUGUAAUAAGUACUCCGAUGUGGUGCCGCUUCGUCGACAAUGAAUGAACUAUGUAACAAUCAUUGUAUUGUGUUGAACUAUUACGAUCUUGGUAUAUUGCAAAGUUGGUUUGAAGUCCUUCGUGAUUUCAGUUGACUACCGAGAUUAUAUGGGCUCAAGUCUGGAAACUUGAUUGCUAGAUCGAUCAUUUCUGCACUUGAACUCUUAUAAUUUGGUCGGUUCUGUGACAGCUGGCAUACAGAGCCUCCAGUCAGCCGUUCAUGAGAAGAAUGGAGCCUAAGAAGUUUACCAACUGUUUCCACGUACUCUGAUAGUUGUAAGUGUUAUUAUAAAUAUGUUUUCCGCUAUAUAUAAUAUUGUUUCUAAUAUUUCUAUUCUUUUGUUGUAUGCGUGGACUUCCUGGGCACACAUAUGAUGACUCUGGUCUUGUUUUGAAAACCAGGGUGUGACAUCGUAUGCCUUCUAGGAUUCUUGAUAUGAAAUCUCCGGUUGAACUUUAUUGGGACAAUGGGAAUUCAAGGUACCCCCUAAGGUAUUUGGAUGUGUUUGCUUUGUUAGGGACCAUAGACCUUCGGUUCGCAAGUUAGACCCUCGAGCCGUAAAGUGUGUCUUCGUUGGAUAUUCCUCUAUACAAAAGGGCUACAAGUGUUGGGACCCUAUUGGAAAAAAAUUAUUUGUAUGGAUGUGACGUUUCGUGAGUUUGAACCAUACUAUACAAAACCAUGGGACCUUGAUCCGUUGUUCGAAGAAUUCUCUUCAGUCAUUGAGAGUGACAGAAGAGAGGGGGAGAAUGAAGGAACUACUCAAAAGGAGGUAAUUGUUGGUGCCAUUCCAUGUCCAAUGGAUGAGAAGGUGGUGGAUCAUGAUAGUGUUGAGUAUGAGAAGUGGCUGCCAUGAGAAUGGAGAGAUGAUUGACGACGAGAGUGAGGUGGUAGUUGUUGAAGGGAGUGAAGCUAUUGGGAUGACAGAGAAUAGAGAAACAGAGGAUAAUGUUGAGAAUAGAGAAACAGAGGAUAAUGUUGAGAAUCGAAGGAGACAGUUCAGGAGUCAGGGGGAGCAAAUAGUUGAGAAGGAGCCAAUAGUGUAUCGAAGGAGGUGAUUUAGGAGUCAGGAGGAGCAAGUUCGUGCACUACAGUCACAACAGCCUGUCUCAACAGUCCCAAAUCUCUCAUCGGCCUUCUCUCCAUUGAGCCCUUUGACCCAAUCAGGGCCAAGUGGUAAUGUCUCUCCUACCCCUGAGCAUGUAGUUACCUCUUGCACAACGUGGAGAUACUAGAUCUAAUUUUAGAAAACCUCCUGUUCGUUAUGGAUUUGAGCAUCCUAGUACAAAUCAUGACAUUGUCAACUUUCUCUCAUACUCUCGCCUUUCACCUGCAUAUAGAGCAUUUGUUGCAUCUUUACAAACAGUGCCUAUUCCAAGGGACUGGAAGUAUGCAAAACAUGAUCCUAACUGGAAUACAGCAAUGAGAGAAGAGAUGCAUGCUCUUCAGAAGAACAAGACUUGGGAACUGGUCCCACUUCCAAAAGGGAAAAAGGUUGUGGGCUGCAAGUGGGUCUUCACUGUGAAGCAAAAUCCAAAAGGAGAAGUGGACAGAUAUAAGACAAGGUUAGUUGCCAAAGGCUAUAGUCAAACAUAUGGCAUUGAUUAUGAUAAAACCUUUGCUCUCGUGGCAAAGAUGGGUACUGUUAGGGCUUUAAUCUCCUGUGCAGUAAACUUUGGUUGGCCUCUACAUCAGAUGGAUGUAAAGAAUGCAUUUCUUCAUGGUGACUUGCAAGAAGAAGUAUAUAUGGAAAUCCCACCGUGUUUUGCAAAUAGACAAACGGUUGGGAAGGUGUGUAGACUUAAAAAAUCACUCUAUGGAUUGAAGCAAUCACCUCGGGCGUGGUUUGACAGGUUUAGGAGAGCUUUUUGUGGUAUGGGCUACACUCAAUGUAAUGGUGAUCAUACGGUCUUCUAUAAGGAUAAAGGAACAUUUAUCACUAUUAUGGCAGUGUAUGUGGAUGAUAUUGUGAUUACAGGAGAUGAUGUGGAGGAAAUCAAAUAUUUAAAGAAGAAUCUAGGAAGGGCCUUCGAGGUAAAAGAUCUUGGACCGCUAAGGUAUUUUCUGGGGAUUGAGAUUGCCAAGUCACCAAAGGGGAUAGUUCUCUCUCAGAGAAAAUAUGUCCUUGAUCUGUUGACUGAAACUGGCAUGCUUGGAUGUCGGCCAUGUAGCACUCCGAUUGAUAAAAAUCAUCAAACUAGUGCCCAAUGUGGAGACUCUGUGAAUAAAGGAACAUAUCAAAGAUUGGUGGGUAGACUGAUAUACCUAUGUCAUACAGGGCCUGACAUUUCCUAUGCAGUGAGUGUUGUGAGCAGGUAUAUGCAUAAUCCAAGAACAGGACAUAUGGAAGUUGUUUACAGGAUUUUGAGAUAUCUAAAGGGAACCCCUGGGAGAGGAUUAUGGUUCAGGAGGAAUGGGCACCUAGAUUUGGAAGGCAAGUGUGAUGCAUAUUGGGCAAGUAGCAAAGAUGAUAGAAGAUCGACCUAUGAGUAUUGUAUAUUUGUGGGAGGCAAUCUUGUCUCAUGGAGAAGUAAGAAACAAGCAGUUGUGGCUCGGUCUACAGCAGAGGCCGAAUACAGAGCAAUGACAUUGAGUCUAUGUAAGAUGUUAUGGUUAAAAGGCUUACUAAAGGAACUGCGAGUGUUGAGAAAUGAGACCAUGAUGCUUCAUUGUGACAAUGUUGCUGCAAUCAAUAUUGCAAACAAUCCAGUUCAGUUUAACCGAACCAAACAUGUUGAGAUUGAUAGAUUCUUCAUCAAGGAAAAGUUACACAGUGGGGCCCUAAAGCUAGAGUAUGUAAAAUCACGUAGUCAACUAGCAGGUUGUCUUACAAAGGGUUUAGGACCUAGUGAAAACGAGUUGAGUUGUAGCAAGAUGGGCAUGUUAGAUAUCUUAAGCCGAUCAAGAUGGGCAUGUUAGAUAUCUAUAGCCCAUCGGCUGGUCGAACCUUGGUCAACUGGGUACGACCAGCCGACGUGAAAACAUUGUGAAUUAGAGCAAAAAAGAAAGAUGUCUGCAGCAUGUCUUCAAACUCAGCGCCUUCCAUAUUUAAACCAUCAAUGGAAGGUAUGACAACUCUUUAGAUAUAGACCAAAUCAACUUAAUUAAGUUAUAAAUCAAAAUUCACUUCAUGGGAAAAGGGGGAAAACAAGAUUAACCAUCUGAAAUGUUCAAUAACAAGGAUUAUCCAAAAAUUAUUCAAAUUGUCUGUCUCGGUUAACAGGACUUUGGAUGACAAUAUCGCUAGUGGCUAACUGGUACCAACUCCACACCAUCUACCAGCAGAUGAUCAAUACUGUUAAGGAUAUUAUGUCAUAGGUCACUGCAUACUGGGUAAUUCCACCCAUAACCAUGGAGCACAGUUUUGAAAAUCGACGAUUACAACUCACCUAGUCGCGACUAGUCGCUAGGCUAUGGCCUGGCGCCUGGACUAGGGGGGUAAUCGGCCCCCUAGGCGGGCGGAGCACCUAGGCGGAGCCAGGUGUCGACUCGGCGCGAUUCAGCGGCGCCCAGGAGCCCUAGGCAGCGAGGAAUCUAGCGAUUCAGGCGUGGCGGCGUGGAAUCGCGGGAAAUUUCGGCUGCGCGGGCGACCGCGCGCGUGGGAAAGAAUGCGCGCGUGGGAGGCAGGAAGGGGGAAACGAAGCUGCACGCCCGCUCGUUCUCGCCUCGACCUCCACCUCCCUACGACGACGCCCGCACGGAAGUAGCUCCCGCCGGCGACGCUCAUCCCCUCCUGCAGUGCGCCUCCGAGGUCCUCCUCCUCCCCGUUGAGCGCAUCCUCCUCCCCACCUCGACCACUUCCCUGCGACGCCACCCGCAGGGUAGCACCUCCUGCCGGCGAAGCUUGUCCCCACCUCGACCUCCACCUCCCUGCGACACCGCCCGCGGGGAAGGACUUCCCGCCGGCGACCGUCCUCGCCGCCUGCAGUGGCCCGCCGAGCACGUCCUCCUCCCCGCUCCGACCUCCACCUCCCUGCUACACCGCCCCGCCCGCAGGGAAGCAGCUCCCUCCGGCGAAGCUCAUCCCCGCCUGCUUCUCUCGUACUCCUCUGCUCCAAGGGCCAAGGACGAAUGUAUGUAUGUUCUCCCCUGCUCCUCUCCUCUGUUUCCUUUCCCUGCUUCUAUCCUCUGUCCCCUUUCCUGCUGAAUCUGAAAUUGCUCUGAAAUCUGAAGCUAUAAAUGUAUAUAUUAUAAAUUGGCAAAGCGCCUAGAAAAACGCCUAGCAUCGCGGUAGGCUAGCCUAGGCUGGACUAGUCGCUAGGCUAAGGGUCAUCGCCUAGAUUUCGCCUAGCGCCUAGCAAAACUUUGCCAUGGAGCAUGACUCAUUCUUUUCCUACUAUUCCAAUAGUACUACAUUCUGACAAGUACUAAACAAGUCUAGCUCAGAUUAAGUCUAAAAAGAGCCUCCAGGAUUAGAAAUAAUGUGCACAAAUUUUCAAUAGCACCUCUGCCCAGAACUGGCCAUGCUAUCACACAUACGAAUUGAAAGUGAUGAAAAUGAUGUAACUGUUUUAGAUAUAUGGUGAAUUGCCAGAAUAUAAAGACUAUACCAAUUUCAGCCUUGAAUCUAAAAAAACCUGGCCCAAUCACCUCACUUUUGCAAUCAUAAAGAGCAUCUACAACCUGCAAGAAGAUAUCAAUUAGCUUCAUGAAAAAGCUUCUAAGCAGUUCCAAAAAUAUAAUGCCGAAGCUCACCGGAUCAGACUUAAGAAAUUCAAGGACUCGCUGCAUGUCAUGAUCAUCAAUGGCCCGGCCAAUUAAAGCAUGCCUAUUCCUCUGAAUGAGAAAAAUAGCAACCUACAUGGAGAGCAAAUCUAUUGAACAGCUGCUUUCCAACAAGACAUGGACAGAAAAUAAUCAAAAUCAUCAGCAAACAUGCUGAGGUCCCAACAAUGUCAGAAUGAAUAGCAUACCAUCCCCAGUAAAUUGCCAACAAUGAGACAUCAAUUAUUCAUUUAUAAAACAGAACUAUGAGACAUGUGUAGGAAGUAUGAAGCACAAACAUACAAUGAAUAGCAUACCAUCCCCAGUAAAUUGCCAACAAUGAUUGAGCCAAUUGGAUCAUACAUAGCAUUUCCUGUCAUUUGAACAGCUACCAAAGAUGCUGCAGCAAUAGCAAGGCCUGUAACAGCAGCACCAUCCUGUAGACCAAUAUCCAAUGUGAAAAAAUGAGAAUGAAAUCAAUACAGAAAAGUACUAGGUGAUGAAAGGUGGUCAACCAUUAAUUGAAGUCAAUUAUGAAAACUAAUUUCCAUUAAAGUCAACCAUUACAAAUGGCAGAAAUGAAAAUGAGUAUAUGUUGUGAUUGAACUACAUAAAUAAAAAAUAAAAAAAAGGAGAAAAACUGUUAGGUGGUCAUAUUACUGACUUCAGUCAUAACAGCAACGGAAGUUGGAUCAUGACCACGCCAGAUAUAGUCCCAGAUACUCAUUCCCUCUGCUUCUGCACCUUUCCUAACAGCCUUUAUAGCAACAAGCAGUGAAGCACCUAACAGACAACAGGAUUUCUCAAGUAAAUUAUAGCUACAAUACACACCCCAAGAAAAAGUAAGGGGGUGACAGAGGUAGCAGCAAGCGAGCAACACCUUCAAUUAGGAAGGACCCACCAAUCACUAAUGCAGCCCAGUGAAUAUUCUCUGGAGGCUGUCAAACAAAGUAUGGAUAUGAGCAUUAUCAUACUUGGAUGGUGACUGAUGACGUUUGAUAAUAAAAUGAAAUUUUGUGCAUAAAGUUCUCAUGACUCAAAUGACACUUCGGUAACAUACUUGAGAAUUCCAUAAAUUUUGAACUCCAUGCACAAUGGUAGCACCUGAACCCAAGCAAAAUAUUCCAACUGCAGAUAUAAGAGACCAUACAAAUCUUUCCUUUGAAUAACCAUAGCUGCAAAAAAGAAAGCCAGGAUUAACAUCUGUCAAUUCAAAACAUAAGGCAUCAUUGCAGCUUAUGGUGUAUCAUAUUUAAUCCCAUCACUAGUUGUCUAAUGGCUAUUAUGUAAUUGCUGUGAUAAUUAAUAACAUGCUUUCCUAAUCAUGAAUCCAUCAUAUUUUACAUCAAAGGAAUGGAGUGGUUCUCAUUCAUGAAAAAGAGGGAAUAAAUUUACUUAACCAAAAACAGUACAGUAAAGAACUAAGAACGUUCCAAUUAUUUUCUGACAAAGCAUAUAUCCCAGAAGAAUUGAUUAUACAUACGGGUGUAGAGCAUCUGGAGCACGUCUUGAGCUGCUCAAACCAUAAGCAAGAAGAGCCUGAAAGUUGAUGAACAAUUAGUCCUAAGAUUCUUUGUUCUUGGACAUGGAACAGAGAGGAAACGUAUAUACAUUAACCGCCAUAGCAAAAAAAAAGAAAAAACGAAACGAACUUACCUGGUUAGCGAAGUCUGCAACGGAAUGCACUAGCUCAGCUAGCAUAACAUGACUUGAUGUUGAAAUCCACACUCCAAACUUUAGGGAGAAAACGAGGAAGUUGCACCAUAGUGCCGUGUUAACCGCUCGAUGGCUGAGGUCACAUUCCAUUAUCAAUUACAUUAAACAGAAUGUAUAUCAAAAAAUAACUUCAUGAGCAAUCCAAACAAGUAGCAAUGACAUUAUUCUGUUGAUAACAAAAUGCUGGAGACUGGAUUUGUUUUCUUCUUCCUGUUUUGUACAGAUAAAACUUAUAAAAUGAAUUCGGUAGGGGCUUCCCCUCCUGUUUGUUCAAAAAAAAACAAAACGCUGGAGCAACUAGUAUAGGUUAUCCUUUGUAAUUGCAUUUCUUUACCACAAUGACAAAAAAUAAAAGGUUAGUGUGCAAUGAGUAUUUAUCGUGCAGCAUCAUGAUUCAGACUCAUAGUUCAACCUGAAGCAAUUCGAAAUGGGCUUUUUUUCAUUCUCGUCAUCUCGUCCAAGAAAGGGGUAGGUCAAUGACCCUAUCCUCCAAAGGUACAUUCUCUCAUGCCACCCACCCCAAAAAUUAUCCAGAGCCUUGUUUAGUUGGCAAAAAUUUUGGAUUUUGGGUACUGUAACACUUUCGUUUGUAUUUGGUAACUAUUGUCCAAUCAUGGACUAACUAGGCUCAAAAGAUCCGUCUCGCAAAUUACAAGUAAACUGUGUAAUUAGUUUUUGUUUUCGUCUAUAUUUAAUAUUCCAUGCAUGUGCCGCAAGAUUCAAUUUAACGGGAAAUCUUGAAUCUUUUUGGGAACUAAACAAAGCCCAGAUACUCAUUUGGUAAGAGGAAUAACAUAUCCCCUACUGUGUACUGUCACAACAUCAAGGCAAGAGCAUUUGUGUUCCAUCACAGCACAGAAUCCACAGAUGUACAUAUACCAAAACUAUCUCACUCACAAAGUCACAAUUUAUCUGAUACAUAGGGUAGUGGGUACGAGGCACUCUGCUGAGCAUCUUUUUUAUUGCAAUGUUUCAUAUAUAAAUAGCCUAAUUAGAUUUUGCAUCAAAGCAAAGAAUAUCAAUAAUUCAUGACGAGAACAAACUUCAGAAAUCUGUUUCACUGGAUACGCAAUCUUCUGACUUCUGAGGUAAAUGUUAAGUGUAUGAAGGUCCAUCGUCAAAAUGUGACUUCUGAGAGAGAUCAAGGAAGGGGAAUUACCUGUGUUCAUCGUCAAAAUGUGCCUUCUUCUUGCCCUUGGCCACACGCAGAGAAUAACCUGCAUCAGAAAAGCAACAGCACCCAACAUAAGGCAAGAGCUAAACAAAUAAAAAAAAGCAGGCACAACGGGGGAUUGAAAGAAGGGGCCAGCCCUUCCUUACUGCGGGAGAUGGUGAGCCGGACGGGAGCCGCGUCGGCGACGGCGCCGGGGGGACGCGACGCCGCGGGAGGCAGAGCCCGCCUCCACCACCCGCCACGGAGGCUGAAGAGGCCCGCGGCAGCUGACGCGGAGAAGAGGAGAGGACGGGGCGAGAAAGCCGAGCCAGAUGGCGGGAGCGGGGGCAGCGGCGACGUGGGGCCCUCGCGGCCGUCGUCGUCGUCACGGCGGGAUAGGAGGAAUGGGCAGGGCGAGAGGAGACGAGUAGGGGAGGUGGAGGAGAGGCAGCGGAGGCGGAGGGCCGCGGAGGCGAGGGGACGACGCAUAUUUAGGCGUGCCGGCGUCGCCGGUGCUGCUUCCGCGGGUCGGGCGCAGCUCCCAUUCGUUGAAGGGUCUCCUGCGCUGCGAGGCUAGGACAGGUUCAGAGCAUCUCCAAGGACUUUGCAAAUGAAUUUUGCAUUUGGCGUUGUUUGUAAAGUCCCAAACUCAUUUGCAAAGUCUAAAAAUAGUCCAACUCCAAGUAACUUUGCAUUUAGACUUGGCAAACCCAAAGUGUGGACCCCACUCCCGAAUUUUUUUUCACCGAUCGCGUCCGCGCGUUUUUUCCCUUCGCGCCAUUUUGACGUAAGUCAUGCGUGCUAGUCGCCGCCCAGCCCAGAUCUUCUCGUUAGUCGCCGCCCAGCCCAGGCCGCGUUCGUCGUUCGUCGCCGUCGUCGUUCGCGUCAGUUCGGCUCCGUCCUCCUCCGAGGGAAGGCCCACCUCCGUUCCCGCGCCGUAGCCGCGUACGUCGUCGUUCGUGGAGAGCGGACGGUCGUAGAGAAAUCGCGCGGGGCGGGGGGGGACGGAGUUCGACGUGGAAGGCUGAAAUUGUAGAUGCAAAGUGGUGGGAAGGUUUGCAUAUAUGCAAAGCCUCAACCUCUAUUUGCAAAGUUAACCAAAUUGCAAACCUUAUUUUGUAAAACUAUUGGAGGGGUAUUUUCUACUCUUUUUUGCAAACAGGGCAAUGCAAAGUUUGUUUGCAAAGUCCUUGGAGAUGCUCUAAGGCCUCGUUCAGUUUGCAAAAAAAUUAGGACGAAAGCAAAAAAUUUUAGAUUUCGGACUUUUGGAAUUAAACGGGCCGGCGAAAUCUCGCAUGUGCAUUGUAGCCCAAAACAUUUCGGCCUGCUACCACCGUCGCCUCGGUAACCCCUCACUCGUGACCACCGCCCUUAUCCAUCCCCGUCAUCCCCAUCCACUCCAACCCUAGCCGCAGUCGGCAUACACCAUCCGCCACAGCCGCCCUUCCCAUCCACCUCCGCCGUCCGCCGCCUGCCACCCUCCCCCUCCCAAGUACCCGGUAGUGCAGAUCCGCCGCUCGCCGUGCCCCAGCCGGCCGAAUCCACUCGCCCAGCACUCUCUCAGCCAUUGUCGGCCACCACGGAGACGACUUCGACGCCGGCAACACCAAUGACGAGCGGGAGACCGUGUUCCCCACGGCCGAUGCGGACUGGUUCCAAGGCGGUGGUGGCUGCCAUUUCUCCAAAGGAGCGAGGUCUAGCCACGUCACCAACCCCCGCCUAGGGUUGGACAGCUUGAACAUCAACGGUGGCGAGGUAUGGUCUGGCGACCCUUCGUACCCCAGCAACUAUCCCAGUGAGUACAACGUGGCCGCAGGUUUUCCCCCUUCGAUUCGAGUCCCCGAACGCAGACCUCCUCCAAGCAUCGGCGGUGGCCCUCCCUCUCCAUUCUCCCCGCCGUGGUCGUCUCCUCAUCCGGCCAGAUCCGGGCCGGCCAGCCAACCUACGUAUGGUGACAUAGGACGAGCCUUCAGCCCGCCACGGCCGCCUCGUCAUCCGUCCUGGUUAACCCCGCCACGUCCUGCAUCAACAAGCCCGCCGUACCGCCGAGGUACUGCCCGCACCCAGCGAGGCGGUCGGCCCCAUCAAGCCACGACCGACGGCGACGUUCUACUGGUAUACCUUCGUCCUAGUACCUUUUUUGUAACAAAUUCAUACUACUUGUGCUUCCAAUUGAUGUCGUAGCCAUUCAAAUAAGUUAUGCAAUGUAAACGUAUCCCUUUCUUAUUAACACUGAUUUAGGCUACAAAAAGCAAGGCAAAUUGGUCCAGUGGAAAAACCAAAAUUUUCUGUGAGCUUUGGUGUCAGCAAAUUGGGAUCCGCAACUGUGUCAGGGGGGUCAUGAAUAAAACGGGGUGGAAGGACCUCCUCCAGAGACUAGAUUUCUUCUUGCCACUGGGUUGCUCCAUGACAGGGACUAGAUUUCUAGUAAGCUUAGGCAGCUGAAGACCCAGUGGAAGUUUUGUAACACACUGCGGUCCGGCUCUGGCUUAGGUCGUUUGGAAGACGGUGUUGUCAUUGCUAUGGGAAAAACAUACAAAGGUCAGUGCGUUCAUUCCUACAAAGUUGUUGUCAGCAAUAUCCUUCAUACAACACUUCAACAGUACUACAUUCAUAUUGCAGGGCCACUCUGAUUUUAAGAAGUUCAAGAAAGGUUUACCUUCGUACUUGGAUGAGAUGGACAUGAUGUUCACUGGGAACACCGCAGACAGGAUGUCGGCUUUUGUUCCGGCCAACAGUUCCCUAUCGACCUCACUGAAAGCUGCAACGAUGACGAGAGGGCAGAUGACCCUUAGUGCCAGGUGACACCACCAAGCAAUGGGACCAAGAGAACUAGCAUCAACAACACCACAGCAUGUAGCCCAAGCAAGAAGACUAAGAGUGUUGCAGUGCAGACCAUGGACAACCAAUUGCAGACCCACAAUGACAUCUUUCAUGAAAAGGUUUCCAUCAUAAAUUCCAUGGUCGAGUACAAGAAGGACAAGGAUGACAUCGUGUAAGCAGUUACGAAGAUAGCAAUGGAGAUGGGUGCCAGUGCCCAAACCAAAAUAUUGUUUGCUGGGCUGCACAACGUCAUCCAAAACGAGAACGAAAUGAAGUUCUUCCUCUUACUUGGCCAUGACGAAAGAAUUCUACUAAUGGAGCGUGCAGCCGGGGUGGACAACUAGACCUCGUUUUUUCAUUUGUGUUAUCUUCUGAAGUCGAACUAUGUUUCAUUAGUCACGAAAUAAGUUUGUAUGAACUAAGUGUGUGGUGUGUAAUUUUCGAGUCUGAACUGUGUUUGUGAUGUUUGAUAUUCAAACUAUUUGUUUCCAGUUCACUUUGUGAUGUGAGUUAUUUGAACUGGCAUGUGUCAGUGGAGUUAGUGUUGCAUGGCAUUGACAUAAACUGUGAAUGACGAUUUAAACCAGUGCUUAUUUCUGUACAUAGGCAAAUCUCAUUUCACCUGCUGCCAAGAAAUGGGUGGACAAAGGCGAUGACUAUUGGCGACGCUUAUUAUAUAAAAAUAAAUAUCUUUUUAUAAAUAAAAAUAAAUAGAAAAUAGGGCUUUGAUCUAAUCUUUCACGAGUUUUGGUAUAUAUGCUAUUUUCAGGUAUGACACGUGGAAAAGUGCAAAAGAUACAAGAAAUGCGCAAUGCAAGAAUUCAUAUUUAGAAAAGAUGCAAACCAACUCCAAUAGAGAAAAGUCCACAAAAGAUGAACUGACACAUGGUAAAAUGCUUGGGCAAGCAACAUGAAUCCAAGAAAAUUUUAUUGAAAAUCUUUGUAAAAAGGGUUGUCAUCAAUUACCAAAAAGAGAGAGAUUGAAAGCCCUAGUUUGGUUUUGGAUAAUUGAUGAAACCCUAGUACUAACCUCUAUACUAAGUGUGUGUAGACUUAAUGAGGUUGGUACAUGCCAAGUGAUGGAGCAAGUGAUGAUCAUGGUGAUGAUGGUGAUGACCACAAGAUGAUCAAGUGCUCAACUUGGAAAAGAAGAAAGAGAAAAACAAAACCCUAUGGAGAUCAAGGCAAAGGUAUUGCUUAGGGUUUUGGCUUGGGUGAUCAAGACACCAUAGAGGGUGUGAUCACAUUUAGGAUAGAUAGCCAUACUAUAAAGAGGGGAAUUCUUUGGCUAAGCGGUUAUCAAGUGCCACUAGGUGUCUUUGUUCAUGUGCAGGCAUUUAGAACCUAGUGAGCUAACUUAACUCCUUCGAAGAAAAUGUUUGUGAAAAUGCUAACACACGUGCACUUGUUGGUACACACUUUGUGGUGUUGGCACACUUUGAGAAGGGAGUUGAAGUUUGAAGGGUAGAGAGAGGAUGGGUUCCUCUCUCCCUCCCGCCGAGCUUGCGAGGCGGGAUUCGGCGCUUUUCGAGAAAAUAAAGUGCAUAUUUUCUAUUGCGCCGGUGGGAGUUUUGGAGAAGUCGCGGGAGUGUUUCUCACACCGGACGCUCUGCGCGGAGGCACCGAACGUUGGCCUUUAGCGUCCGGUGUGCUGUCGGGUGCAGCAGAGUGCACCGGACGCACCGGAGAGAGUCCGGUGCUCAGCGUCCGGUGUGCAGGCGGUUUGGCGACCCUCUCUGCGCAUGAGUCCGGUGAGCACCGGACGCUUAGUGUGCGUCCGGUGACCCUGCAAGUUUGCGGAGCUCUCUGCGCACGGGUCCGGUGUGCACCGGACGCGUCCGGUGGAAACUUGCUCAGCGUCCGGUGCUCUGUAGGUUACCAUUAGAUUCUGACACGCGGCUGACGUUGGAGCACCGGACGCAGGUGUUGAGCAUCCGGUGCCCCUUUAAGAGCGUCCGGUGACCCCGAGUUAGACCCAGUAAGAGAGCCAACGACUCUAUUUGUUUGAGGGGUCUAUAAAUAGUUGUUGGCCGGCUUAGGGCUUACUCUCUUGGCAUUCUAACAUACUUGACAUCCUUGUGAGCCUAAGCAAACACCUCCCACUCAUCUCCUUCAUAGAUUAUACAUCUUUGUGAGAUUGGGAGUGAUUCCAAGUGCAUUUGCUUGAGUGAUUGCAUCUAGUGGCACUUGGGGAUCGUUCUAGCUGCGGUUUUCUUGUUACUCUUGGUGGUUGCCGCCACCUAGACGGCUUGGAGCAGCGGAGGAGGAUUGGCACGAGUUGGUGAUUGUUCGUGGCCAUCUCCCGGUGAUUGUGAGGGGUCUUGUACCUUCCCCGGCGGAGAGCCGAAAGGUAACUCUAGUAAAUUGCUCGUGUCAUUGAGCUACCUCACUUGUGGGUAGGUUUUUGUGGUGUCCUAGUGACGACGAGGUUCAUGCUACACCUCUUAGCCACCGAACCACCAAGUGUUGGUCGACACAACGGGGACGUAGCGUGCCGGCAAGCACGUGAACCUCGGGAGAAAAAUUGGUGUCUCAUUUGUGUUUGAUUGGCAUUCUCCCGGUACUUGAUUGUUUAUAUUGGUGAUUGGUUCAUCCCCUACACGGCGGUAUAAAUUUCUCCUCCUAUCUUUACUUACCGCAAACUAGUGUAAUUAGUUAAGUUGCUUAGUUUACCUUGUGUAGCAUAGUUCACUAGUGUAACUUGUAGAGACUUAGCUUUUGUGUGCAUAGUGAUUGUAGCAACUAGAAUUGUUGGGUAGGUGGCUUGCAAACACCCCUUUAGAGCUAGAGCAAAAAGCUUCGCUUUGUUAUUUACUAACUAUUUGCUCUAGUGAGUUUGUAGAAUUUUUAAAUAGGCUAUUCACCCCCCCUCUAGCCAUAUUAGCACCUUUCACCAUGUUCAAUAGAGUUUUGAAUUCCCUAGUGAUGCUAGCAGCAGACAUUAUUAAGCUUGUGGACCCACAAUUCACAAGAUUCAUCCUAGACUUGAGCAACCUAGGUUUUAUCCCUACUUCAAGGACUGCAUAGGUGCUAUAGAUGGCACCCAUGUUCCUUGCAUGGUGCCUCAAGAAAAGUUUGUGCAGCACCUGUGCCGAAAGGGGAUGACCACACAAAAUGUCAUGGCUGCGUGUGACUUUGACAUGUGGUUCACUUUUGUUAUUUCUGGAUGGCCUGGGUCUGCACAUGACAUGACAGUGUUCAAGGAUGCAAUAUCAAGGUUCAGGGAUCUAUUUCCACACCCUCCUACAGGUAUGUAGAUAUAGUGUUGUUGAUGGUUUUGUUGUUGGUUCUCUAGUAGAGGCUAAUCUAAGAUUCAUUUGUCUAGAGAAGUAUUAUCUGGUGGACUCCGGCUAUGCUAACCGGCUGGGGUAUCUAGCUCCGUACAAGGGGACAAAGUAUCAUCUGCAGGAGUACUAAGAGGGACCUCAGCCUAAAGGUAAAGAGGAAACCUUCAAUUAUGCACAUUGGAGCCUUAGGAAUGUCAUAGAAAGGGCUUUUAGAGUGCUAAAAAUGAAGUGGCGGAUGUUACGAGAAAUCCCUAGUUACUCAAGUGACAAACAAAGCUGAAUCAUAGUAGCAUGUUGUGCUUUACAUAAUUUCAUAAGGACAAGUGGCAUACAGGAUAGACACUUUGCUAGGUGUGACCGUGAUAAGAACUUUGUGCCAGAAGAAGCAUAUGAGGAUCAGCCAGAAGGGGAGGUAGUGGAAGAUGACUCGCAGCUCAUGAAUGCAUUUCGUGAGUCCAUUGCGUAUGCUUUGGUUCAUCAUUCUUGAAAUUUUCUUGUGUUAAAGAAUUGGUGUUCUAUUGUAACAGUUUUAUUUGAUGUGUGUGUAUUUGAGAACAUUUUUGGCGACGAUUAAAGGUGAUUCAUUGUUGUAAACAUUAGAAGAUAUGGCACUGUGUAGAGUAUGUGCUAAAUUGGUGUUUAUAUUGUAACUGUUUUGUGUCAUGUAUGUGUAUGCAGCUGCUAUAGUUUUGGUGUUUGUUGAUUGUAUGUAGUUUCCUAUGAGGUAUGCGCAUGUGCAUGGAGGUGUUUGCAUGGGAAGCAUUGAAUGCUAACCCAAAAUUUAUUAGCAACUGCACAGCACAAUGCAAAAAUUUUAGGAUGGCAGGUUUUGACCCUAAAACCUAACAUGGCAGCUUUUUGGGCAAACCCAAAUUUUUUUGCAAACUAAACAAGGCCUAAUAAAAAUAGUCAACAGUGUAAAAUUUCUUCACGCGACAACAAAUUUUGUGUUGUCGUCCUGCCAUCCUCGUGUGAUCCCUGCGCUAACAUGUGGGCCUGCGUAGACGUGCUCGCAACACCCCUCACCUCCCCCAUCCCGCGUCCUCUAUUAGGGUUUGGCUGCCACCAUGGAACUGUUGGAAAUAAAAACAAUUUAGUAAUGCAUAGAUUAAUUUCGACAACAAGAGAAAGACUAACAAUAUGUAUCACAAAUAUAUGAAUCAAAACUAACACUACGAUCUAAGACAAAUUCACUGGAUCUAGUGCUAGCAACAGAAAUGAUAUGAGACCGAACAACAAAGAAAAGAUAGACAUUCUUACAAUGGGAUUGUCGGCAUGACGGAAGAAGAAGACUGUUGACGGAGAUCAGCGAACACCGGGCGUAGAGGGAAGAAGACGUCCAACGAGCAGUCGCGACGGCGCUCCCAAAAACCUGAUACGCCCCUACCCGAGCAGGGACGUGAGGAUACGAAGGCUUCAGAGCCUGCUCUCCCAACACCGAUGGCACGUCGGCGACGGGAUGGGGAAGACAACAGUAGCGCAGUAAUGUGGUGAGGAAGAGAUGAAUCUCUCGGUACUAAGGACGAUGUCUCGCCCCAUAUUUAUACAUGCAUCGCACGCAGCUAAGGAAAGUAAUUAGCCGCUCAAUCAAUCACAGUAUUAUGGAAAUUACCUGUUCUUUACACACUUGCCAUAAUACGAGAAUAAUUGCUUACCAAAUAGGCCAGUGUAAUUUCCUUCAUGCAUGCAAAAAUUUUUAAGUAGCAAAAGAAAGCCGCGCACUGUUGGUGCAAAAGUGGAUCUGCAAACACAAAGGGCUAAUACCCGAUUCAAACGUUAAGGCAUGCCAGCCGAUUUGACCUUACUAUCGGCAAAGGUGAUAACUUGAACACUUUGGUCCCGACAAUAGCGAUGCGCCCGGAUGCCACGGCCAAGAGGUAUUCACGCGGAACUCGAGAAUACGCCGAGCUUAAGUCAACGAACUCUUAAGAACUCGUAAUAAAAAGGAAAAUAUGACGAAGUCGUCGAAAAAGUAGAUGCUGGAAUAUGAGUAAAAACUUGUGUUUGAUUGAUUGAUAGAUAUCUCAUUACAAGGCCCUAGGGUCUACAUUUAUACCCUGCUCAAAGAGCUACAAUCAGACACGACUAGGACUCGAAUUCCAAUUUAAACAAAAUCCGUAUACAAAAUGAUUUUAAAUAACUAAGGAAAACAUAGAACCACCCCCUCAUAACCGACUGGGACACCGCCACAGAUCAAUUGGCAACCUCCACGCUUCCCUUUAGAGUCAUCGGCAGUCUUCCUGUUAUGGCCAUCGGCAAACACCAAUAUUGAUCAUCGGCAAGAACACGUCACCACCUCUGGACUUAGUCAUAUUCAAUCGUCUCUUCAUCGGCAACUAUCCUCAUCGGCAACUCUUCUGCAGGCUAGUUACCGUUGCUCCACCUGCCGAUCUAUACUCUACUGGUCUCUGGGUACGUGUCCAAAAACGGUGUCAACACAUACCCCCCAAUUUCGGAGUAUGAAAUCAUUAAUGCUCUGAAAUUCUCUGCAGUAAUGAUGCCUUUCCGCAAUUAAUUCUCCCAAUUUGGUAACCAACCGUUUAAAUCUGAACAACCUUGGCCCCUGCAGGUUCCUCGAAUUCCUCAACCUUCCGAACCGGAUCUCUCCACUUUAUGCGCCCAUCGGCAAUAUUACCGUUAGAGGGAACUGCCGAUGGACCGACCAAGAAAUCCCGCACAGUAAAAUAUCUCCAGAUCAUGACCGCUUCCUGUCAAAUCACCUGCGCAAUCCCUUGAUUACCGUGCGAACAGUUACCAUAUCCACCUAAGUAUCCUCGGAUUUCACGGAUACGGCGGAGAGAUAAGUCAAAUUUGCCCUUGCCCGUUUUGUCCUAUAAAUACUUCAUUCUCGGGUACUCCUUCUCCAUCGCAUCAUUCUAUAGCCCCAACUCUGCUUUCCUGGCGGCGGCACUGUUCAAGAGCUCCAAGAACUCCAACAAGAACUUCCUCCAACAACUCCCAAGUUUUCGAUCUUCUCCCCUGCGAGGAGAUGGCCAUCAACUUCGUCGUUCCUGAGGUCAGCGUACUGCCCUUUUUCCUGUACUUUUACUGUACCCCUAUUCAUCCGCAAUCUGUCUUACCGAAUCCUUUUUCUUUUUGUUCUUCUUUUCGCUCCCAAAAAUUUCUAGGAUUUGGCCGAUAAGAUCGUUAUUCCUACCGAUCAACCCCAUCUUCAAUGCCUUGGUCCACUAGGAAACUUGGAUCCCACCGAUCUUAUAAAUGCGGAGACAAACAGAAUCCCUUUUAGAGCCGAGAAUUUUUCUUUAGAUCUAUGGAAGGAUGCUUUCCGUUCCUGGCCCAGUCCUACCAAGGGAUGGAAGGAUUGGUUCCUGAGAGUCAGUAACUCAAAUGAGGUCCAAUGGGGUGAACGGAAACAUGAUCAGUGCAUUAGAUUGUCUCUUGCCAAUAUGGAGAGAAAUGAGUCACUACUGAUAGCUGCCUCAUACUUUUGGUCAGACACACUCAAUGCUUUUGUGUUUGGCCAUGGCCCUGCUUCUCCUACACUUGCCGAUGUGCUUAUGCUCAUCGGCUUAGAUGUAUCCAGUGCCGAUACCACCCAUCUGUUUGAUACCAAACCCAGUGCUAAGGUGGAAACUCGUUCUAUCGGCGGUUGGUCAGGGUACAUCCAGAAGUACCGAAGAACAGGCCCUGUCAAUGUAAAGGAACAUACCACCUUUCUGAACAUGUGGCUGGAUAAAUUCGUAUUCUGUGGCCGAUCGGCAGGACCAACUUCGGUUUACUUAUCGGCAGCAGAAAGAUUAGCCAAUGGCGGCCGAUUUCCUCUUGGCCGAUACUUGCUUGGUUCGGCCUAUCACCUCCUCCACCAGGUAGCCCAGAAACCACUGCUUGGUCAACCCAUCGGCAACUUAGGGGUCCCUGGUGGUUCAUCAAUAUGUGGCUUAGUCUUCACAUGCACAAGCGCCUUGAGUUCGACCUCUUUGCACAACGCUUCCCUAGGGAUAUAGCCGAGGAUUAUGAACUGGAUGAAGAAGAAUCGGCAACUCGUUCCCCUCUGAACUUUGGCGAAGCCGUCAUAGUUUUGCCUGGCACAGGUGGCAACGCAGACCAGGUUAGCCGAUUCUUCCAAACUCUGUAUGAGGGUUUGACCAGGGAACAGCGGGCAUGGAUGCCCUAUGAAGACCCAGACACCAGAUUCCCUCUGACUUUCCACCCCUUCAAUGAUGCUCUCAACAAGGAUCGUGAGGUGAUGAUGGCAAUUAUCACUCCUAGAGCUAUACCGGUGAACUUCUUUGGCAGUGGGAAAGCUUCUAAUCUGACUUAUGAGUUCUACAAUCCAUCGGCACUAGCUCAUCAACUGGCUUUCGGCCAACUGCCGAUUGCACUUUGCUACGCCGAUGUGAUAAAGCCGAGGGAGAUUAUCACCAGCCAUCUGGAAUGGAUCAGGGUAGCCCAACUUCCACCAAACGCCGAUACAGAUGUAGAUCUAUCGGCUUGGAUCCCAGCUCUCUUCAUCACUCAGGCAUACAAACAGUGGUGGGAAGAAUGGAAAGAGCACCUGUUCUGCAGAUCGGCUCUUACAUACCGUGGCAUGAUCGACCCUCAAUACAAAGUCCCCGACAACACUGUAAGUACUUCUAAACCAAUGUUUCAAUCCUUUCACUCUUACUUCCAUCGGUAACUCACUUUCUGUGUUGUAUUACAGGUUGAUAAUACGCCACCACUAGUCAGCAGGAGUGGCAGGCCGAUUGAACUCCUUCCAUCGGACCCAAUUUCUUUGAUCGGCAACAACGCUCCAACCCUGGCUGCUAUAAUGCAUCGGGGUGUACGCCUCAAGAAAGUCACUACCAAACGAACGAGAACAUCCCCAUCAGUGGCUGCCACUGCCCUCGCACAAGCCUUCAAGGAAAAUUCUCGAGUCCUUCAACUUAUACCGAUUCCAUUCUUAUACUUAUUACACUUGUACUCAUAAUUUUCUCACUGUUGUAUCAGCACACCGGUACAUCGGCAAAGACCAGAAGUACGACUGCCGAUGCCCCCCAGUCCAGUCAACCGAAGAGAAAAGGUUCCAAGAGUACCAGAUUACAAGCAAAGCGCCAGAGAACAGCAACGCCUUCUCCUCCCCCAGUAUCUCCGAUUCCAGUAGAAUCAUCCCCUUCUCCUCUAGAAGCCCAGAUACAAACAGCACCGUCUCCUCUUCAACCACAAGAAGAAACCCAAACAGAAGAACCCCAGCCAAAAGAACCUCAGCCAGAAGAACCUCAGCCAGAAGAAACGUCGGCUGAUGUACGCGAGCAAACUGCCGAUCCAGCAAGCCUAAUCAUAGCAUCGGUAGUUUCCUCGAUUCAGACCAGUACUGCACCUCCUCAAGGUAACAUACUUUUUAGUUAUUGCCGAUGAACUUACUUUUUCCAAUUUGUAAUUACCUCUGUUAAUCUUUCAGCUGACGUAGUCUCAUCGGCAAUCCCAGCCGAUCAACCUGUGGUUCCAUCGGCUUCAACUAGUCAGAGGCGAGAGAUAGCUCUGAAGCAAGUAAGUUACCCGAUCCUUAUUUUUAUUGUUAUCAGUACUUGACCAUAAAAAUAACUUAUUCUGUCUUCUUUUCUAGGAACAAGAUUCUCCCGACAGCCUGUUCUCCUUCGCCAUCGAGAUCUCUGAGGAUGAAGGAGAGGAAGCAAGUUCUUCUCGAGCAGUUGGAAUCUCAUCGGCAGAGAUUAGAGAAAAGCUGGCAGAUCUGUCAGCCCUUCUCCAUCAAGAUACAGCACAAUUGGUCGAUGACUCUUAUUCAGUCAAAGUUCUAGAGAGUCGUCAGCUGCAGUAUCAAAAGGCUGCCCAGCGUCUUGCCGAUAGAGCUGCUCACGCCCAGCUUUCAGAGGAGAUGAUGAAAGUGAAGCUCCUUGCCGAUGAGAAGCAUAAGAGCAUCGACAUUCUGAAAUCCUCAGGAGAUGUACUAAAGCAAAAGAUCUCUGAUCUAUCGGCGAGAAGGGAAGCUCUGUUGGCUGAACUCAGACAAGUGGAAGAGGCUCUGUCCCAAGCUCAACAGGAAGAAAGCAAACUGCCUAAAGCAAUCAAGACUCUUGAACAAGAGCGAAACAUCCAGGCCCGUAAAGCACUGCAGAUGAAGAAGAAAUUGAAGCCAGUGGAAGGCUCUGCCGAUGAUGACGUGAAGGAGAUAGAAGAAGCCAACCAGAUCCGUCUGCGCGCCAUAUCGACGAUUCAGGCUCUUUAAAACAUGUAAAUUCUUCAUCCGCAGCGUGCUUUGUUUCUUUCUUCUAAUCAUUUUGGUCCAGCCGAUAGGACUGUUAUCGGCAUCCUUUUAAAACAUUAAGUCCGGCCCCAGAUAUGCUUUUAAUUCAGCUGAUAGGAAUGUUAUCGGCACUUAAACUUUCAAUGAUCAAGCCAUAUGCUGGGGUAAUAUCUCUUUAAAUAUUUGCCGUUCAAUGCUCUGGGAAAUUCAACUCCUUCGAGAGUUUCUAAGAUAUAGGCAUUGCCAGGAGCAGAUCGAUUUAUCCGAUAGGGACCCUCCCAAUUGGGAGACCACUUCCUAAAUUUUGAACUUUUAGUCCCGAUCGAUAAGAUUAGUUUCCAUACUAAGUCUCCAUCGGCAAACUCGUUAGCCUUUACCUUCUUAUCAUACCAUCUGACAACUCUCUUCUUAUUUUCUUCUAUACUUAUCAAAGCCCUUAGCCGAUGCCCUGCUAGAUCAUCCAACUCGUUUGUCAUCAAAGUAGUAUAAUCAUCGGCAGCCAGUUGAUCUUGAAAAGAUAGUCGCCUAGACCCAGUUUUAAUUUCCCAAGGUAGCACUGCAUCAUGUCCAUACACCAGCUGAUAGGGUGAAACUUUGGUCGACCCAUGACAAGCCAUCCGAUAUGACCAUAAAGCUUCAUUUAACAACGUAUGCCACCUCCUAGGAUUUUCUUCAACCUUCCGUUUAAUGAGUUUGAUAAUUCCUUUGUUAGAUGCUUCGGCUUGCCCAUUAGCUUGAGCAUAAUAAGGAGAAGAAUUUAAUUCUUUAAUUCCCAUACCGAUUGCAAACUCAUCAAACUCCCCUGAUGUAAACAUAGUACCCUGAUCGGUAGUAAUUAUUUGAGGGAUUCCAAAUCGGUAAAUAAUAUGCUCUUUCACAAAAUCAAUCAUAUUGGCCGAUGUGACUUUCUUCAAAGGAAUAGCUUCAACCCACUUGGUGAAAUAAUCGUUGGCAACCAAUAUGAAUUUAUGUCCUUUGCUGGAUGGUGGGUAAAUUUGGCCGAUUAGAUCAAUAGCCCACCCCGGAACGGCCAAGGUUUAAUAAUGGGAUUCAUGGCCGAUGCGGGUGCCCUUUGAACAUUGCCAAACUUCUGACAUGCUUGACACCCCUUGAAAUAUUUAAAGCAAUCUUCAAGUAUGGUUGGCCAAUAAUACCCAUUCCUCCUAAUCAUCCAUUUCAUCUCAAAAGCCGACUGAUGUGCUCCACAUACUCCUUCAUGGAUUUCCCCCAUUAAACUUCUAGCCUCACCAUCAUCUAAGCAUUUGAGAAGAACUCCAUCAAUUGUUCAAUAAUAUAAUUCAUCCUCGAGGAGCACAUACUUGGUGGCUUGAAACCGAACACGUCUCUUAACUUUCUUGGAUGGAUCCUUUAAAUAAUCAACGAUUUCUUUCCUCCAAUCAUCGGCACUGAUUGCCGAUAUUGUGUUUAACAUGGGCUGAUAUCCCGAGGCAUGCUGAGCCAACCGAUUGGCCUCUUCAUUAUACAGUCGAGGAAUAUGCUCUAAUCGAAAAUCCUUGAAUUACUUUAACAGUUGCAUACUCCUUUCGUAACAUGUUAUUAAGACCUCACUUCGGCAUUCAUAACUUCCAGCCAAUUGAUUUAUAACCAACAUAGAAUCUCCAAAGAUCUCAACAGCAUUAGCAUGAACCUCUUUUAACAACUCCAAUCCCUUAAUUAAGGCUUGAUAUUCAGCUUGAUUAUUUGUCGACGUGGCAACAAUCGGCAAGGAGAAUUCAUACUUCCUUCCCUAAGGGGAAAUUAACACUAUGCCGAUUCCUGCCCCCGGUCACAUGUGGAUCCAUCAAAGAAAAACGUCCAAGGCACAAUUUCCAAAGCUUCCACUGCACCGCAAUGUUGAGUUACAAAAUCGGCUAUAAUUUGUCCUUUAACCGCCUUAGCCGAUUCGUAACGCAAAUCGAAUUCCGAUAGUGCCAAAAUCCAUUUACCGAUUCUGCCACUCAUGAUCGGCAUGGAUAGCAUAUACCGGACCACAUCAUCUUUGCAUAUAACAGUGCAUUCGGCCGAUAGUAAAUAGUGCCUCAAUUUAAUACAUGAGAAAUAUAGGCAUAAACAUAACUUUUCAAUGGCCGAAUACCUGGUCUCAGCAUCAACCAAUCUCCUGCUUAAAUAGUAAAUCACACGCUCCUUCCCUUCAAAUUCUUGAAUUAAAGCUGAGCCGAUGACCAUCCCAUCGGUAGAUAAAUAUAAUCUGAAGGGCUUUCCUUGCUGAGGUGGAAUCAGAACUGGAGGAUUUACCAAAUAAUUCUUGAUUUCAUCUAAAGCCAACUGUUGCUCUUUCCCCCUACAAACUCUUGAUCGGCUUUCAAUUUGAGCAAAGGACUGAAAGCACGAAUUUUACUAGACAAGUUAGAUAUAAAUCUCCUGAUAAAAUUUACCUUGCCGAUCAAGGACUGGAGCUCAGUUUUGUUGGUAGGAGCAACUAUUUUGUUGAUAGCAUCAAUGGAUCUCCUACUAAUUUCAAUCCCCCUUUGAUGCACCAUGAAACUAAGAAAUUGCCCUGCCGAUACACCAAAUGCACACUUAUUAGGGUUCAUCUUUAAACCAUGCUUCCUUGUGCAUUCCAACACUUUUCGCAAAUCGGCAAGAUGUUUUAUGAAAUCCCCAGACUUAACCACCACAUUAUCAAUAUAAAUUUCCACCAGCUUGCCGAUGAACUCAUGAAAGAUAAAAUUCAUAGCCCUCUGAUAGGUAGCACCAGCAUUUUUCAAACCAAAGGUCAUGACUAUCCAUUCGAACAAUUGAACAUGACCAGGACAUCUAAAUGCAGUCUUUGGAAUAUCUUCUUCAGCCAUGAAUAUUUGAUUGUACCCUGCAUUGCCAUCCAUAAAGCUGAUGAUCCGAUGCCCAGCCGUAGCAUCAACUAGCAGAUCGGCAACUGACAUUGGGUAGCCAUCCAUCGGUGUAGCUUUAUUGAGAUUCCUGAAAUCAAUGCAAACCCGAAGCUUCCCAUUUUUCUUGUAGACUGGAACAACAUUGGAAAUCCACUCGACAUACCGACACUGCCGAAUAAAUUUAGCUUCAAUAAGUUUGGUUAUUUUGGCCUCAAUAUCAGGAAGAAUAUUAGGAUUACACCGGCGAGCUGGCUAUUGAUGUGGCCGAAAUCUAGACUUGAUGGGUAACCGAUGUUCAACAAUCGAUCGAUCUAAACCAGGCAUCUCAGUAUAAUCCCAAGCAAAGCAAUCUUUAUAUUCCUUUAACAAAUCAGUUAACUGCUGCUUACACUCAGAAUUUAACUUAGCACUAAUAAAAGUAGGCCUAGGCUUAUCACCACUUCCUAUAUCUACUUCUACUAAAUCAUCGGCCGAUGUGAACCCUUGACCUAACUUUCCAUCAUCGGUGAACCUAUCCAUUAAAACUCCUCAUCAGAACCGACUGCUUGGAUCGGUGGAAUCUCAUAAUCGGCAACUUUGAGGAAAUCCUUCUCCCAAAUUUCUCCCGAGAUACACCUAGUCCUCUCAUAGGUAUCUGCCUCUGCCGAUGCGAUGACAUAAGAAGAAUCUCCCGGGACAAUCUCAAUCUUGUCACCUACCCACUGAACCAAGCAUUGGUGCAUCGUCGACGGGAUGCAACAAUUGGCUUGAAUCCAAUCUCUCCCUAGCAGCAGAUUGUAGGCACCUUUCCCACUGAUCACAAAAAAGGUCGUCGGCAAGGUCUUGCUGCCGAUGGUCAAUUCGACGCAUAUUGCUCCCUUAACUGGAGACACAUUCCCUUCAAAAUCUUUUAGCAUCAUAUCGGUCUUGGUCAAAUCUUGAUCUCCUUUUCCAAGCUUCCGAUAGACUACAUAUGGCAUGAUGUUGAUAGCAGCUCCACCAUCAAUUAAUAUCUUGGUCAUUGGCUGACCAUCAACCCUUCCUUUGACAAACAAAGCUUUAAGAUGCUGCCUUUCAUUAUCGGCAGGCUUUUCAAAGAUAGCUGUCAUCGGAUCUAGAGCCAACUGAGCUAUCUGGUCGGAAAACUCCAACUCCUCAUCAUCAUUGGAUGGCACAAGGAAUUCCAUUGGCAACAUAAAUACCAUGUUAACAUCUGCUGAUGGCCUUUUCCCUUUAGGAUCUGGUUGUUGCUGAUCCCUAGACUGGCCAGAGUUCUCUCCCUUGCUUAGCUUGUCACAGAACCGACCAAAUUAUAAGAGUUCAAGUGUAGAAACGAUCGACAAGCAAUCAAGUUUCCAAACUUGAGCCCAUAUAAUCCCGGUAGUCAACUGAAAUCACGAAGGACUUCAAACCAACUUGCAACAAACCAAGAUCGUAAUAGCUCUGCACAACACAGCGAAUGUUACAUAGUCAUUCAUUGCCGUCGAAGCGGCACCACAUCAGAGUUACUUAGUUAUUACAACACAUGUUUGUAGUAGCGGAAGCAAAAUAAUUUACACACACUUUCCAAAGUUCAGUUCAUAAGUUCUUGUUAUAGCCAAAGUCGUACACCAUCCAUCCAAAAGCAGCAGGUACGAGUUGGUUAGAGAACCGUGCCCAACGGUUAGUCCUCAUCCCCAGCGGGAUGGAGACAGGUCUUGCAGAAGCCAUCAUAAAAGAUAUCAUCUGCAAUAGGUGGGAAUAAACCCUGAGUACGAGAAUGUACUCAGCUAGACUUACCCGUCUAGUAAAACAUAAAAGACACCAAGGAUCAUGCAAGGCUAAAAUCAAGUGGAGCUGGUUGACUCAACAUUUGCCAAAAGCUUAAAUUAUAACUACAAUGUUGUGAGAGCGUUAUAUUAAUCAUCAUUAGCCUACCACUAGAUUAGCACCUGUACUAAAGCACUUCACUUGACUAUUACAAGCAAUAAUAACCAUAUCAAAUUCAUCAUAGGUUCUCCUUGCUAUCAUCAUUAUCACGAACCAAGUUCAUUAGUGAAUGCUACGUUUGCCGCUGCUCUGUCAUGUUCUCACUAACCGGGAGAGACAGCGAUUCGAAUCGAAUUCCUAUCCAGCUGGAGGGGUAUUCCUAGCACUCACCCAAGCAUCCCCCGUCGGAGAGCCAACGGGUCACCUUUGGUACGACUCAGGAAUCGCGGUUUCGAUCAGCGCCGCACUCCCAGGGCUACCACUCUGCCAGGGAGGCCAGGAAUUUUAACUCACCUGCCUUUGGGCUUACGCCAAUGGUCCCCCGCACACCGCACUUCCUCCGGUAGUGCGCACUUUAUACUUAUCGGCCUUCCAGCCUAAGUCAUAUUACUAGGCUUCGCGGUCGGAACGAGUUAUCCGGCCAACUAAGUGUUAGGCAUGCGUUCAACAUGACAAGAGGACGUACAACGGUCGGUCCUUAGCCGCCACAGACGGAGUUACUACAACCUUGCAAAACUCCGCCCGACUUAAGUCAAUUUAAUCAGGUUCCAUCCAUGAUAGUACAUAUAGUCCAUCGUGAUCCGACAUAACCCUAUAUCGCGCAGGUGACAGGAUAUCACCCGACUUCUACCGAUUAAAGCAUGGCUAAGCUGCUACUCAAUCCUAACUCUAUAACCAGGUAGUGGUAAGAUAUCUGGACAAGGAAUGAGUAAAAUGCAGCAAAGGUUUCAUCACAACUCCUAUACUUAAAUGCAUCAAUAGAUAUAACAUAUUCAAGUAAACUUUCGAAAAUAAAGGGAGACUUAGGAUGCUCCGGGGCUUGCCUUUCACGAACGAAGCUGGUUCAUGGUUCGGGCACUCAACUUCUUCUUCGGGCUCCUCGAGUCUGGCUUGCUGGACCUCCACCUCCGGGUUGCCCUCCUAGCCUUCGGGGUUCACUUGAAGCUCGUAGGAGGCGGUCGCGUCCGGUACACCUAUUGCAUGCUCGAUGAAUAAGAAAAUGUGCAUACUAAAGGAUGAAUGCUUGACACAUAAUUAAAUUCACUGGACACUCAUAUACGGAGUAACGGUUAUCACAAGUUCACACAAGAUAGUAAGUUAACUUAGCCAAAAUCUACCAAGAUAACCUAUAAACAGCAAGCAUUACAUAAAGAACAUCUCAGAAAACAGGUCAUAACUAAUCUAGACAGAUCCAACAAACCUAAGUGAGGACAUUAUGGAAAGCUUAUGAAAUUGCCUACAAAUCAUCUUUAAAAAUAACCGCAAGAUUCAUAAGUUAAACAAGCCUUAUAAACAAAGUUCCAGGUUCUGUCCCAGAAAAACAGAAAGCACCUAUUUCUGGAAUCCAACUUGGAACAGCCAUUACUUUCAAACUACUGGACUAAAUGAUCCCAAAAUUAAACCACAGCUAGUUCAUAAAGUUUACAACAACUUUGAUUUAGACAAGUCUUCCAGAUAACCAAGUUUUUAAUAAGCAAAGAUUGAAUUACUUCCUUGCUGUCCAGAACAGCUUUUAACCCUGCAAUUAAUUAUUUGAUGACAUGGCCAACACAUAAUCAGUGUCAACCACAUGACUUAUAAGCACAAACAUAUCAUAAGGUUACCAGAACAUCAUAUGAUAACUUCUAAACAUUUGUUAACAAGGCCUUUAAUAAUUUAAUUCUAUAAAAGAGCAUAAUUACAAGAUACUAGCAAAAGUACUCAGAAAAAUCUAUAAAAAUUACACAAGCACAAGCAGAGCAUGGUGACAUCACCAUAAAAUUUUCAGAUCAAAAGCACAUGCCAAACUCAAGAUAAGCAUUUAACAUGUGACAAGGUAUUUAUUUCAUAAAUUCAGAAACAUGGCUUAUAUGGUGUCAAACAACAGAUUUCAGAUUAUUUACAUGUUACCAGUACCAUAAACAAGUUUGUCACCAAAGUGGAGCAUCAGCAUAAUCACCAAUGAUUUAUUAUGAUUUUAAUAAGAAAACAAGCCAUAUCUCAAUCAUAAAUUACAUAUCAUAGAUGCAGUACUCAAAAAGUCAUGAAAUAUUCAUCAUAGCAUUCUAGUACUACACAGAGACUACCAUAAAAAUUUCAUGGCAAAAGGAGCAGUAUAACAAAAGAUAUGAAUUUACUCAUGAAUAACAAGAUUAAAUCCUAAUAAAUAUUUUUCCCAGAAAAUAUGGUCCAUUUAAUUUUUUAAUAAAAACUAGCCAUCUCAAGGAACAUCACAAAAUUGGUUUCGCAAUUUUUGGAUCACCAGAACCAGAGAUAUGAUUUUUGCAAGAAAUCCAAAAAUCUGGAAUUUGAAUAAAAGGAAGGAGGAGACCGUUGAGUCACUAACAACGGGUCCCGCGCGUCAGCGACCCAGAGAACAAGGGACUCCUUCGCCGGCAAAUGCUCGCCGACGGUGAGCUUCUCCGGCGGAUCCAAGGGCACCAGCGUGCUCCUGGAGUGAUUCCGCAUCGAUGAAGGUAAGUGGCGCUAGGGUUUCGGCUACGGAGAGGGGUCGCCGUCGGCCAUGGCGGCACGGCGGAGCUACCCCGGCUUACGCCGGCCAUCUCCGACCGGUAGAGCGUCGGGGAAGGGCGGUUUAAGCAUCAGCGAGUUAGCGCGGAGCUUUCUAGGUACAAACGCCUAACCCUAAUGGCUCCGGUGAGUCUGCUCACGUGCAAGGUACUCGUCGGCGGUGAGCACGACGGUGCGGCGGCCGUGUUCCCGCGCGACGGUGAUGCCUCAGCCGUAAUGGCAUGGCGUGGACCGACAUCAAGACCUAAGCCGACCUUAACGCGACUCAGAAGGGAGAAAGGAAGCAAGGAUGGAGCAGCAGCGAGGUUCGCCGGAAUCGGUGUCGCGACGGCCGUGAACCCGACGACGACGAACUCGCGAAAUGUCGCUCACCUCAGGGAGAUCUCGUCCAACCGAGGGGUGGAGAAGAUGUAGGAGCUCGAGGCGAACUUGGAGACGCUCGGAGGCGAAGCAAAAUGCAGAGGCGAGGGCGCGAGGAGCUCGCGAAGUUCUCGGCGGCAAUGGCGACGGCGUUUCCGCCUGGCGGAGCGCGAGAGAGAGGAAGGAAGAGAGUGGACGGGCGCUGAGUGAGUGCGGGGCGUCGUGGCAUCCAUGCCAACGCCGACGACCUGACGAGCGGGGCUAACACCGGCGUACGGGCGCCAACUGGCGGACAGAUGUCGCGCUGGGCGUCCACGACGGCGAGCUCGGUUCUGAAUCAGGCGACGCGAUCACCGUCUGACAGAGCAACUUCGACGGCGAUUAACUCCCAAACCAAAACGAGUUAGGAGAUGAUGUAGUUGACAAAGUUGGAGUACUAGCUAAGUUCUACAUCUUUGUCAACUGGAGCAAGAGCCAAAUCAGCCUGGACUGAGAGAUAUGAGAUUUCCAAAAUCGUUCGAGCAAACUGCUCGUGCCAGGACUUAGCCAAAAUCGACUAAGUGCUAAAACAGCACCCAAAACUGCCUUGUAGGUCACUUUUGAGCUAGAUGUGGUCAUUUUCAUGAGAUGGCCAUAAAAUAACUUUUGUUCCAUAUAAAAUUUUCUACAACUUUGGUAUAGAAAGUUUUGACAUGAACACAUUUUAUGAAACACUUUUUAAAAGCCUAAGCAAAAGAGGUUUCUAGGGCCUAUUUGAGUAAGUAUGACUUAAGUGAUUAUUUUGGGGAAAUGAUCAACAUGAACAUUGUUCCUAAUGUUGAAUUAAGCAUAGAUAAACUAAUUACCAAGGCAUAACACACAAACAUGAGUAUGGUUCACACAAACAUAAGCAUAGGAAGCCUAUUUAAACAACUUAAAUCACAUUUUUACAUAGAAUGACAUGGCUCAAGGUAGAUGAUGAUCAUGAUAUGCUUGAGAGACUAAUGAUGCUCAUGUUAUGCAUAUGAUUUAUGCAACCAUAACACUGGGGUGUUACAGCCCUCCCCCCUUACAAAAAUCUCGUCCCGAGAUUUGAAAGCUUACUGAUUUUCGAAGAAUGUUUUGUAAACUUCUUUUAAAUAAUGCUCCGUCUCCCAAGUGGCAUCUUCCUCCCCGUGGUUACUCCACAACACCUUGUAGAACUUAACCACACGAUUACCAGUCACCCGUUCCUUGCGGUCAAAAACCGCUACAGGUUUUUCGUGAUACACCAAGUCUGACUUCAACUUGAUAUCCCAAACUUCCACUCGUUCCUCCGGAACACGAAGGCACUUCUUUAAUUGAGAUACGUGGAAGACAGGAAAAAUAGCUCGAAGCUCAACUGGGAGUUGAACUUUGUACGCCACAUCCCCUUUCCUUUCAAGAAUCUGAUAGGGUCCCACAUAACAAGGUGCAAGCUUUCGCUUGACUCCGAACCUUUGUACACCCUUCAUCGGAGACACCUUGAUAUACACAUGGUCACCGACUGCAAACUCAAUCGGCUUCCUUCUCUUGUCAGCAUAACUUUUCUGACGAGCUUGAGCAGCUUCCAGAUGUUGCUGGAUGGUAAGGACUUGCUGCUCUGCUUCGUUCACGAAAUCGAUGCCAUAAUACCUUCGCUCCCCGGAUUCUACCCAAUUCAACGGGGUUCGACACUUUCGACCAUACAUGGCUUCAAAUGGAGCCAUCUUGAUACUCUCCUGAUAACUAUUGUUGUAAGAGAACUCAGCUAAUGGCAACCACUUAACCCAAGAACCCUUUGAAGAGAGAGCACAUGCCCUCAACAUGUCUUCUAGGAUUUGGUUGACUCGUUCAGUUUGACCUGCCGUUUGGGGAUGAUAAGCAGAACUACGGACUAAGUGAGUACCAAUCUGCUCAUGUAGACACUCCCAAAAACGGGCAGUGAACUGUUGGGUAUUCUUAACAUCAUUACCAAGAGUAGACAGUUUUCUAAUUCUAGCCAAAAAUGCCAAACCUAUCCCUCACACCACUUAAGCCAAGUUGUCAUCCCCAGCAUGACAUGAGAGACGCGGUAUUGAAAUAUGCAAUUGCUCUUCUAAAUAAAUAAUGAAUGGGAUCUGCAAGCGCACAGAUUAAUACCGAUGUAGCAUUUUAACCGGGAAGUAUUCCAGGUAUCGUUAUUUAUAUUUUUACCACUGGGAAGGGAUUAGCAAUCAUCAAUAUUGAUUACAGAAUAGAAUAUGAGAUUGAGUAUCUAUCAUUGCAUGUAUAAUUGAGAACAUUUAUCUAACUGUUUCAUACAGGGGUAAGUGUCACAUAAAAGAUAUAUGAAGUAAUGAAUAGUGACAAAGAUAAUUAAUCUGAUCAGCCACAUAUAAAUAUGAUAAGCACCUCAAUUAGAUACUCUAGAAAGUCAUUAGCAUGGUAUUAGAACGAACUACAAGAAUAUUUCCUAAGUUAUUCUCAACUAUAUAGUCUAGCAUUAUCAUAAUUAGUGCAAGCAUACUUAGCAAUCAUUGCAAGACAAAACUACGCCCAUGCAUAGUGAUAUUAGCAAGGUAAAUGAGAAACAUAGCAAUCACUCCUCUGUAAUAAUAUUGCUCUGCCAGCCCAAUACACGAGAGGGGGACUAUAUAAGAAUCAAUGAAGCUGUCACUAUCACGAACUACCCCACGAUGUGGCAUAUUGGGUACAAUCGCAGAUAAAUACGGUAUAAGCACCACGCCUACACAAUAUCUAUCAUUUACCCAUGGAUCCGAUGGAUAAAUGCUAUACGAUCCUAAGCAUGUAUAUAGAUCCAAUCUAACUAAGCCAAGUACAUAACUAUGAUAAACUAAGAACAAUAUAAUCCUGAAUAUAAACAAGUAGAGCAAAGUCAUAAGCAAUAUAUUGAAGUAGAACAAAGUCAUAUUCAUAAUAUUGAAUAACAAAGAUGAUUAGAAGAACAAUUAGAAGCAUAAUUAGAGAAUUACCAAGAAUCCUCUUGACAGAUCCGGAAACCAAUUGAAGAUUGACUCCUUCUAGUUCUAAUCCUAUGUAGCUAUGCUAAUCUAGAUGUCUAAUUGAUGUGGUGGCUCUAAUCUUGAUCAGAGGCUUCAUCUCCCUCGAAGAAUAAUGAAUUAGGGUUGAGAGGCUCUCUCCUCCAGGGGCCAGGGGGUCUGGUUUUAUAGUCCCUUCAAGUGAAUAUGGGCCGUUGGAUCAAACCGAUAUUGAUUGAACGGUUAUCCUUGAUCCUUUAGGUCAGUGGAGAUCUCCCACGAAACAGAGUCCUGUUUGGUCUCCAAGUCAGGGCGGGCGCCUAGGGAAGGAGGGCGGGCGCCCUGCCUGUGGCCCCUUUCGGCCUCCGCUUUCUUCCCGUGGCUUCUGGAGUCUUCUAGAUGUAAGAUAAUUCCUGUAGAAGUAGCAUAUAUCAGUGAACGUGCAAGUGAAUCUUGAUUUAACCACAUGACAAGCUCCUAAGGGUCUACACAGCUUGACCACACUCAAUGCUCAUAAACAGUAAAAAGUAAAUGUGUGGCUCAAAGUCUAGCAAGCAUGUAUAUAUGGCUUUGGUAGGAAUUUAAACUCUCAUCAUACAGGAAGUCAUCAUGCAACAUUUUAAAGAUUUUUAAAGAUGAAAUUCUUUAGAAUUCUAGCAUCUCUAGGAACAGAUAAACAGCAGCUCAACCUUCCCAUAUCGUAUCCGUUAACAACUUAGACUUCAGAUCAAGUUUUCAUCCCACAAGUUUAGGUCAAGAGCAAGCUUUAAAUUAUAACAGUUAUAUCUAAACUGGAGAGAGAACUUAAAAUGUGCAAAUUAGGCAGAGCAACUAUUCAUCAUAUCCAUGCUAGAGUUUUAUUUAGAUACAGAUUAGCAUAGCCACUUUAUUUAUUUAUUAAACACACUAAGCAAAAGAUAUAUAUAUAUAUAAGCACAAAAUCUUUAUUUGGUUUUUCAUAGUUAUAUAUAUUUAUAUUCUAAUAUAAUAUAAGUAUAAAGAUAGAUAGAAAUACUUAUCGGGAUAAAUGGGGGUGCUCUCCUCCAAGCUGAAUUUUGACGUAAUUUUCCUUGAUGUAGCUAGCAGGUGGCAGAGGUGUAUUUUAAAGUCGGCAGCAUUCUGACAGCGAUUAGAAUGUCCUCCGUCUGCUAGUCUUCUUGAUUCUUAAAUUCUGUGGAGCUCAAAUAGACAGCAAAGCUUGUGGAACUGAUUAAGUGUUAGCAUAAAUAUCUAGCCUUUAUCAUGUUGAGACUCCUCAAUAACUAUUACUCCUAUUUUUAUAUUUUCAUUUUAUAAAGCAGAAAAGAAAUAUUUAUUUUAUUUUUAUGCCACCACAGUGAAUGUACUUAUGGGUUUUAUGCCACUCGUAUACUCACAUGGGGCUUACUGUUUUUUAACAUUUUUAUUUUUAUUUUUAAGAUAGUAUGAACAUGAUUAACUAAGUAAACUAUUUUAAAAUAAUUAAAAGGGAAAGGAUAACUACCAAGUUUACCUCUUGGCAAGGAGUUCGGUGUUUUUAAGUCCUCCGAACGGGACUCUCCAUUUUCUCAAUUGUCCUAGGAUUCGUUGGGUGGCGUGGUCGGUACUUCCGGCGGCGCCUCCUCUUCAUGUAUAGUUAUCUUCUCUUUCCAUACCUGACUCGGUGCUACGGUCUCCUCUAGAUAAUUCUGUUUAAACUCUACGUCUUCUGACCUUACUACUUCUCCUUCAUAGUCUGCCCAUCUGUCCUUGAUGAUUUGCCUCCUUUGGUUGCGGUUGCGGCGUUUUUUUACCUGCUUAGAUUCUUCAACGAUAUAGUCAGGGUCAAUAAAAUAACGGCGUACCUUCUCUAAGGGGAAGUGCAUAUGGACUUCUUCGGUUCCAAUGUAGAUGAUUGCUUUAACGGUGCUGAGGAACGGUCUUCCAAGGAUGAUGGGUGGAUCGUACUCAUCUUCUCCCAUGUCAAUAACCUAAAAGUCUGUGUAGACAAAAUGAUCGUCUAUUUUGACAGGGACAUCAGUUACUGUUCCUUUAGCUUCUUGAAAUGUCUGAUCUGCCAUCUGGAGCUGAAUGUAUGUUGGUCUUAGUGGCAUGGUUCCGAACAAGAGCCGAUAGGUGACUGCGGCCAUUAUGUUGACGCCCGAUCUGGUGUCGCAGAACGUCUUGUAGAAGCUGUAUCCAUUUAUGGAGCAAUAGAUGCUUGGUAUUCCUAGGUCGUCCUUAUUGGUCAAAAACGGUGACUUGAGUUGAUGAUCUUGGCCUCCAUGAACUGCAGUGACCAUCUUAGCUGACUCGGUCCACACUUGCUUGUUCCUGUUCCUCCUGUUGGUCCUCUUCCUUGAUUCACGUCUGGAUUGAUCUGGGAUUUGUGUAGUCUUGUUCUUGAAGAAAAAUGUCUCCUUCCUCCCUUUGAUGUAGAAACUGAUCUUGGCAACACUAGCGUAGAUGACAGCUCCCGAGGUGUUUAAGAAUGACCUCCCUAAGAUGAUGGGUGCUCUCUCAUCAUUACCGGUCUUUAUCACCACGAAGUCCGCUGGGGCGUACAAGGUACCAACUCGGACACAAAGGUUCUUCAAUAUUCCUUUUGGAAAACUUAUCAUCUGAUCUGCAAACUGCAAACACAUGGUUGUUUAUAAUAAAGGAUAUGUAAAGAAUUUUUCAUAGAGUACCCUGGGUAUAAUGUUGACGCUAGAGCCAAAGUCACAGAGUGCUUCUAGGAAGUCCACCAUACCGAUGGAGAUCGGGAUGACGGGGCGUCCUGGAUCGCCUCUCUUGAUCGGCAGAAGGUCAGUAGUGAAUUCAGUGACGGGGUUACUCCAAUUACCUGCAUCAAACAUGUCUACAAGAUUUGCAGAUUCUAAUCCUGAGUAGUUAGGCCUCUGUUGAUUCCAACCUUGAUUUUGUUGAGGACGGUUGUAGUAGUAGUAGUUGUUAUUGUUGAUGUAGUUCACAUCCUCAAGCAUCUCAGGGCAGUGAUUGCCUGAGUGUCCAGUAUCUCCACACUCCUCACAAGUCAUGUGAGAGUCGUAGAUGUGCAUAACUUCUUUCUUAUCUCUAGCUCUAUCAUCGAGCUUCUUCAUGAGCAGGUCUAGCUUUGCAGACAACAUGUCUACCUCCUUGAGCUGAUGCAUACCUCCACCUCUCUUGCGUGUCUAGGUCCUUUCUUCAUUCCAGCCUUGGUUGGACGCCAUCUUGUCCACAAGACCUAUGGCUUGUGGUAUAGUAAGUGAUAAGAAUGCUCCUCUAGCUGCAGCAUCCAUGGUCUCUCGGGCACUGUUGCCGAGCCCAUGAUAAAACGUCUGCAUUAGUAGCCAACUUUCCAUUCCAUGAUGGGGACAUUCUAGGAUGUAGUCUUGAAAGCGCUCCCAUGCUUCUGGAACAGAUUCAUCAUUUUGUUGCUGAAAACUUGUAAUCUUCCCACGGAGAGCAUUGGUCUUGCCCAUGGGAAAGAACUUAGCCAGGAAGUUUGUUGAGUAGAGUGCCCAUGUAGUAUUCUUCUCCUUUGUAGUGUAGAACCACUGCUUCGCUCUUCCUAACAGUGAGAAUGGAAAGAGGCGAAGUAGUAUAGCAUCUAUGGGGACUCCAAAUAUGGUGAAUGUGCUGCAAAUCUCCAAGAAGUGUUGGAGAUGAGCACUAGCAUCUUCGUGUGCCUUCCCACAGAACUGAUUGGAUUGCAGCAUGUUGAUAAGUCCAGGCUUGAGCUCAAAGUUGCCGUCGAUCUCUGCAGCAGGUCCAGUGCGGAUGUUGUCCGUAGUGGGAGCUGAGAACUCACGGAUCGAUUUGUUCGCCAUGGCUUCGAACUCUGAAGACAAGUUUCGGUGAUCUUCUUGAUUGGAUGAAGCUUCUUGCUGAAGUGUUGAUGAUCUCUUCUUGAGCUUGGCUCUUGUCUUCUUGAAUAAAGCUUCGGGAUUGUCAACAAAAUUUCCUGGAAGACGUUUUCUAUUCAUACAUUCCCCUGCAUAAGAUAAAAAUAGAAUAAUAUCGGGGUAAAACUGUAUGAGAGAAUAGAUAAGCUCAAUCAUAUUAGUGAUGCGAAUGAUAACUCAAAAUCCUUUAUUCAUUCCUGAUUAGUAAUCAACCUUCCUCGGCAAUGGCGCCAAAAAUGCUUGUUGGGUAUUCUUAACAUCAUUACCAAGAGUAGACAGUUUUCUAAUUCUAGUAACGGUGCCAAAAAUGCCAAACCUAUCCCUCACACCACUUAAGCCAAGUUGUCAUCCCUAGCAUGACAUGAGAGAUGCGGUAUUGAAAUAUUCAAUUGCUCCUCUAAAUAAAUAAUGAAUGAUAUCUGCAAGCGCACAGAUUAAUACCGAUGUAGCAUUUUAACCGGAAAGUAUUCCAGGUAUCGUUAUUUAUAUUUUUACCACUAGGAAGGGAUUAGCAAUCAUCAAUAUUGAUUACAGAAUAGAAUAUGAGAUUGAGUAUCUAUCAUUGCAUGUAUAAUUGAGAACAUUUAUCUAAAUGUUUCAUACAGGGGUAAGUGUCACAUAAAAGAUAUAUGAAGUAAUGAAUAAUGACAAAGAUAAUUAAUCUGAUCAGCCACAUAUAAAUAUGAUAAGCACCUCAAUUAGAUACUCUAGAAAGUCAUUAGCAUGGUAUUAGAACGAACUACAAGAAUAUUUCCUAAGUUAUUCUCAACUAUAUAGUCUAGCAUUAUCAUAAUUAGUGCAAGCAUACUUAGCAAUCAUUGCGAGACAAGACUACGCCCAUGCAUAGUGAUAUUAGCAAGGUAAAUGAGAAACAUAGCAAUCACUCCCCUGUAAUAAUAUUGCUCUGCCAGCCCAAUACACAAGAGGGGGACUAUAUAAGAAUCAAUGAAGCUGUCACUAUCACGAACUACCCCACGAUGUGGCAUAUUGGGUACAAUCGCAGAUAAAUACGGUAUAAGCACCACGCCUACACAAUAUCUAUCAUUUACCCAUGGAUCCGAUGGAUAAAUGCUAUACGAUCCUAAGCAUGUAUAUAGAUCCAAUCUAACUAAGCCAAGUACAUAACUAUGAUAAACUAAGAACAAUAUAAUCUUGAAUAUAAACAAGUAGAGCAAAGUCAUAAGCAAUAUAUUGAAGUAGAACAAAGUCAUAUUCAUAAUAUUGAGGAACAAAGAUGAUUAGAAGAACAAUUAGAAGCACAAUUAGAGAAUUACCAAGAAUCCUCUUGACAGAUCCAGAAACCAAUCGAAGAUUGACUCCUUCUAGUUCUAAUCCUAUGUAGCUAUGCUAAUCUAGAUGUCUAAUUGAUGUGGUGGCUCUAAUCUUGAUCAGAGGCUUCUUCUCCCUUGAAGAAUAAUGAAUUAGGGUUGAGAGGCUCUCUCCUCCAGGGGCCAGGGGGUCUGGUUUUAUAGUCCCUUCAAGUGAAUAUGGGCUGUUGGAUCAAACCGACAUUGAUUGAACGGUUAUCCUUGAUCCUUUAGGUCGGUGGAGAUCUCCCAUGAAACAGAGUCCUGUUUGGUCUCCAAGUCAGGGCGGGCGCCUAGGGAAGGAGGGCGGGCGCCCUGCCUCUGGCCCCUUUCGGCCUCCGCUUUCUUCCCGUGGCUUCUGGAGUCUUCUAGAUGUAAGAUAAUUGCGCGGCACGUUAAUAUCUCUAUGUAUUCCCGAUGUGUGGGCCUUUCUUCCGUAUUUCCUGAUAACCUCCUACAGAAAUAGACAAACACCAAAACUCGUAGAAUUCUGUUAGAUAAAACCCUAAGUCUAGAUGUUGAUUUCAUUUGGAUCAUUUUCUUUGUUUAUUUGAUAAUUAAAUUUGAUACUUAAGGACCGUCAACAUGAACUGUGGUCCAUGAUCUGAUAUGAUGGUUCGAGGCACACCAUACUGACGAACAAUGUGCUCGAAAUACAACUCCGCAUAUUGAUGUGGACAAUAGUCAGUUCGGACUGGAAUAAAACGAGCAACCUUGGUCAAACGAUCUACAAUCACCCAGAUAGAGUCGUAACCAUUUACAGAAGUUGGGAGUCCAACCAUGAAAUCCACGCUGACUUCUUCCCAUUUCCAACCAGGAAUUGGCAAGGGUUGAAGCAAACCAGCUUUCAUGUGAACGGCCUUCACACGACAACAAUUGUCACAACGAGCGACAAAAGCAGCAAUCUCCUUUUUCAUCUUUGUCCACCAAAAUAGAGGUUUCAGAUCCUGAUACAUCUUGCUGCUACCAGGAUGGAUAGACAACUUGGAUGAAUGAGCUUCGGAUAAGAUCUGAUUUCGUAGCUCGCGGUCUUUUGGGACCACUAGCCGAUCUUUGAACCAAAGAAUCCUGUUCUCAUCGACCCAGAACUGCUUGGUUCCUUCUUCCUUCAUCCUCCUUUUCAUAUGGUGGAUGCCUACAUCUCUUUGCUGCAAUUCGAUGAUUCGAUUGCGAAGAGUACUCUCCAGAGAAAUCUGGUUGAGCACAAGUGGAUGCAUAAGAUGUGACAACAAUGGGUCUUCCACCUGAACUGAGUGACAGUGCGCUUUCCGACUCAAGGCAUCCGCAACCACGUUUGCCUUGCCCGGAUGAUAGUGCACUUGUAGAUUAUAAUCUUUAAUCAACUCAAACCACCUUCGUUGUCGCAUGUUCAAUUCAGGUUGAGUGAAGAUGUACUUGAGGCUCUUAUGAUCGGUGUAGAUAUUGCACAGAUUACCCAGCAAAUAGUGCCUCUAGAUUUUCAAAGCAUGAACAACUGCUGCCAAUUCUAAGUCAUGAGUAGGGUAAUUGACCUCAUGUUUUCAAAGUUGGCGUGAGGCAUACGCGAUAACGCGACCUUCCUGCAUCAACACGCAGCCUAAACCAAUACCCGACGCGUCACAGAAGACAUCGAAGGGCUUCUCGAUAUCAGGUUGAGCUAGGACAGGAGCUGAUGUCAGCAAUGUCCUCAACUUGUGGAAUGCCUCUUCACACUCAGGCGUCCACACAAACUUCUCAUCUUUCUGAAGUAGACGAGUCAUAGGCUUGGAUAUCUUUGAAAAUUCCAGAAUGAAUCGACGAUAAUACCCAGCCAGACCGAGAAAACUCCGAACCUCGUGUACCGAAGUUGGAACUUUCCAAUCCAGCACUUCUUGCACCUUAGCCGGAUCCACCGAUAUGCCUUCUUCAGAUAAGACAUGGCCCAAGAAAGGUAUUUUCCUUAGCCAAAACUCGCAUUUGCUGAACUUGGUGUAAAGCUGUGCUCAUGCAAGCGUGUCAACACCACACGCAGAUGCUCUGCAUGCUCCUCUUCAUUGCAAGAAUAUACUAGGAUAUCAUCAAUGAAGACCACCACAAACUUGUCCAAUUCGGGCAUGAACACUGAGUUCAUGAGGUACAUGAAAUGAGCAGGUGCAUUCGUAAGACUGAAGGACAUGACGAGAUACUCAUACAACCCAUACCUCGUCGAGAAAGCUGUCUUAGGUACGUCUUCAGGACGGAUCUUGAUCUGAUGAUACCCAGAUCGCAAAUCAAUCUUGGAGAAUACCUUAGCUUUAGAUAACUGAUCAAAUAAGAUAUCAAUGUGAGGAAGAGGGUAUUUAUUCUUGAUGGUCACCGCAUUCAGGGGACGAUAGUCCACACACAUGCGCAAGGAUUGAUCCUUCUUCUUCACAAAGAUAGCCGGACAACCCCAAGGAGAAGAACUAGGACAGAUAAGACCCUUCUUCAACAACUCAUUUAACUGGGUCUUAAGCUCAGCUAGCUCAUUUGGUGGCAUUCUAUAAGGUCUUCUAGAGAUAGGAGCGGUACCUAGAAUCAAUUCAAUUUUGAACUCCACAUCCCGAUCUGGAGGAAGCCCGGGUAAAUCGUCAGGAAAUACAUCCGGGAACUCACACACCACCGGAAUAUCCUAGAUGGCCUUAGCUGUAACUGCAUUCACAGUGCUACGAAUAUGGAUAUCUCGAGGAAGUUGCUCUAAGAACGCUUCCCUGGUAUUUGGGUCUCUCAACAUCACUACACGAGUGGUGGUGUCGAUAAGAACUCCGUUACCACUCAUCCAAUUCAUACCCAAAAUUACAUCUAUGCCCACACCGGGUAAGACAACUAGAUCAGCAAGAAAUUGACGGCCUCCAAUUUCCAGAGUUGCCCCAUAAACCACUUGAUUGGUCGAAAUAUCAUUCCUAGCAGCACUAAUGCAAUAACUACCCUUAUCAAGAGUAUUUGCCUUGAGAUUAUGCUUAGACACAAAGUCUAAACUCACAAAAGAAUGCGAUGCUCCUGAAUCAAAAACCACGAGUACAUCACAUUGGUUAACCAGAAACUUACCAGCUGUAACUACCUCACCAGCAGGGAUUGCCUCCACAGUUGUGUAGUGAACACGCCCCUGUCGGACGUUCCCUUGGUUGCCCUUCUUCGAAGGGUAAGGACAAUUGCUCUACCAGUGCCAGAUCUGAUUGCAGUUCCAGCACGGACGGAUGGCAGGUGGAGUCUUGGCAUAGCUGGGACCCAUGUUACCAAGAGGAAGAGCAAUGGAGUAACCCUUGCGGAUGUUGACGGUCCUUAAUGCUCACAAUUAACCAUCAACUAAACAUAGAAAAGGAUCCAAAUGCAACCAACACCUAGACUUAGGGUUUUAUCUAACAGAAUUCCACAAGUUUUGGUGUUUGUCUAUUUCUGCAGGGGGUUAUCAGGAAAUACGGAAGAAAGGCCCACACGUCGGGUUUACAUAGAGAUAUUAACGUGCCGCACAAUUAUCUACCAUCUAGAAGAGUCCAGAAGCCACGGGAGCGAACGGGAGAUGUAACGGAGCCGGGCACUGGGCGCCCGCCCUCCCUUACUGGGCGCCCGCCCUCCCCCCUGGACCAAUCAGGGUGAAGUUCGGGGAUCAUGCUCCACCGACCUAAUACUUCAAGGAAAACCACACGAUCAAUGUCGGUUUGAUCCGACGGCCCAGAUUCACUUGAAGGGACUAUAAAACCAGACCCCCCUGGCCCCUGGAGAUCAUACCUCUUCUACAGAAUCAAAGCUAGGGUUUCAAUUCUUCAUCCAAGUAGAGAGGAUCCCUCUAGUUCUUCUAGUUCUACCUCUAGUUCAUCUAGAUCUAGUUCUAGUUCAUCUAGUUCUAGUUCUAGUUCCUCUAGUUCUAGUUCUAGUUAGUUCUAGUUGUAAUCUAGAAAAUAGGGAGAGAGAAGCGGAGAGCGGAGGAGGAGCCGGAUCUGUCGGAUCUUCCUCAACAUUGUACUUUUGCAGCAACUGGUUCGUUCUUCAUCGUUCUCCAGGUUCUUCAAUUCAUAAUUCCUGAGUUCUCUAAUUACUUUUAUUUACAUUCAAGUUAUUUAUUGGAUUCCCGCUUGCAUCAAGUGCUCUAGUCUUUAUAAGCUAGAGUAGUAAUUAUUAGAUUAGACGUGGUGUUUAGUCUUGCAAUUACCUAGAAUUGCACCCAAUCCUGCGGAUUGUGGUGGUAGCCUUAGGGUAGUGACAGCCCUAACGGUCGACGUAUUCCACCUCGUUCGGAUCGGUGUUUGUAGGACCGUAGUCAGACCUUCCUAGCCCCCUUCUCAUCUCUUUCUGUGGUUAGUGCUCUGAUGUCCCGAUAUAGAUAAUCUUGAAGUAAUUCUUGAUUCUUAGAUCAACUAGAGAACUCUCAGGAAACUUCCUCUCUUCCCACCAAAAAUAAUUAUAUAGUUACCCUUGGGCGAUCAUGGAUCUUAAUUAGUACACUCACGUUCUCUGUGGAAAAUCGAUACUCUGGAAUACUCCCGGGUGAAGGCUACAUCGGUAUCCGUGCGCUUGCGGAUUUUUCUGUUUGCGUUUAAAAUACCCAACAAGCUUUCUGGCGCCGUUGCCGGGGAACGGUAGCUGUGCUAGUUUCGAACCAAGUCGUCCGUGUAUCCUUUUUCUUUUCCUUUUUUACCACACUCACCUUAUCAUUUUCACCAUACCACAUGGAUUUCACUCUAAGCAUUAAUGAGCAUGGAAUUUAUUUCAUAGCCACUUCAUUUGCUCCAUGCUCAUAUGCAACAUCUUCACAAUCCGUUGGUCUCUCCAACAUCACCACAUUCGAGAUCUCCAACCCCCUCAUCCUUUCUAUUUAUAAAAACUUUAAAAGGGCGGUUGUCGAUGCAUAUGUCUAUAUUAAAUAUUGUAGAUCUCGUUGAGUUGAUCUUGAUAUAGGUCAGCGUUGGAGGGGAAACCACUUCGCCGACAUACAUUGAUGGUUUCCUAAGGACAAGCUUAGUGUCCUAAAACAAGCACUGAUCAGAUCGUAACAUGAGCUUUUAAUUAUUUGCAACAUUACCUUGUGUAUUGAGCAUAUAAUGAUAAUUGUAAAAGUAUUCCUUCGGGUAUUCUUGUCACUAACCUUUCCAGGAUUGGAGCAAGAAGAUCGGAUGAAUGACAAGCACAAGGUAUGUCCAACCAAUCAUCAUACAACAUUGAAUUAAAUUCAUCCAAACUUGAAUUUUGCAAAAUUCAAGCUUGGGGGAGUACUUUAUAUAAAAACAUCAUUUGCCAUGUUGCUAUGUUGGUUGUCUCUACCUUUGAGACAUGCUCAAUUUGUUAAAUAGUAAUCACACUACUUCAUCUCCACUUGAGUAGAUCUCUAUAAAAGCCAUCACGCUACCUUUGUUUAUCCUAGUAAGUGUUAGUUUGGAAGUACUGUACAUACUUCUAUUGGUUUUUAAAUUAAGCAUGGUGCUUAGGUUAAACAGCCUUCCUUAAUCUAAUUAGACAUGGAGUCUAGUUUGGUUAUUGAACUAAAAACUGCUUGUGUAGACAUUGGUAUAUUUUGUUGGACUAACCCCUGCAGGAAAACUUUCAAUAUCGACCUGGGAAGUCCUGAGAUAAACUCACAUUGGAGACAAAGAGUGAGACGCAUGAAGGUUAACAAUUUACACAAGGAAGGCAUAGCUAACAAGAGAUGAUCCGUGGAGGGUGCCACAAACACGAUGCACAACCACUAAGAAAGGAAAGCUUCCACAAGGUGAUACUGUACCAUCACUCUUCAAGUAAGGUAACAUCUUAAGGUACUUGACUAUCACUUUUAUAAAGCUUCUCCUUGGUUCUGGCGUUCACAUGAAUAAAAGAGACAAACAUAUAUGAUUUACAACUCUAGAUUAACCAACCCAAUCGAUUCAAUAUGUUUAGUCCUUUCAUCUUUGUGAUCCCACACUCCUAAUCAUAUGAACUAAAAUGUUGCACACUUAAUCUUUGGAAAAUGAUAGUCAUGUAAAGAAAAAAAAUAUAUUUACUUAGAUAGAUUAUCUUUCCAUAAGGUUGAGUGAUCUGAUCUGACAAAUGUUUUAAAUGCUACACUCAUGAUCUUAUUAUUCAUCAACGUUGUCUUGCUCACUAUGCUUAAGGUUAGAGAGAACAAAUACACUUUUGGUUUUGUUGGUGUUUUCCACCAACAAGGCCCAUGCACUUGAUCUCUACCUUGUCUCUAUGAGCAGGUACACUUCGAGCAAAAUAUGAAGGAGUUUUACAAUUCCCAGACUCCAACAAGUGAAGAACCUAGAUCUACGAGCACAAACACACUGGAGAUACUGGACAGUCAGGCAAUCACUGCCCUGAGAUGCUUAAGGACGUAACUUCUAGAGUAACCCUAUUGUGGAAGUAAUUACUGACCUUCUGCCGGUCAAGAGAGGCAAUCCAGGACGCCCUGUCAUCCCGAUCUCCAUCGGCAUGGUGGACUUCCCAGAAGCACUCUGUGACUUUGGCUCCAGCGUCAACAUUAUGCACAGGGUACUCUAUGAAAAAUUCUUUACACAUCCUUUCCUAGAAACAACCAUGUGUUUGCAGCUUGCAGAUCGUACACUAAGUUUCCCAAAAGGAAUAUUGAAGAACCUCUGCAUCCGAGUUGGUACCUUGUACGCCCCAGCAGACUUCGUGGUGAUAGAGACUGGUACUAAUGAGAGGGCACCCAUCAUCCUAUGGAAGCCAUUCCUGAAUACCUCGGGAGCUGUCAUCUACGCUAGUGCUGCCAAGAUUAGUUUCUACAUCAAGGGGAAGAAGGAGACGUUUUCCUUCAAGAAACAAGACGACACAAAUCCCAGAGCAAACCCGACAUGAACCAAGGAAGAGGACCAACAGGAGGAACAAGAACAAGCAAAUGUGUACCGAGUCAGCUAAGAUGGUCACUGCAGCUCAAGGAUGUCAAGAUCGUCAACUCAAGUCACCUUUAUUGAUCAAGAAGGACGACCCUGGUGUCCCAAGCAUCGAGUGCACAAUCAACGGAUAUUCUUUUCAGAAGACACUCUACGACACCGGAUCUAACGUCAACAUAAUGGCCGCAGUCACUUAUCAGCUCCUGCAUGGAACCAUGUCCCUACAAGCAACAUACAUUCAGCUCCAGAUGGCAGAUCAGACAUUCUGAAAGAUUGAAGGUUAUUGACAUGGGAGAAGACGAGUACGAUCCACCCAUCAUCCUUGGAAGACCGUUCUUUAGCACCAUUAAAGCAAUCAUAUACAUUGGAACCAGAGAAGUCCACAUGCACUUCCCCUCAGAGAAGGUACGUCACUGUUUUACUGACCCUAACUAUAUAGUUGAAGACUCUAAGCAGGUCAGGACAAGAAGACGACGACGCAACCGCAACCAGAGGAGGCAAAUCAUCAAGGACGGAUGGGUAGACUAUGAAGGAGAAGUUGUAAGGUCUGAAGACAUAUAACUUGAACAGAACUGUCCUGAGGAGACCGUAGCACCGAGUCAGGUGUGGAAAGAGAAGGUAGUGAUACACGAAGAGGAAGCACCGUCGGAACCACCGACUACACCAUCCAGCGAAUCCCAGAAUGACUCAGGAAACGGAGAGUCCCGUUCGGAGGACUUAAAAACACCGAACGCCUUGCCAAGAGGUAAACUUGGUAGUUAUCUUUUUUUCUUUCAAUUAUUUAAAAUAGUUUGCUUAGUUAAUCAGGUUCACAUCAUCUUGAAAAGAAAAUAAAAAUGUUGAAGAUAGUAAGCCCCAUGUGAGUAUGCUCAUGGCAUAAAACCCAUAAGUACAUUCACUGUGGUGGCAUAAAAAUGAAAUAAAUAUAUUCCUGUCCUAUAAAAAUAAAAUUAUAAGAAUAAAAUUAUGAUCCUACUAAUGAGUAACAUUUAUUGAGGAGGCUCAACAUGAUAAAGGCUAGAUAUUUAUGCUAACACUUAACUAGUUUCACAAAGCUUUGUUGUUUAUUUGAGCUCCAUAGAAUUCAAGGAUCAAAGAAGACUAGCAGACGAUGGACAUCCUAAUCGCUGUCAGGGUGCUGCCGACAUACCUCCGCCACCUGCUGGCUACAUCAGAAGAAAUUACGUCAAAAUCCAGCUUGGGGGAGAGCACCCCCAUUUAUCCAGCUAAGUAUUCUACUCAUGUUUAUACUUUACUCUAAUAAUAAAAAAGAUGCACAAUCAUAAAAACCCAAAUAAAGAUUUUAUGCUUAUAUAUAUAUCUUUGCUUAGUUUGCUAAAUAAAUAAAUAAAUAAAAUUUGCUAUGAACCCUCAUGAUAAGCUCUCACAUGGAAAGAUGAAUAGUUGCUCUGCCAUGACUAGUUCUCAAAAUUGAAAUCUCUCUCAAGUUUAGGCAUCACUGUUAUUAAUUAAGAUUUGCUCUAAACCUGAACUUGUGGGAAGAGUACUUGAUCUAAAGUCUAAGUCGUUAACGAAUAUGAUAUGGGAAGGUUGAGCUGCUGUUUAUCUGUUCCUAGAGAUGCUAGAAUUCUAGAGAAUUUUAUCUUUGAAAAUCUUUAAAAUAUUACAUGAUGAGUUCCCAUAUGAUGAGAGUUUAAAUUCCUACCACAGCCAUAUAUACAUGCUUGCUAGACUUUGAGCCACACAUUUACUUUUUACUGCUUAUGAGCAUUGAGUGUGGUCAAGCUGUGUAGACCCUUAGGAGCUUGUCAUGUGGUUAAGUCAAGAUUCACUUGCACGUUCACACAUACAUGCUGCUUCUACUCUGGAAGUACGCAUCCACACACAUCCACUCAUUUCCAUCUCCAGAGCCACCUAAAAAUAUUCUACUCCUAAUCCGGGAGAGAAUAGCCAAAAACAUUUCUGUUUUACCCCUGUGAAAUAAAUGCUCAAGUUAUCUUGGUUACUACCACUUGCUAUAUUAUUUCAGGAGAUGAGUGCUCUUAAAAAAAGAGAGAGAGAGAAAAAAAGAAAGAAUACGAGGAAAUAAAAAGGGGCAAGUGCCCGAAACCUCGAAAGAAAAGAAAAAGUGAGACGAGAGGUAAAAAUGGACAAGUGUCCAACAGUAGAAUUAGGGGUACAAGAUACCCACCUGAGAGAAAAAAAAGAAAAUAUAGAGCAUCUCAUUCUCCUCAAAAAGUUUCAAAAGAGCAAGAAAGGUAUGUAUCCCCUCAAAAGAGCAAAAGUAGAAUUAGACUUUCACCAUUGUUAUCACCAUCAUCACCAUACACCAUUCAUUCGCCACGCAUGCACAUCUUGAUUUGACUGAUUGACUUGUUCUUCUGGAUCCAUGGUUUGACUAUGCAAUAAAUGUCUUGUAAGUAUGUAUUAGCUGUCUCCCACCUAUGAGCUCCAGAUAUCAAAACCUUAUUAGAGUAGGGUGAGAGAGAAGGCAAUGCCACUAUGCCCCAUACCAAAAAUACUACAUACUUUGAGAGAAGGCAUAUACCAUUACUGCCUUGGUAAGGAUCCAGAAAUACCACAAAAGAGAGACUUGAGAGAGUCAUACAAGGAAUCUCUGAGUUUUGUUUGAAAAUCUGCAAAAACUCCAGAGCUAUAGCUGAUCAAGAAUAAGAGACAUGGUGCUUGACUAGACCGUUCUAUCUUUUAACUACUCAAGACAGAAGUGACGGUUACAAGUCCCAUGGUGAAAGGUAAAUGAGUAAGUUUUAAGUCUUAACAGUUUACUCUAACCAGAGAUGAGAUCUUGUUUAAACGCAUGUGUAUCUUUAAGUUAUGAAACCACUGCAGAAACUCUUGAGUUCAUCUUUGCUCAGUGACGAGCAAAGGUUAAGCUUGGGGGAGCUUGUUGACGGUCCUUAAUGCUCACAAUUAACCAUCAACUAAUCAUAGAAAAGGAUCCAAAUACAACCAACACCUAGACUUAGGGUUUUAUCUAACAGAAUUCCACAAGUUUUGGUGUUUGUCUAUUUCUGCAGGGGGUUAUCAGGAAAUACGGAAGAAAGGCCCACACGUCGGGUUUACAUAGAGAUAUUAACGUGCCGCACAAUUAUCUACCAUCUAGAAGAGUCCAGAAGCCACGGGAGCGAACGGGAGACGUAACGGAGCCGGGCACUGGGCGCCCGCCCUCCCUUACUGGGCGCCCGCCCUCCCUUACUGGGCGCCCGCCCUCCCCCCUGGACCAAUCAGGGUGAAGUUCGGGGAUCAUGCUCCACCGACCUAAUAUUUCAAGGAAAACCACACGAUCAAUGUCGGUUUGAUCCGACGGCCCAGAUUCACUUGAAGGGACUAUAAAACCAGACCCCCUGGCCCCUGGAGAUCAUACCUCUUCUACAGAAUCAAAGCUAGGGUUUCAAUUCUUCAUCCAAGUAGAGAGGAUCCCUCUAGUUCUUCUAGUUCUACCUCUAGUUCAUCUAGAUCUAGUUCUAGUUCAUCUAGUUCUAGUUAUAGUUCCUCUAGUUCUAGUUCUAGUUAGUUCUAGUUGUAAUCUAGAAAAUAGGGAGAGAGAAGAGGAGAGCGGAGGAGGAGCCGGAUUUGUCGGAUCUUCCUCAACAUUGUACUUUUGCAGCAACUGGUUCGUUCUUCAUCGUUCUCCAGGUUCUUCAAUUCAUAAUUCCUGAGUUCUCUAAUUACUUUUAUUUACAUUCAAGUUAUUUAUUGGAUUCCCGCUUGCAUCAAGUGCUCUAGUCUUUAUAACGCUAGAGUAGUAAUUAAUAGAUUAGACGUGGUGUUUAGUCUUGCAAUUACCUGGAAUUGCACCCAAUCCUGCGGAUUGUUGUGGUAGCCUUAGUGUAGUGACAGCCCUAACGGUCGACGUAUUCCACCUCGUUCGGAUCGGUGUUUGUAGGACCGUAGUUAGACCUUCCUAGCCCCCUUCUCAUCUCUUUCUGUGGUUAGUGCUCUGAUGUCCCGAUAUAGACAAUCUUGAAGUAAUUCUUGAUUCUUAGAUCAACUAGAGAACUCUCAGGAAACUUCCUCUCUUCCCACCAAAAAUAAUUAUAUAGUUACCCUUGGGCGAUCUUGGAUCUUAAUUAGUACACUCACGUUCUCUGUGGAAAAUCGAUACUCUGGAAUACUCCCGGGUGAAGGCUACAUCGGUAUCCGUGCGCUUGCGGAUUUUUCUGUUUGCGUUUAAAAUACCCAACAGCGGAAACCCGUCUUCGCCUGAUUCUUCUUCACAGGCAGGCGAUACCGCUGGUUAGGAGUUGGAGCACGGAUCGGUGGCCUAGCUGCCACUGGAGCCUUGGAUUGAGAUGCUCCUGCCCCGGCCUCAAAAGCCCCCUUGCGAGUCUUGGUCGCAGUGUACACAGUGUUGUAGUUUUCUUGGGUAAGAGCAUCACUGACAAACUCAUUGAAAGUUGCACACUUAGUGCGGCCCAUGGUUUUCAGCAACUUGGGGCUCAAACCCCGCUUGAAGCUGGCAAUUUUCUUUGUCUCAGUGUUCACAAACUCAGGAGCAUACCUUGACAAGUGAUUGAAAGCAUGCAAGUACUCCUUCAGAGUUUUGUUGCCCUGAGUCAACUGCAUAAACUCAGUAUGCUUCAUCUCCAUGACACCAGGAGGAAUAAAAUGCCCCUUGAAAGCUUCACGGAAAAGAUUCCAGUCAAGCACAGUGUCGGCUGGAAGAGCUUCCUGAUACUGAUUCCACUAGAUGCCUGCUGGUCCCUGCAGUUGGUGAGCUGCAUACUCAGCCUUCAAACCCGCAGUCAGCCGAAGCAAGCGGAACUUUUGUUCCACCGUGUUCAGCCAUUCCUCGGCUUGAAGGGGUUCUUCCGCCUCUCUAAAAGGUGGGGGCUCAAUAUCCAUGAAAUCCUUGAAACUAUUGUACUGGUUAGGUGCUGGCUCUUCUUGUGCAAUACGACCACCCUGAUUUGCCAUCCGAUUGAUGGUCUCAGUGAGCAUCCUCUGGUUUUCUACCAUCAUUUGCAUCAGCUCAGCUAGAUUUGGUGGUGGAGGAGGGGGUGGGUUCAUGUUCGCACGUUGUUCCGCACCUCGAGUGCCGCGAGACAUCUGUAAAGACACAGUCAGUGAGCAUUGAUGAUGACAAGACUUGCUGUAGAAGAACUUAUAUUUAUGCCUGAAAGUAUUCAAGAGAAUAGCUUUACAGAAAAAGGCACAAUAAUUCAAUUCCACAAAACAACAUCACCAAUCCAACACAUGACAGAGAUAUCCGCAAUAGGCACCACAACGGAAAACAUCGUCAUAACAGAUCGAACAUGUUAAGGUUACACAUUGGGUCCAUAAAGUUAUGACACCAUCACAGUACAUGACAUGCGGCAAGAUCAAGGUUCCGGAUUACAUCAUGAUUACAAAAGCACCACUGCUACUGCCAAACUACAAAAGAUCCUCUCAUAACAACUACCCACUACUCACUACACUCCAUGCUCAUCGUCCGAGUCAGCGUCGAAGAUCGCCUCUCCAUCCUCAUCGCUAACUGGCUCAAGCUCCUCGUCCUCCACGUCCUCGUGCAAGGGUGGUGCAGCCGCUGCUGGUCCAUCUACCUCCAUACCAUCAUCAUCGGCCACAAUCACCUGAGGUCCCACCUCUAGAUACACGAGCAGAAGGCGAGGAAUAGGGAGUAACAAGUUGUUGAGACGGUGAAUCUCCACAAGACCAGCCUCAAUUUGAUCCCGCAUAUAGUUCUCCCGCUCAAGCGACUGAAUCCGGUGCAUCUCCCAAGCCCGGCGCCUGUUCUCUGACACACGGAGUGCAGUAUCCCUCUCACGAGUGACCUGCACCAAGCGCUCCUGCACUGUCUCCCUCUCUCGAGCUAACUGACUCAUCUGAUCCUGCUUAUGAUCUCUCUCCCUAAUAGCCUUCACCCACUGCUGCCUACGGUACUCUGCAAUGUCUUCCCAGUCAUUGCGGUCCUUCUGGGCUUGCUCCAGGAGCCUAGCUUGCUUGCGAAACUUGCGAGCACGCUUUUCAGCCUUCUGUUGCAUCUCCUGAGCCUGGCGAACAGCCACCAUCACCUGUGCAUAAGUGUCCUCUCGCUGACUGAACAGCUUGAGCACAGCCAUCAUAGCACUCAUAGCAGGACUAGAACUCUCAGCUCGCUCUCCCCUGCCUCGGACCAACGCACAACCAUCAGCCUGAUUCCACUCCGCUGCUGCUGGGUCAGCACGGGGAAUGGAGGCCGCUGGUCCUCCGGUCAGCUCAUCACCAAACCUCUGACAGAUAUUGAGCAGCAUAGCCUGGGCUGCAACCUGAGCUCCUUCCCAAGGAGUCUGCCCAUCUGAGUUACAGGUCCACCCUGUCCAUGUAGGCCUACCCCCAUGUGGAGGGACAACUCCCUGCACGGCAAACCACUGCAACUCUCCUGUCAUCUCCACCUCCCACCAAGAAUACUGAGGUGGCUCAGUAUACCCCACAGACUGUAGCACUCUCCAGAGUAAGGUAGGAGUGCCAAACUCGCUCAAGAAGGUGUCACUGGGGCGAGGUGAAGCGGGCACGUCCAUCUGUGGAAAGGAAUAGGAUUACCAUGGGCAGGGACGAAGCCAGAAAAAAAUUUAGGGGGGGCUGAACAAAAAUUUUACAUCAACUUAGCUCUACUAUUAUCCCUUGUAAUAAAAAAAUAUAUUAGUUUAAAGUAGUCUUAGAUUAAAAAUAUAGACCAAUAAUGAAAUUCACAAAAUAUAUCUAAAAAAUAAAUUUCUCAGCCCACCCUACUUUAUAAAUUUAUGUCUAAAAUUAGAAGAAAAACACUAGAAAUUUCACUAGGCCAGCAGCGGUAGGGGGGGCUGGAGCCCCCCUAGCCCCACCGCUGGCUUCGUGCCUGACCAUGGGUAAGAGGAGAUUAAUUUUAAGCAACAUUUAUUUAAUUAAAAGGGAUGACAUGGUAAGGGAAGGAGUAGACAGAAUGUAUGUAUGAAUGCGACAUGAUGCAUGCACGAACCGUACGUCCUCACAAACUUAGAUAAUUAAUAUUCUAACGCAUAUACGGUGGCAUACAUUCGUCUCUCGAUACGAUAACUAGCGAUUUACACGUGCGCUUUUAGAGUACCUGCAGAAAACUUCAUUGCAACCCAACAGUUCCCAAAAUAUCACUCAAGAAAGCAGUAAACUAAGUGCACAUUGCUGGGACAUGCCCAACAUGCACAAACAAUGACACCACAGCUACCCGAAAAAUUAAAUGCUCCCCAAUUAAGUUUCUUUCGUGGUUCCAUGGUUUUGACAUGUAACCACUCCAGAAAAUCACCGCGAACACUCCUCUAGACCACUGUUUGGACGAUCAUGCUCUCACAGCUCACACUUACCAGAGCGUAGGUGCGACGUUGCAUAAUUUAAAUCUAGCGACAUAUGUGGCUAGUUCACAUAUGAAGGCUACCUCCACCAUUAGACCACAGGGUAGCAUAGUGCGGUCAUCACACAUCCAUACCUGAGUACUGCCGGAGAUGCAUAAAAUAAAACCCUCCAAGUCAGUACUUAAAUAGCCACCUAUAGUCCUUAUAUGGGCAAGGAGGAUUCGACCACUGGCAUAAUUAAGUGUUGAUUUUUAAAUUUUUAUUUAAAAACCCUUUUGUUUUUAAAUACACAAACGCUGCAUUUAUAAUGUUGAACUUGCUCCGAUGCCAGCUGUCACAGAACCGACCAAAUUAUAAGAGUUCAAGUGUAGAAACGAUCGACAAGCAAUCAAGUUUCCAAACUUGAGCCCAUAUAAUCCCGGUAGUCAACUGAAAUCACAAAGGACUUCAAACCAACUUGCAACAAACCAAGAUCUUAAUAGCUCAGCACAACACAGCGAAUGUUACAUAGUCAUUCAUUGCCGUCGAAGCGGCACCACAUCGGAGUUACUUAGUUAUUACAACACAUGUUUGUAGUAGCGGAAGCAAAAUAGUUUACACACACUUUCCAAAGUUCAGUUCAUAAGUUCUUGUUAUAGCCAGAGUCGUACACCAUCCAUCCAAAAGCAGCAGGUACGAGUUGGUUAGAGAACCGUGCCCAACGGUUAGUCCUCAUCCCCAGCGGGAUGGAGACAGGUCUUGCAGAAGCCAUCAUAAAAGAUAUCAUCUGCAACAGGUGGGAAUAAACCCUGAGUACGAGAAUGUACUCAGCUAGACUUACCCAUCUAGUAAAACAUAAAAGACACCAAGGAUCAUGCAAGGCUAAAAUCAAGUGGAGCUGGUUGACUCAACAUUUACCAAAAGCUUAAAUUAUAACUACAAUGUUGUGAGAGCGUCAUAUUAAUCAUCAUUAGCCUACCAUAAGAUUAGCACCUGUACUAAAGCACUUCACUUGACUAUUACAAGCAAUAAUAACCAUAUCAAAUUCAUCAUAUGUUCUCCUUGCUAUCAUCAUUAUCACGAACCAAGUUCAUUAGUGAAUCCUACGUUUGCCGCUGCUCUGUCAAGUUCUCACUAACCGGGAGAGACGGCGAUUCGAAUCGAAUUCAUAUCCAGCUGGAGGGGUAUUCCUAGCACUCACCCAAGCAUCCCCCGUCGGAGAGCCAACGUGUCACCUUUGGUAUGACUUAGGAAUCACGGUUCCGAUCAGCGCCGCACUCCCAGGGCUACCACUCUGCUAGGUGUUGACGGUCCUUAAGUAUCAAAUUUAAUUAUCAAAUAAACAAAGAAAAGGAUCCAAAUGAAAUCAACAUCUAGACUUAGGGUUUUAUCUGACAGAAUUCCACGAGUUUUGGUGUUUGUCUAUUUCUGCAGGGGGUUAUCAGGAAAUACGGAAGAAGAAAGGCCCACACGUCGGGAUUACAUAGAGAUAUUAAUGUGCCGCACAAUUAUCUUACAUCUAGAAGACUCCAGAAGCCACGGGAAGGAAGCGGAGGCCGAACGGGGCCAGAGGCAGGGUGCCCGCCCUGUUUCCCUGGGUGCCCGCCCCCUCUCUAAGUCCAAACAGGACUCUGUUUCGUGGGAGAUCUCCACCGACCUAAAGGAUCAAGGAUAACCGUUCAAUCAAUGUCGGUUUGACCCAACGGCCCAUAUUCACUUGAAGGGACUAUAAAACUAGACCCCCUGGCCCCUGGAGGAGAGAGCCUCUCAACCCUAAUUCAUUAUUCCUCAAGGGAGAAGUAUUGAGCUACCACAUCAAUUAGAUAUCUAGAUUAGCAUAGCUACAUAGGAUUAGAACUAGAAGGAGUCAAUCUUCGAUUGGUUUCUGGAUCUGUCAAGAGGAUUCUUGGUAAUUCUCUAAUUGUGCUUCUAAUUGUUCUUCUAAUAAUCUUUUUUCUUCAAUAUUAUGAAUAUGACUUUGUUCUACUUCAAUAUAUUACUUAUGACUUUGCUCUACUUGUUUAUAUUCAAGAUUAUAUUAUUCUUAGUUUAUCAUAGUUAUGUACUUGGCUUAGUUAGAUUGGAUCUAUAUACAUGCUUAGGAUCGUAUAGCAUUUAUCCAUCGGAUCCAUGGGUAAAUGAUAGAUAUUGUGUAGGCGUGGUGCUUAUACCGUAUUUAUCUGCGAUUGUACCCAAUAUGCUAGAUCGUGGGGUAGUUCGUGAUAGUGACAGCUUCAUUGAUUCUUGUAUAGUCCCCCUCUCGUGUAUUGGGCUGGCAGAGCAAUAUUAUUACAGGGGAGUGAUUGCUAUGUUUCUCAUUUACCUUGCUAAUAUCACUAUGCAUGGGCGUAGUCUUGUCUCGCAAUGAUUGCUAAGUAUGCUUGCACUAACUAUGAUAAUGCUAGACUAUAUAGUUGAGAAUAACUUAGGAAAUAUUCUUGUAGUUCGUUCUAAUACCCUGCUAAUGACUUUCUAGAGUAUCUAAUUGAGGUGUUUAUCAUAUUUAUAUGUGGCUGAUCAGAUUAAAUAUCUUUGUCCCUAUUCAUUACUUCAUAUAUCUUUUAUGUGACACUUAUCCCUGUAUGAAAGAGUUAGAUAAAUGUUCUCAAUUAUACAUGCAAUGAUAGAUACUCAAUCUCAUAUUCUAUUCUGUAAUCAAUAUUGAUGAUUGCUAAUCCCUUCCCAGUGGUAAAAAUAUAAAUAACGAUACCUGGAAUACUUCCCGGUUAAAAUGCUACAUCGGUAUUAAUCUGUGCGCUUGCAGAUCCCAUUCAUUAUUUAUUUAGAAGAGCAAUUGCAUAUUUCAAUACUGCGUCUCUCAUGUCAUGCUGGGGAUGACAACUUGGCUUAAGUGGUAUGAGGGAUAGGUUUGGCAUUUUUGGCACCGUUACUAGAAUUAGAAAACUGUCUACUUUUGGUAAUGAUGUUAAGAAUACCCAACAAGCAUUUUUUGGCGCCGUUGCCGGGGAAGGUUGAUUACUAAUGAGGAAUGAAUAAAGGAUUUUGAGUUAUCAUUCGCAUCACUAAUAUGAUUGAGCUUAUCUAUUCUCUCAUACAGUUUUACCCUGGUAUUUUUCUAUUUUAUCUUAUCCAGGGGAAUGUAUGAAUAGAAGACAUCUUCCAGGAAAUUUUGUUGACAAUCCAGAAGCCUUAUUCAGAAAAACUAGAGCCAAGCUCAAGAAGAGAUCAUCAACACUUCAGCAAGAAGCUUCAUCCAAUCAAGAAGAUCACCAGAACUUGUCUUCAGAGUUCGAAGCCAUGGCGAACAAAUCAAUCCGCAAGUUCUCAGCUGUACGGACCUGCUGCAGAGAUCGACGGCAACUUUGAGCUCAAGCCUGGACUUAUCAACAUGGCGCAAUCCAACCAGUUCUGUGGGAAGGCACAUGAAGAUGCUAGUGCCCAUCUCCAACACUUCCUGGAGAUUUGCAGCACAUUCACCAUAUCAGGAGUUCCCAGAGAUGCUAUACUACUUCACCUCUUCCCAUUCUCACUGUUAGGAAGAGCGAAGCAGUGGUUCUACGCUACAAAGGAGAAGAAUACUACGUGGGCACUCUGCUCAACAAACUUCCUGGCUAAGUUCUUUCCCAUGGGCAAGACCAAUGCUCUUCGUGGGAAAAUUACAAGUUUUCAGCAACAAAAUGAUGAAUCUGUUCCAGAAGCAUGGGAGCGUUUCCAAGACUACAUCCUAGAAUGUCCCCAUCAUGGAAUGGAGAGUUGGCUAUUGAUGGAGACAUUUUAUCAUGGGCUCGGCAACCGUGCCCGAGAGACCAUGGAUGCUGCAGCUGGAGGAGCAUUUUUAUCACUUACUAUACCACAAGCCACAGCUCUUGUGGAGAAGAUGGCGUCCAACCAAGGCUGGAAUGAAGAGAGGACCCAGACACGCAAGAGAGGUGGAGGUAUGCAUCAGCUCAAGGAAGUAGACAUGCUGUCUGCAAAGCUAGACCUGCUCAUGAAGAAGCUCGACGAUAGAACUGGAGAUAAGAAGGAAGUUAUGCACAUCUACGACUCUCACAUGACUUGUGAGGAGUGUGGAGAUACUGGACACUCAGGCAAUCACUGCCCUGAGAUACUUGAGGAUGUGAACUACAUCAACAAUAACAACAACAACAACUACAACCGUCCUCAACAAAAUCAAGGUUGGAAUCAACAGAGGCCUAACUACUCAGGAUUAAAAUCUACAAAUCUUGUAGACAUGUUUGAUGCAGGUAAUUAGAGUAACCCCGUCACUGAAGUUACUACUGACCUUCUGCCGGUCAAGAAAGGUGAUCCAGGAUGCCCCGUCAUCUCGAUCUCCAUCGACAUGGUGGACUUCCCAGAAGCACUCUGUGACUUUGGCUCUAGCGUCAACAUUAUACCCAGGGUACUCUAUGAAAAAUUCUUUACAUAUCCUUUAUUAGAAACAACCAUGUGUUUGCAGUUUGUAGAUUAGACGAUAAGUUUUCCAAAAGGAAUAUUGAAGAACCUUUGUGUCCGAGUUGGUACCUUGUACGCCCCAGCGGACUUCGUGGUGAUAGAGACCGGUAAUGAUGAGAGAGCACCCAUCAUCUUAGGGAGGCCAUUCUUAAACACCUCGGGAGCUGACAUCUACGCUAGUGCUGCUAAGAUCAGUUUCUACAUCAAAGGGAGGAAGGAGAUGUUUUUCUUCAAGAACAAGACUACACAAAUCCCAGAUCAAUCCAGACGUGAAUCAAGGAAGAGGACCAAUAGGAGGAACAGGAACAAGCAAGUGUGGACCGAGUCAGCGAAGAUGGUCACUGCAGUUCAUGGAGGCCAAGAUCAUCAACUUAAGUCACCGUUUUUGACCAAGAAGGAUGACCCAGGAAUGCCAAGCAUCUAUUGCUCCAUAAAUGGAUACAACUUCUACAAGACGUUUUGCGACACCGGAUCGGGCGUCAACAUAAUGGCCGCAGUCACCUAUCGGCUCUUGUUCGGAACCAUGCCACUAAGACCAACAUACAUUCAGCUCUAGAUGGCAGAUCAGACAUUUCGAGAAGUUAAAGGAAUAGUAACUGAUGUCCCAGUCAAAAUAGAUGAUCAUUUUUUCUACACAGACUUUCAGGUUAUUGACAUGGGAGAAGAUGAGUACGAUCCACCCAUCAUCCUUGGAAGACCGUUCCUCAGCACCGUUAAAGCAAUUAUCUACAUUGGAACCGGAGAAGUCCAUAUGCACUUCCCCUCUGAGAAGGUACGACGCUAUUUUAUUGACCCUAACUAUAUCUUUGAAGAAUCUAAGCAGGUCAGGAAACAACGCAACCGCAACCAGAGGAGGCAAAUCAUCAAGGACGGAUGGGCAGACUACGAAGGAGAAGUGAUAAGAUCAGAAGACGUAGAGUUUAAACAGAAUUAUCCAGAGGAGACCGUAGCACCGAGUCAGGUAUGGAGAGAGAAGAUAACUAUACAUGAAGAAGAGGCGCCGCCGGAAGUACCGACUACAUCCGAGGACAAUCGAGAAAGAGAAGAGUCCCGUUCGAAGGACUUAAAAACACCGAAAGCCUUGCCAAGAGGUAAACUUGGUAGUUAUCCUUUCCCUUUCAAUUAUUUAAAAUUGUUUACUUAGUUAAUUAUGCUAUCUUAAAAAAAGAAAAUAAAAAUGUGAAAAAUAGUAAGCCCCAUGUGAGUAUACGAGUGGCAUAAAACCCAUAAGUACAUUCACUAUGGUGGCAUAAAUAUAAAAUAAAAAUAUUUCUUUUCUGCUUUAUAAAAUGAAAAUAUAAAAAUAGGAGUAACAAUUAUUGAGGAAGCUCAACAUGAUAAAGGCUAGAUAUUUAUGCUAACACUUAAUCAGUUCCACAAGCUUUGUUGUCUAUUUGAGUUCCACAGAAUUUAAGAAUCAAGAAGACUAGCAGACGGAGGACAUUCUAAUCGCUGUCAGAAUGCUGCUGACUUUCAAAUACACCUCUACCACCUGCUAGCUACAUCAAGAGAAAUUACGUCAAAAUUCAGCUUGGGGGAGAGCACCCCCAUUUAUCUCGCUAAGUAUUUCUAUCUAUCUUUAUACUUAUAUUAUAUUAGAAUAUAAAUAUAUAUAACUAUGAAAAACCAAAUAAAGAUUUUGUGCUUAUAUAUAUAUCUUUUGCUUAGUGUGUUUAAUAAAUAAAUAAAGUGGUUAUGCUAAUCUGAAUCUUAAUAAUAAAACUCUAGCAUGGAUAUGAUGAAUAGUUGCUCUGCCUAAUUUACACAUUUUAAGUUCUCUCUCAAGUUUAGACAUAACUGUUAUAAUUUAAAGCUUGUUCUAGACUUAAACUUGUGGGAUGAAAACUUGAUCUGAAGUCUAAGUUGUUAACGGUUAUGAUAUGGGAAGGUUGAGCUGCUGUUUAUCUAUUCCUAGAGAUGCUAGAAUUCUGGAGAAUUUUAUCUUUAAAAAUCUUUAAAAUGUUGCAUGAUGAGUUCCUGUAUGAUGAGAGUUUAAAUUACUACCACAGCCAUAUAUACAUGCUUGCUAGACUUUGAGCCACACAUUUACUAUUUACUGCUUAUGAGCAUUGAGUGUGGUCAAGCUGUGUAGACCCUUAGGAGCUUGUCAUGUGGUUAAAUCAAGAUUUCACUUGCACGUUCACUCAUAUAUGCUACUUCUACUCCGGAAGUACCAUCCACAAAUAUCCACCCAUUUCCAUCUCCAGAACCACCCAAAAAUAUUCUACUCCUAAUCCGGGAGAGAAUAACAAAAAAUAUUUCUGUUUUUCCCUUGUGAAAUAAAUGCUCAAGUUAUCUUGUUACUACCACUUGCUAUAUUAUCUCAAGAGAUGAGUGCUCUAAAAAAACGAGGAAAUAAAAAGGGGCAAGUGCCCGGAACCUCGAAAGAAAAGAAAAAGUGAGACGAGAGGUAAAAAUGGACAAGUGUUCGACAGUAGAAUUAGGGGUGCAAGAUACCCACCUGAGAGAAAAGAAAAAAAAAGAAGAGCAUCUCAUUCUCCUCAUAAAGUUUCAGAAAGCAAGGAAGGUAUGUAUCCCCUCAAAGAGAAAAAAUAGAAUUAGACUUUCACCAUUGUUACCAUCAUCACCAUAUACCAUUCAUCCGCCACACAUGCACAUCUUGAUUUGACUUAUUGAUUUGUUUCUUUGGAUCUAUGGUUUGACUAUGCAAUACAUGUCUUGUAAGUAUGUAUAUUUUAUCUCCCACCUAUGAGCUCCAGAUAUUAAAGCCUUAUUAGAGUAGGGUGAGAGAGAAGGCAAUAUCACUAUGCCUUAUACCACAAAUACCAUAUAUAUAUUGAGAGAAGGCAUAUACCAUCACUGCCUUGGUAAGGAUCCAGAAAUACUACAAAAGAGAGAUCUAAGAGAAUCAUACAAGGAAUCUCUGAGUUUUAUUUGAAAAUCUGCAAAAACUCUAGAGCUAUAGCUGAUCAAGAAUAAGAGACAUGGCACUUGACUAGACUGUUCUAUCUUUUAACUACUCAAGACAGAAGUGACGGUUACAAGUCCGAUGGUGAAAGGUAAAGUAAGUAGGUUUUAAGUCUUGAUAGUUUACUCUAACUCAGAGAUGAGACCUCAUUAAAAAGCAUGUGUACCGUCAAUUUUUAAAGAUAUUGCAACAACUUCUGAUCCAUCACUGAGUCUAUCCUUGCUCAGGGACGAGCAAGAGGUAAGCUUGGGGGAGUUUGUUGACGGUCCUUAAGUAUCAAAUUUAAUUAUCAAAUAAACAAAGAAAAGGAUCCAAAUGAAAUCAACAUCUAGACUUAGGGUUUUAUCUAACAGAAUUCCACGAGUUUUGGUGUUUGUCUAUUUCUGCAGGGGUUAUCAGGAAAUACGGAAGAAAGGCCCACACGUCGGGAUUACAUAGAGAUAUUAACGUGCCGCGCAAUUAUCUUACAUCUAGAAGACUCCAGAAGCCACGGGAAGGAAGCGGAGGCCGAACGGGGCCAGAGGCAGGGCGCCCGCCCUGUUUCCCUGGGCGCCCGCCCCCUCUCUGAGUCCAAACAGGACUCUGUUUCGUGGGAGAUCUCCACCAACCUAAAGGAUCAAGGAUAACCGUUCAAUCAAUGUCGGUUUGAUCCAACGGCCCAUAUUCACUUGAAGGGACUAUAAAACCAGACCCCCUGGCCCCUAGAGGAGAUAUUUAGAUUAGCAUAGCUACAUAGGAUUAGAACUAGAAGGAGUCAAUCUUCGAUUGGUUUCCGGAUCUGUCAAGAGGAUUCUUGGUAAUUCUCUAAUUGUGCUUCUAAUUGUUCUUCUAAUCAUCUUUGUUCUUCAAUAUUAUGAAUAUGACUUUGUUCUACUUCAAUAUAUUGCUUAUGACUUUGCUCUACUUGUUUAUAUUCAAGAUUAUAUUGUUCUUAGUUUAUCAUAGUUAUGUACUUGGCUUAGUUAGAUUGGAUCUAUAUACAUGCUUAGGAUCGUAUAGCGUUUAUCCAUCAGAUCCAUGGGUAAAUGAUAGAUAUUGUGUAGGCGUGGUGCUUAUACCGUAUUUAUCUGCGAUUGUACCCAAUAUGCCAGAUCGUGGGGUAGUUCGUGAUAGUGACAGCUUCAUUGAUUCUUAUAUAGUCCCCCUCUCGUGUAUUGGGCUGGCAGAGCAAUAUUUUUACAGGGGAGUGAUUGCUAUGUUUCUCAUUUACCUUGCUAAUAUCACUAUGCAUGAGCGUAGUCUUGUCUCGCAAUGAUUGCUAAGUAUGCUUGCACUAACUAUGAUAAUGCUAGACUAUAUAGUUGAGAAUAACUUAGGAAAUAUUCUUGUAGUUCGUUCUAAUAUGAUGCUAAUGACUUUCUAGAGUAUCUAAUUGAGGCUCUUAUCAUAUUUAUAUGUAGCUGAUCAGAUUAAUUAUCUUUGUCACUAUUCAUUACUUCAUAUAUCUUUUAUGUGACACUUAUCCCUGUAUGAAAGAGUUAGAUAAAUGUUCUCAAUUAUACAUGCAAUGAUAGAUACUCAAUCUCAUAUUCUAUUCUGUAAUCAAUAUUGAUGAUUGCUAAUCCCUUCCCAGUGGUAAAAAUAUAAAUAACGAUACCUGGAAUACUUCCCGGUUAAAAUGCUACAUCGGUAUUAAUCUGUGCGCUUGCAGAUCCCAUUCAUUAUUUAUUUAGAAGAGCAAUUGCAUAUUUCAAUACCGCGUCUCUCAUGUCAUGCUGGGGAUGACAACUUGGCUUAAGUGGUAUGAUGGAUAGGUUUGGCAUUUUUGGCACUGUUACAAGAAUUAGAAAACUGUCUACUUUUGGUAAUGAUGUUAAGAAUACCCAACACCAGGGAGGUCAGGAAUUUUAACUCACCUGCCUUUGGGCUUACACCAAUGGUCCCCCGCACACCGCACUUCCUCCGGUAGUGCGCACUUUAUACUUAUCGGCCUUCCGGCCUGAGUCAUAUUACUAGGCUUCGCGGUCGGAACGAGUUAUCGAGCCAACUAAGUGUUAGGCAUGCGUUCAACAUGACAAGAGGACGUACAACGGUCGGUCCUUAGCCGCCACAGACGGAGUUACUACAACCUUGCAAAACUCCGCCCGGCUUAAGUCAAUUUAAUCAGGUUCCAUCCACGAUAGCACAUAUAGUCCAUCGUGAUCCGACAUAACCCUAUAUCGCGCAGGUGACAGGAUAUCACCCGACUUCUACCGAUUAAAGCAUGGCUAAGCUGCUACUCGAUCCUAACUCUAUAACUAGGUAGUGGUAAGAUAUCUGGACAAGGAAUGAGUAAAAUGCAGCAAAAGUUUCAUCACAACUCCUAUACGUAAAUGCAUCAAUAGAUUUAACAUAUUCAAGUAAACUUUCGAAAAUAAAGGGAGACUUAGGAUGCUCCGGGGCUUGCCUUUCACGAACGAAGCUGGUUCGUGGUUCGGGCACUCAACUUCUUCUUCGGGCAUCUCGAGUCCGGCUUGCUGGACCUCCACCUCCAGGUUGCCCUCCUGUCCUUGGGGGUUCACUUGAAGCUCGUAGGAGGCGGUCGCGUCCGGUGCACCUAUUGCAUACUCGAUGAAUAAGAAAAUGUGCAUACUAAAGGAUGAAUGCUUGACACAUAAUUAAACUCACUGGACACUCAUUUAUGGAGUAACGGUUAUCACAAGUUCACACAAGAUAGUAAGUUAACUUAGCCAAAAUCUACCAAGAUAACCUAUAAACAGCAAGCAUUACAUAAAGAACAGCUCAGAAAACAGGUCAUAACUAAUGCUAGACAGAUCCAACAAACCUAAGUGAGGAUAUUCUGGAAAGCUUAUGAAAUUGCCUACAAAUCAUCUUUAAACAUCACAGCAAGAUUCAUAAGUUAAACAAGCCUUAUAAACAAAGUUUCAGGUUCUGUCCCAGAAAAACACAAAGCACCUAUUUCUAGAAUCCAACUUGGAACAGCCAUAACUUUCAAUAAACCACAGGUAGUUCAUAAAGUUUACAACAACUUUGAUUUAGACAAGUCUUCUAGAUAACCAAGUUUUUAAUAAGCAAAGAUUGAAUUACUUCCUUGCUGUCCAGAACAGCUUUUAACCCUUUAAUUAAUUAUUUGAUGACAUGGCCAACACAUAAUCAGUGUCAACCACAUGACUUAUAAGCACAAACAUAUCAUAAGGUUACCAGAACAUCAUAUGAUAACUUCUAAACAUUUGUUAACAAGGCCUUUAAUAAUUUAAUUCUAUAAAAGAGCAUAAUUACAAGAUACUAGCAAAAGUGCUCAGAAAAAUCUACAAAAAUUACAGAAGCACAAGCAGAGCAUGGUGACAUCACCAUAAAAAUUUCAGAGCAAUUGCACAUACUAAAUUAAAGAUAUGUAUUUAACAUGUGACAAGGCUCUUAUUUCAUAAAUUCAGAAACAUGACUUAUAUGGUACCAAACAACAGAUUUCAGAUUAUUUACAUGUUACCAGUACCAUAAACAAGUUUGUCACCAAAGUGGAGUAUCAGCAUAAUCACCAAUGAUUUAUUAUGAUUUUAAUAAGAAAACAAGCCAUAUCUCAAUCAUAAAUUACAUAUCAAAGAUGCAGUACUCAAAAAGUCAUGAAAUAUUCAUCAUAGCAUUCUAGUACCACAUAGAGACUACCAUAAAAAUUUCAUGGCAAAAGGAGCAGUAUAACAGAAGAUAUGAAUUUACUCAUGAAUAACAAGAUUAAAUCCUAAUAAAUAGUUUUCCUAGAAAACAUGGUCCAUUUUAUUUUUUAAUAAAAACUAGCCAUCUCAAGGAACAUCACAAAAUUGGUUUCGCAAUUUUUGGAUCACUAGAACUAGAGAUAUGAUUUUUGCAAGAAAUCCAAAAAUCUGGAAUUUGAAUAAAAGGAAGGAGACCGUUGAGUCACUGACAAUGGGUCCCGCGCGUCAGCGACCCAGAGAACAAGGGACUCCUUCGCCGGCAAAUGCUCGCCAACGGUGAGCUUCUCUGGCGGAUCCAAGGGCACCAGCGUGCUCCUGGAGUGAUUCUGCAUCGAUGGAGGUAAGUGGCGCUAGGGUUUCGGCUACGGAGAGGGGUCGCCGUUGGCCAUGGCGGCACGACGGAGCUACCCCGGCUUACGCCGGCCAUCUCCGACCGGUAGAGCGUCGGGGAAGGGCGGCUUAAGCACCAGUGAGUUAGCGCGGAGCUUUCUAGGUAGAAACGCCUAACCCUAAUGGCUCCGGUGAGUCUGCUCACGUGCAAGGUACUCGUCGGCGGUGAGCACGGCGGUGCGGCGGCCGUGUUCCCACGCGAUGGUGAUGCCUCAGCCGUAAUGGCAUGGCGUGGACCGACAUCAAGACCUAAGCCGACCUUAACAUGACUCAGAAGGGAGAAAGGAAGUAAGGAUGGAGCAGCGGCGAGGUUCGCCGGAAUCGGUGUCGCGACGGCCGUGAACCCGACGACGACGAACUCGCGAAAUGUCGCUCACCUCAGGGAGAUCUCGUCCAACCGAGGGGUGGAGAAGAUGUAGGAGCUCGAGGCGAACUUGGAGACGCUCGGAGGCGAAGCAAAACGCAGAGGCGAGUGCGCGAGGAGCUCGCGAAGUUCUCAGCAGCAAUGGCGACGGCGUUUCCGCCUAGCGGAGCGCGAGAGAGAGGAAGGAAGAGAGUGGACGGGCGCUGAGUGAGUGCGGGGUGUCGUGGCGUCCAUGCCAACGCCGACGACCUGACGAGCGGGGCCAAUGCCGGCGUACGGGCGCCAACUGGCGGACAGAUGUCGCGCUGCGCGUCCACGACGGCGAGCUCGGUUCUGAAUGAGGCGACGCGAUCACCGUCUGACAGAGCAACUUCGACGGCGAUUAACUCCCAAACCAAAACGAGUUAGGAGAUGAUGUAGUUGACAAAGUUGGAGUACUAGCUGAGUUCUACAUCUUUGUCAACUGGAGCAAGAGCCAAAUCAGCCUGGACUGAGAGAUAUGAGAUUUCCAAAAUGGUUCGAGCAAACUGCUCGCGCCACGACCUAGCCAAAAUCGACUAAGUGCUAAAAGAGCACCAAAAACUGCCUUGUAGGUCACUUUUGAGCUAGAUGUCUUCAUUUUCAUGAGAUGGCCAUAAAACAACUUUUGUUCCUUAUAAAAUUUGCUACAACUUUGCUGUAGAAAGUUUUGACAUGCAAACAUUUUAUGAAACACUUUUUAAAAGCCUAAGCAAAAGAGAUUUCUAGGGCCUAUUUGAGUAAGUAUGACUUAAGUGAUUAUUUUGGGGAAAUGAUCAACAUGAACAUUGUUCCUAAUGUUGAGUUAAGCAUAGAUAAACUAAUUACCAAGGCAUAACACACAAACAUGAGCAUGGUUCACACAAACAUAAGCAUAGGAAGCCUAUUUAAACAACUUAAAUCACAUUUUUACAUAGAAUGACAUGGCUCAAGGUAGAUGAUGAUCAUGAUAUGCUUGAGAGACUAAUGAUGCUCAUGUUAUGCAUAUGAUUUAUGCAACCAUAACACUGGGGUGUUACAUAGCUCUUCUCGUCUUUCGCGCUGCAGUCUCCUUUUUUGUGUCUUAGUCAACCCCUCUGGACACCAUGGAGGAAGUGGUGACUGCCUUGCCGAUGGACGACGACGUUCCCUUGACUCCAUCCGAUGAGUAUUAGCGUCCCUGCAAAAUAUGAACUCAUCGGGAACUCGUGCAUUAGCCAUCUCUUCCAGCUCUUCCUGGUUCCUGGGAAAAUAUUCAACACGAUCACCAAGCCUAUCGUGCACACGGAGUCUGCCCCCAGCCGAUCAUGAACGGACGCUCUCCCCCUAAUCGGCCCAUUAAAUCGCCGAUUAUCAUCGUGAUAGCGUCGAUCGGAUCUGUCAUACCAAUCAUAACCAUUGCAUUCAGGACAGUCUCUAACAGUGGGCAACUUGAUGUUCUGCUCCCAGCAAUGGAUAAAGAACGGGCAGUUCUAAUGAUCCUUGUGUCGAUUCCACUCUUGACGGCGUCUUUCUUCUUCCCGACGAUAGUCUUCUUGCUGGCGCCGACACCGAUCUUCGCGUUGCUGCCAAGUCUCCCGAGGCCUUCUAUGAGUUAUCACAAUACCAGAUCGAGGAGGCCUUCCUGAGCUAUUUCCUUCCUGAAUCAAGCCUUUUCCUUUCGCAUCGGCGGUAGUGAUCUGAUGCUGAGGAUCCACCAACGCACUUCUUUCAGCUGCUUCUGACGUCAAGACCUUGGCUUUUCCCUUAGCAUCCAGCAUAUUUGUCGAGAAAGGAUGUUGAUCAAUCUUCAUCGGCUUCUGAGUUUUGGAAUUAUCAAAUUUGAUUCUCCCAGAUUCUAUAGCCGAUUGCAGCUGUUGCCUAAAAACCUUGCACUCGUUGGUGCUGUGAGAAGUUGCAUUCUGCCACUUGCAGUAUUUCAUCUUCUUUAAUUCUUCAGCCGAUGGAAUUACAUGAUUGGGUGACAAUUUGAUCUGACCUUCCUGAAGUAGGAAGUCAAAUAUCCUAUCGGCUUUGGUGAUAUCAAAUGCGAACUUCUCUGGCUCUUUAUGCCCAAAAGGACAAGACAUCGGCUUCUUAUUUUUCACCCACUCUGCCAAGCCGAUGACUGGCUCUUCAUCAGAAUCUGAGCUUACUGCCUCAUCAAUAAAUGACACCUUUUUAUUCCAAGCUCUCUUAGGUUCAAAGGGUUUGAUAUCCUGGUCGGAAAUCCUCUGGACCAAGUGACUUAGGCUCUCGAACUCUUGAGAAGCAUAUUUGUCCCUGAUAUGUGGCAACAACCCUUGAAAAGCCAAAUCGGCUAGCUGCCGAUCAUCUAAAACUAGACUAUAGCAUUUAUUCUUAACUUCCCACAACCUCUGCACAAAACUUUCAACCGAUUCAUCAUUGCGCUGCUUCAAUCUAACCAAAUCGGUAAUCUUCUUUUCAUGGACUCCAGAAAAGAAAUACUUGUGGAAUUGCUUCUCCAGAUCGGCCCAGGUGAUCACUGAGUUAGAAGGUAACGAAAUAAACCAAGUAAAAGCCGAUCCAGAUAAAGAUGAUGAGAACAAGCGAAACCUUAACUCAUCUCUGUUAGCAGCUUCCCCACAUUGGAUGAUAAACCUGUUGACAUGCUCCAUAGUCGAUGUAUCAUCCUGCCCAGAAAACUUAGUGAAAUUCGGUACCUUGUAUCGAUUUUUAAGUGGGAUUAAAUCAUAUGCAGGAGGAUACGGUGUCCGAUAAGAGUAAGUGUUGACUUUGGGUUUUAUCCCAAAUUGGUCUCUCAUUACUUCAGCAAUCUUAUCGGCCUAAUAAGCAUCGACAUCUUGCCGAUGGGGUGGUUGUGGAUCUGGCACCUGCUGGUAAGCUUCCACGUGUCGCUGGGGUGCACGAUCUGCAUGGAACAUGGGAUUAACCAUAUGACCACCAAUCUGCUGACCCAGAUUCAUCAGCUGGUUGAUCAAUCCUUGAUUCUGAAACCCAGGUUGGACCUGUCCUUGUUGGAAUCCAACAGCCUGAUGAUUCUACUGAGGCAUCUGUGGAAAGACUAGCUGCCCUGUCCAUCCAUUAUGAGCAUUCAUCGGCAUGAACCCUGCCGAUGACUGAAGAUUGGGCAUCAUCAUUGAAUUGCCAAACCCUAGUUGUGUCAUGAACCUCUGCUGCGUUAGCAUUGAAUCUGCUGAUGCGUUAGGCAUCUGAAACAGUGGAGCUUGAGAAUUCCCAGUGUAAGGUCUUGCAGUAGUAGUUGUACUAUACUGGGGACUCUGAUUCAUCGGCAAAUUUGGAGGUGCCGGUGCCAUAGGAGCCUUGCCGCUCGUGUCAGCCGUCAGAGAUGUUCCAGGAGUCUUCAACAUCAUCUCUGGGGGCAUACCAUAACCCCACCAGUUGGGAGGAAUGGACCCUGACAUUGCCGAUGCCAAUAGAUCUGUGGUAAGCUUGAUCUGCUCAUCUGAAGUUGAUGGAUUGGUCGUCAUCGGUGUAGAUUGCGCGUUAGUGACUCCUAACGUGCUUGGAGGAACGGUAGUUUCUGUACCCGCAGCGGCCGUAGCAGCCGAUGGAGCCAUGACCACUGGUGAUCCUGGCUGAUGAUAGACAGGGCCCACAUAGUUUGGUGGCAAUUGUCCCUCUUUGAAAGUUCUAGCCACGGCGUUGAAAACCGUAUUGGACAGCACACCAGCUUGAUUGAUCAUGGCACGAUUAAUAGCACUAUCAACCAUGUCUUGAAGUUUACUAGGAUUGGCUUCAAAAGUAACCUGCCGAGGCGCCGGCAGUGCUUCCUUCUGGAUCACCUCGCCACUCCUGUUGAUACUGAAGGACUUCAAACAUUGCUGCUUGUAAUCCUCCAUAGCUUUUGCAAUAACUUGCUUCUGCUCAUCUCUGAGAUUCGCUUCCGUCACGGGGAUGACGUUCUCCAAACCGAAUUCGGUAGUCGACAUAUCGAUCUUGAUCUUGAAUUUGUCCCACCGGGCGUGCCAAAAGAUGUGUUGGUGCAAAAGUGGAUCUACAAACACAAAGGGCUAAUACCCGAUUCAAACGUUAAGGCGUGCCAGCCGAUUUGACCUUAAUAUCGGCAAAGGUGAUAACUCGAAUACUUUGGUCCCGACAACAGCGAUGCGCCCGGAUGCCACGGCCAAGAGGUAUUCACACGGAACUCGAGAAUACGCCGAGCUUAAGUCAACGAACUCCUAAGAACUCAUAAUAAAAAGGAAAAUAUGACGAAGUCGUCGAAAAAGUAGAUGCUGGAAUAUGAGUAAAAACUUGUGUUUGAUUGAUUGAUAGAUAUCUCAUUACAAGGCCUUAGGGUACAUUUAUACCCUGCUCAAAGAGCUACAAUCAGACACGACUAGGACUCGAAUUCCAAUUUAAAUAGAAUCCGUAUACAAAAUGAUUCUAAAUAACUAAGGAAAACAUAGAACCACCCCCUCAUAACCGACCGGGACACCGCCACAGAUCAAUUGGCAGCCUCCACACUUCCCUUCAGAGUCAUCGGCAGUCUUCCUGUUAUGGCCAUCGGCAAACACCAAUAUUGAUCAUCGGCAAGAACACGUCACCACCUCUGGACUUAGUCAUAUUCAAUCGUCUCUUCAUCGGCAACUAUCCUCAUCGGCAACUCUUCUGCAGGCUAGUUACCGUUGCUCCACCUGCCGAUCUAUACUCUACUGGUCUCUGGGUACGUGUCCAAAAAUGGUGUCAACACGCACCCACAUGGAUUAGAGCGGGGAAUCGCUGGAGCAUUCAUGUGCAUGUCAUGCAUGCGUGCUCGUUCAUUGCCGUGGCUUCUCGAGUCUUCUAGAUGAUAGAAAAUUGGCGCACACAUUAAUAUCUCUAUGUAAACCCGACGUGUGGGCCUUUCCUCCAUAUUUCCUGAUAACAACCUGCAGAAAUAGACAAACACCAAAACUCGUGGAAUUCUAUCAGAUGAAACCCUAAUUUUGGAUGUUGGUUGCAUGUAGGUCCUUUUCCAUGAUUAGUGGACGGUUAAAUGUGAGCAUUAAGGACCGUCAACAGCUGCAUCGUCAUCUGUGCCAUCGCCGGUGGACUGAGAAGGAGCUGUCUAACUCUCUGAACGUGCACGAGCUGGUGAAGCAGUCUGGGUUGGAUCAGUGUGCUCUGUAGCUGUCUAUGUUGCUGCCUAAGUCUCAAGUCCUGUGGAAGAAGCCGGCACAGACACAGUGGCUAUAUCUAAGGUCUUUGGAACUAUAGAGGAAGGAGCAAGCUGCUCAGACAAAGCCACAGACGAUGACAUACGCUGUGUAGUGGUGACUAGCAAGGUAAAAGCUGCAGGAGCCUGCUAUGGAGAAGGAGUAGGCAUGCCAGUUAGAGCACUAUACAAAAAUGACAAGUCCUGCCCCAUUGAGGAGUCCAAAACCAACUAAGAAGCAGAGGCGGAAUGUGGAGUGAAACCUGAGUGCAGAAGAGUGAACUGAGGUGUCUGCUCAAAGCCAGAAGAGAUAGCACCCUGAGACACCUGGUGCUGUGGAGUGGUGAACGACUGGCUAUGAGCAGGAAGAUGGAGAGGAGGUUGUGACUGACUCUAAAGCCCACUGGGCUAUACGCCUGGAGUCGAUGGCCUAACUAGGGAUGUGCCUAGAAGUUGCACCUGUGGUAGAGUAAUCCCUGUUGCUACCAUGAGGGUUGCCAUCAGAGCUAUCUGCUAGGCCUGGAACGCUAGCUGCUACUCCUAGAAAGAGAGUAGCUGCCUCUGAAGCUCAUCCUACUUGGCCUGCAUGGCUGCAUUGACAACAGCCCGCUCUCUAUCACGACGAGCCUCCUCCUCAGCUGCCCUUUGUUGGUCGGCUCUCAUGCCCUCUAGAAUAGCAAGGAGGGCUGGGUCAGUAGCAGAAGAGGAACCUCCAGCCUCGUGGUCGUGCUGCCUUGGAGGAAGAUCUGGGAUGGGGAGCUGAUAAUCAUCAUCUGAGCUGUCUAUAGCUAGUGCCUGCCAGUGCGCAGUGAAUGUAACUGUGAUAUGGUGCCAUAAUACGAGAAUAAUUGCUUACCAAAUAGGCCAGCGUAAUUUCCUUCAUGCAUGCAAAAAUUUUAAGUAGCGAAAGAAAGCCGCGCACCCACAGGGAUUAGAGCGGGAAAUCGCUGGAGCAUUCAUGUGCAUGUCGUGCAUGUGCGCCCAUUGACCUGGCUCGGCGAGGCGAGGCGAGCGAGCAAGCGCGUGUGGCUCUUCCUUUUCCUCUUCUCAAUAGCUUCAACAAGAUGGAGAUAGCUCAACUAUUUAAGUUGGCCUUACUCCACUUGAAGUAGUAAGGUGGAACUAAAGUCUCCCACCUUUCCAUAUAUACAUGCAUGUGUGAAUGGGUCUUUGGGAUUUAUUUUGAAUUGUUUGGCCCAUGGCCCAAAACAUCUAACAAUCCCCUACCACAUCCCAAGGGCACGCGAUUCAUACUCUUUGUACCAUAGUACUGUUAAUAUACCAGCUAUUCAGUGGAGACCGGUUAAGGUUGAACAUCCACCUAGAACAACAAGAUAGGCCCAUCCGCAACUACACAAUGGACUAGGCCUUGAAUUGGCAGUUUGGUGCAAAUAGGCUUCACUCGAAGUCUUGACUGAUACUAGGCUGUCAUAGCCAACCCCGCGAGUAGAGUGUAUAAGUCAUACUCCUAACUCACUUCAUGAGCUUAUUAAAGAAUACCCAAUUCUUAUAAACUGCGACUAACUGUUGCACUCACAUAUGUGUGUUUUUACAAGAAUACUCUAUAGGACAAUAUCUUGCUAUAAAGCCUCAGAACACAUUAAGACAAAGUCAACCUGCCUUAUAGAAAUGAGAGUACUGCAUCUCCAACGGAGUGGGUCAAAUGAAAACGGUUGUACUCUCCCAUUAACCAACAGCUUGUUCUUCCUAGAUCCUAAUUCACGGGAUCUCCGAUCACAUAGGUUGGGUUACUGCUGAGGUUAACUCACAUGGGUCUCAAUCCCAUCUCCUUCGAUGCACUAUCAAUCACAGUGCGUGUGUUGACACUAGCUAACACCACUUAGAUACUAGGUUGUCAUCCCUAGCAUGGCGCCAGAGUGUACAAAGGUAUUUAUAAAUGUAAAGGCUCUCUAGAAAAUAAUCUAUUCUAUCUGCAAGCGCACAGAUAAAACACCUCAUUGUAGCAUUUCACCAGGAUAAGUAUUCCAGGUAUCGUUAUUUAUAAUUUUGCUCAAGGGAUGAAAAUAAAAUAAAUGGGCAAAAUCUAUCAAGGCAUAGACUAGAGAUAAACUUGCAAGAACAUGAUUACUAAUGAGAAACUCGUCACACAGUCACUUACUUUAGCAGGGGGUAAACCAUAAAGAUAAUGAUAAUGAAUUAUAAGUUCAUGGGUAGAUAACACAGCGAUUAGAAAAUAGACUACUCCUCAUAUGUAGGUGAUGUCGGAUUAGCUAGAGAAUGGAUUCUAAGUUAUCUACUAACUACUAAGUCAUAAUCUACUCUAGAUGUCUACAAGAUCAUAUAUAGCAUAAAAGACUCUUCAUUCAUGUAUAAGGAACAUUGAUAAAGUAAAUCAGAGCAUCGCAUGACUUACUCCACAAUACCGGUUCUGCCUAUCCUAUCAACGGAGGGUGGACUAUAUAAGAAUCAACGAAGCUGUCACUAUCGCGAACUACCACACUACCCGGCCAAUAGGAUACAUUUGCAGAUAAAUAACAUCUAAGCACCACGCUCACAUGUGAUCUAUCACCUAACUCCCUCGCGUCAAGAGCUAAGCGCUUUGCAAACUUAUACAUAAACUCAUUAUCAAUUAGAACUAUAUCAAAUAUAGAACUAGAGCAAACUAAGAACAUAAUAAUUAGAGACAUAAUGCAAUUAGAACAAAGAAUUAGAGAAAGAUAUGAAUAAUACCAAUCUUUAUUACUGAAGAUCCGAAUCCAGAGCGUAGUGCUCUACUUCUCUAAUUGCUAUCUAAUCAAACCUCUAAACUUGAAGGAUUAGGGAGUAGCUAAUUCUAAUUCUCUGUGGGAGAGAAGCUCUAAACCCUAACUUUGAUGGCUACCUCUGCAUAAUGAUUUCUUCUCUUCUCCUCCCUUCUAGGGGGGGGUAGGCCUUGGUUUUAUAGUCCCUUCAAGUGAAUUUGGACCGUUAGAUCAAACCGACAUUGAUUGUGUGGUUUAGAUUGAUCCUUAGGUCGGUGGAGUGUUGUCCCGAAGCAGAGUCCCGAUUGGGUUCCAACCCUUGGCGGGCGCCCAAGGGGGGUGGGCGGCCGCCCUGCCCCAAGCCCGAUCGUGCUCUCGUUCGUUCCCGUGGCUUCUGGACUCUUCUAAAUUGAGGAAAAUUGCGCGGCACGUAAUUAUCUCGUUGUAAACAUGACAUGUGGGCCUUCUCUCCAUAUUCUUUGAUAACCCCCUGCAGAAAUAGAUAAACACCAAAGCUCGUGGAAUUCCGUCAGAUAAAACCCUAAUUCUAGAUGUUUGUUUCAUAUUGAUCCUUUUCCAUGUUUAUUUGAUUAUUAAUUUUAGUAUUUAAGGACCGUCAACAAACUCCCCCAAGCUUAACCUUUGCUCGUCCCUGAGCAAAAAGCUAAACUUAGACGAAUCAGAAGUUGCUUCGAUGUUUUCUAUCCUGACAGGCACACAUGCUUUUACAUAAAAAUUCUUCCAGAUUAGAGUGAAGUGUUAUGGAGUUUAGUACCUGCACUUAAAUCUUAAGUAAUCGAAAGACAAAAUAGUUAAGUCAAGCACUAUCCCUCCUGUUUAUACUUCACCUUUGUUCCAGAGUUUUUCAUAAAUUUUCAAAAAUAAAACUCAGAGUUCCCAGCAAUGAUUCUCUCAAGUCUCUCUAUAUGUGGUAUUUGUGGAUCCUUACCAUAAUGUCACUUACCUAUAGCUAAUGGAAUAUUUAAGUGGAGCUCAUAGGAGUGAAAACAGCUCAUACAUAUGUUGUCUAAUCGAGCUAUGGAUCCAAAGGAACUCAGCAUAUAAUUAAAUCAAGAUGUGCAUGUGUGAUGGAGUAAAUGAUAGUGAUGGUGAAAAUGUAUAAGUAAUAAUAAAACUUACUUCUCAUUGCUCCUCAUAUUGCUAUCUCUCCUCUUCUUUGAUCUUUGCUUUGGGAGAACAUGGGCUAUCUUUUUUUUCAGCUGGGUAGUAGAUACCCCUAAUUCUACUGUCGGACACUUGUCCAUUUUUUCCGCUCAAGUGGGCAUCUUUGUACCCCUAAUUCUACUUCGGACACUUGUCCAUUUUUACCUCUCGUCUCACUCUUUUUUUUCUUUCUUUUUCGAGGUUCUGGGCACUUGCCCCUUUUUAUUUCCUCGCAUAUUUUUGCAUAACCCAUGCCUCUUCUGCAUUGAAUCUUUUUAGAGAGAGAAUAACAAUAUUCGGGACAGUGAGUGAUAAUAUAUUUUUAGCAAUUGUAAUGAUUGGUGAUGAAUGUUGUGGUAGAUGUGUGCAAGUGAAUAUCUUAAUUUAACCACAUGAAAAGCUCCUAAGGGUCUACACAGCUCGAUCAAACUCAAUGUGAAUAUAAGUAAAAGAUAUUAUAGCAAGUAUGGCUGUGGUAGGUAGUUUGUUAUGCUAGGAACUCAUCAUGUGCUUUGUAAGUUUUCAAAAUAAAUCUCCAGAACUUAGUGUAGUAGGAACAAGAUAAACAGUAGCUCAAACUUUAUAUCAUGCCUUUCGCUUACCUAGACUUUAGUUUUAUGCUUCCCAAAGAUAGUAAUUUUAGUUUUCGAUAUUCCUGGAAGAACUCUAAUAUAAACGCUAGGUACUUGUAAGUAAGCAAACAGAGCAACUGUUCAUCAUUUCCAUCAUGCAUCUUUUUGGUCUUUUUAGUUUUCUAGAGAUUAAACUUAGCACAUAAAUAAAGCACACUUUUUUUAUUUUGUUUUUAUGUUUAUAAAGUGCAGUAAAUUAAAGCAAGAAAAUAUUUAUUUGGUUUUCUAAGUUUUUCCUUUUAAGAUAAAAUACUAAAAUAAAAAAGAAUAAAUAAGAAGAGCAAAUAAAAACUUACUUGAUAAAUUAGGGAGGAACUCCCCCAAGCUGGAUGUUGCUGUCGGUCUUACCCGAUGUUCCAGAACCGCAUCAUAAUUGUGAUGUUGUCGUUCAUUGUUGUUGUAUCUUGUCUCAGCUCUUCUACUGCAGCGGCAUGGUCCUGGUUCCAUUUUUGUUGCUCUUCCAGGAGUCUUCCAUGUUCUGCUUGCGUGUUCUGGAUGUCGAGGAGAGUGUUGUCCGUACGAGUGAAGAAAGCACCGGCCUCUGCCCGUAUGAAAAGGCGGGUUUGUCCACUAGUGAUCUUGGCUCUCCGGCCAUGUCUCCUCUGUUGGCUCUUGUGGUUGCGCAUGACGAACCCAUGGGUCUCGAAGGACUCGAGGAUUGUAAUCGUAAUAAUGCAGGUGCGCUGCUUCUUCUGGUCCAGGGUCAGCUCCAUACCAGGUGCGUUCUUGGUGAGUGGUCAUCCUUUCAGAUGCCACUCGCUGUGGAGUUCUCUGGUUCACUGGUGUUGCUGCAAUCUCAAUCAAAAAGUUUUGAACAACGUAGAGGCCAAGGUUAGGUUCGGGUUAGGUAACCGAAUCUUGCCUUUAUCAUCAUAUAGCAUAUACAUUACAUUCCCCUCUUUCUUUAACAUCCGAGGUUGUCUAAAUGUGUCAUAGCCAUGAUAAAUUCUUAACUCAUCUAUGAAGUCCAACGAUGAGUUUUCCAGUAAGUGAAGAUUAAACGCUAGACGAGUGAUAAGUGAAGUACAUCCUACUGGUCCCUGAAGACUAGUAUACUAAGCCAAUGAGAAACUUAUAGUGUAACAGUGAAGUGGUACUUAUAAUAGAGCGGACCAGUCGUUUCGAGCAAACGGCUGCGGCUCGUUUUUUUUUUUUUUUUUUUUUUUUUNNNNNNNNNNNNNNNNNNNNNNNNNNNNNNNNNNNNNNNNNNNNNNNNNNNNNNNNNNNNNNNNNNNNNNNNNNNNNNNNNNNNNNNNNNNNNNNNNNNNNNNNNNNNNNNNNNNNNNNNNNNNNNNNNNNNNNNNNNNNNNNNNNNNNNNNNNNNNNNNNNNNNNNNNNNNNNNNNNNNNNNNNNNNNNNNNNNNNNNNNNNNNNNNNNNNNNNNNNNNNNNNNNNNNNNNNNNNNNNNNNNNNNNNNNNNNNNNNNNNNNNNNNNNNNNNNNNNNNNNNNNNNNNNNNNNNNNNNNNNNNNNNNNNNNNNNNNNNNNNNNNNNNNNNNNNNNNNNNNNNNNNNNNNNNNNNNNNNNNNNNNNNNNNNNNNNNNNNNNNNNNNNNNNNNNNNNNNNNNNNNNNNNNNNNNNNNNNNNNNNNNNNNNNNNNNNNNNNNNNNNNNNNNNNNNNNNNNNNNNNNNNNNNNNNNNNNNNNNNNNNNNCUUGUGUGGGUGUCGGGUCGACGCUCAUCUCUGAUGGCUGUGAGGAGUGUCGGGAUGAACUCCUUGUUCCAAUGUUCUUGAGAGCCUUCCUUGCGUUCUUCACCUUCUUAAACAUCCUGUAAACAAAAGUUGGCAAAAACACAACUAGUGGAAAAUGUGAGAGAAAAUGUUAGUGGUCAGCUGUCCGGAGUGUCAGUAGUCCAGGGGUUAAUCGUUCAAGACAAAUUUCUAUUUUGGUAGAGCCUCUCCCCCUAAACAACUUUUAAUUCGCUUAGACAACGGAAUCACUACUUGCUAGGUGAUAAUCACUCUCUCACUCAAAAGAACUCCCAACCUUCUCACAGUCAGAGCUAUUCUCUAAACCGAGCUUGCAAGGGUUUUUUUUUGAAAUGUGUGUGUGAAGAGAAGGGGAGCUGGAGGUGGCCAUAUAUAGGCUGAGCAGGGGACAGGGCGGGCGCCCACCCCUAGUGUUGCCUCCUCCACUUGCUUCCUUGCUUUGAUCUCACGCAGAAUAAUGUUGUGUUGGUGGUGGUUGGAUGGUGGAAAGAUGUCUGGUGAGUGGAAACAUAUUGGUGGAUGAAAUUAUGUGAUGGGAUGUAUGUGAGGUGAAGUGUAUGACAUGUGGGACCCAAGGAGUGUGGGUCAUGCUUCUAGAAGCUUGCUAUAAUUAAAUAUAAUGCAGGAAAAUCUAUGAGAAUUAAAACUUAUUUAAAAUGAUUAUGGAAAAUAUUUUUGUCUCCACAAUAAUUAAUAAAUAUGGGUUGUUACACACCAUGAAUAUUAUUUAUAUGGGGCUUUUUGAUUAUUAUAAUUAUGCUAUGAAUAAAUGUGACUAAUGCAAGAUUUAAUUAUGCAAGAAUUUAAAUAUGAGAAAAUUAAUAAUGCCGAUAAAUACCGAUUUACCUCCCGGUGAGGGUUUGGGAUUUUUUAGGUCCCCCAAGCUGGACCUCCAAAUCUUUUAAUCUUCUGAAUUACCUUCCUCCGGAGAUGGUGUCUCUAGUUGUUCUUCAUGAACUUCCUUCACUGUAGAGUCUCUCUCUGGUCUGGGUUUGAAUGUGAAGUGUUCUUCUUGAUUGUUUAUGUUGAACUUGAUUUCUCCUUUUCCGACAUCAAUGUGGGCAUUGGCAGUGCUCAGAAAUGGCCUUCCAAGGAUGAUGGACACUUUUGAGUCAGGACUCAUGUCCAGUACUACGAAAUCUACUGGCACCAGGAAAUCUCUGAUCUUGACUGGAAUGUUCUCGGCGAUGCCCAACGGGUGUCGAACCGAUUGAUCCGCUAGUUGUAGGCACAUUGAUGUUGGUUCUAGGGUCGCAUGCUCAAGCUUUUUGUAGACUGAUGCUGGCAUCACACUAACACUUGCUCCGAGAUCACAAAGUGCAUUGUUGAAGUGUUGGUUUCCGAUCGAGCAAUCAAUAGUGGGGCAUCCUGGAUCUUCCUUCUUCUUUGGUGGCUUAUUGAGGAUGGUCGCACUACAUUCUUCUGUCAGCUUGAUAACCUCAGUGGUGGGCAGUGGUCUCUUCUUGUUAAGAAUAUCUCUGAUGUACUUUGCAUAUGUAGGUACCUGUAUGGCAUCGAGCAGAUGUAUGUUGACAUAUAAUUUCUGAAUGACCUCUACAAACUUACUAAACUGCUCAUCCGACUGCAGUCCUCUGUUUCUUCUGGGAAAUGGCAAAUAGUUGGUGUCGUAAAAAUCUUUCCUCAUUUCUCCAGUUCUUGGUGGUUGUAGCAGAUCUUCUGCUUCAACUGGGCUUUCUUCUUCUAUCACUGCUGGUUGCACUGGUGCUGAUGUUCUUUGUUUCUCUUUUGGGUAUGGGGGAUCUCUGGUUGCUUUGCCUCCUCUAGUUGUUAUAUUCUUUACCUGCUCAAUGUUAGUAGCAACAGGCAGUGCAGCAGCUAUCUUUAUUAAUUUAAGCUCUACCCUUUUAUUUAGAGUGUUUUGCUCAUCAAAGGCAGUUAGUAGAAAAUCCAUUUUAUUGUGUAUAUCUUUGAGAGAUGAUUCAUUUGUAUCUAGCCUUUGUUUAACUUCAUCAUUAAUUUUGGUUUGUUAGCAAUUAUCUCUUUUAAUGAAAGUUGCUUGAAAGUAUUACCUGAAUUCAUACCAUUGCUAUUGGGUUGACUCGAGGUUGGUUGAUAUUUGUAUGCUGUCUCAAUAGCCCUUUGAUCUUCUUUGAACUUGGCCCUCUGGUCAAUCCAAUGGAGCAAAUUUUCCAUCUUAGUUGAUAAUGCAUUUACUUCUUCUGGUAUUUCUUCAGUUUGAUGACAUUGUUGAGCUUUAUCUUGGAACCAACUUUGAUUUUCUGCUAUCUUAUCCAAAAGUAUCUCUGCUUUUCCAGUUGUAAGCUCCAAGAAUGAUCCUUUAGCAGAUGCAUCUAGGCACUCACGAGCCUUCUGGGUUAAUCCGUGGUAGAAGGUCUGCAUAAGUAACCAUGUGGCCAUUCCAUGGUGAGGACAAUCUGAUAUGUAUCCUUGAAAACGCUCCCAUGCUUCUGAAAUGGCUUCUGUCUUCUGUUGUUGGAAACUGACAAUAUUUCCUCUUAAGGUAGUUAUUUUGCCUAUAGGGAAAAACUUUGAUAGAAAGGCAUCUGACAAGUUCGUCCAGUUGUUGAUGUUAUCUUGAUGAGUGUAGAACCAGUUCCUCGCUUUCCCUUCUAGUGAGAAUGGAAAAAGGCGCAGCAUUAUGACGUCUUUGUCAACUCCGUUGAUGUGGAUUGUGCUUCCAAUCUCUAAGAAAUUCUGCAAGUGUGCACUAGCAUCUUCAUGUGCCUUUCCACUGGAUUGUGUAGCUUGCACCAAAUUGAUGAGGCUUGACUUGAGCUCAAACUCGGGUAUUCCUUCUUCUACUGCAAAUCUUGGACCAGUUGGAAUGUUCUCAAGGCUUGGAGCAGAGAAUUCUUGCAAGGUCUUCUGUGCCAUAGCUUCAGCAAUUGGUAGCUAGCUUCUUCUUCUCUUGAUUGCUUUGGUUCUGAUGAUGAAGAGUUGAAUGUACCCAAAGUCAAUCCUGAUAUACCCUGUAUAAAAAUAUAAACAUAGAAAAACAACAGGGUGAACCUGCCAAAGCAGAGAUGCCUUGUUAUGAUUUCUCACUUAGUAGCUGUUUUAUGCAAUUAUUUCUCUAUAGUCUAGUCUAAUAUUUUAUAUGAAUAACCUUGAUUGAUUUUCUGGCUUUCCUAAAUAUUACCCUUUUGCUUCCCCUUUAUGACUGAUUCAUGAGACUCCCCGGCAAAGGCGCCAGAAAUGCUUGUUGACACUAGCUAACACCACUUAGAUACUAGGUUGUCAUCCCUAGCAUGGCGCCAGAGUGUACAAAGGUAUUUAUAAAUGUAAAGGCUCUCUAGAAAAUAAUCUAUUCUAUCCGCAAGCGCACAGAUAAAACACCUCAUUGUAGCAUUUCACCAGGAUAAGUAUUCCAGGUAUCGUUAUUUAUAAUUUUGCUCAAGGGAUGAAAAUAAAAUAAAUGGGCAAAAUCUAUCAAGGCAUAGACUAGAGAUAAACUUGCAAGAACAUGAUUACUAAUGAGAAACUCGUCACACAGUCACUUACUUUAGCAGGGGGUAAACCAUAAAGAUAAUGAUAAUGAAUUAUAAGUUCAUGGGUAGAUAACACAGCGAUUAGAAAAUAGACUACUCCUCAUAUGUAGGUGAUGUCGGAUUAGCUAGAGAAUGGAUUCUAAGUUAUCUACUAACUACUAAGUCAUAAUCUACUCUAGUUGUCUACAAGAUCAUAUAUAGCAUAAAAGACUCUUCAUUCAUGUAUAAGGAACAUUGAUAAAGUAAAUCAGAGCAUCGCAUGACUUACUCCACAAUACCGGUUCUGCCUGUCCUAUCAACGGAGGGUGGACUAUAUAAGAAUCAACGAAGCUGUCACUAUCACGAACUACCACACGACCCGGCCAAUAGGAUACAUUUGCAGAUAAAUAACAUCUAAGCACCACGCUCACAUGUGAUCUAUCACCUAACUCUCUCGCGUCAAGAGCUAAGCGCUUUGCAAACUUAUACAUAAACUCAUUAUCAAUUAGAACUAUAUCAAAUAUAGAACUAGAGCAAACUAAGAACAUAAUAAUUAGAGACAUAAUGCAAUUAGAACAAAGAAUUAGAGAAAGAUAUAAAUAAUACCAAUCUUUAUUACCGAAUAUCCGAAUCCAGAGCGUAGUGCUCUACUUCUCUAAUUGCUAUCUAAUCAAACCUGUAAACUUGAAGGAUUAGGGAGUAGCUAAUUCUAAUUCUCUGUGGGAGAGAAGCUCUAAACCCUAACUUUGAUGGCUACCUCUGCAUAAUGAUUUCUUCUCUUCUCCUCCCUUCUAGGGGGGGUAGGCCUUGGUUUUAUAGUCCCUUCAAGUGAAUUUGGACCGUCAAAUCAAACCGACAUUGACUGUGUGGUUUAGAUUGAUCCUUUAGGUCGGUGGAGUGUUGUCCCGAAGCAGAGUCCCGAUUGGGUUCCAACCCUAGGCGGGCGCCCAAGGAGGGUGGGCGGCCGCCCUGCCCCCGAGCCCGAUCGUGCUCUCGUUCGUUUCCGUGGCUUCUGGACUCUUCUAGAUUGAGGAAAAUUGCGCGGCACGUAAUUAUCUCGUUGUAAACAUGACAUGUGGGCCUUCUCUCCAUAUUCUCUGAUAACCCCCUGCAGAAAUAGAUAAACACCAAAGCUUGUGGAAUUCCGUCAGAUAAAACCCUAAUUCUAGAUGUUUGUUUCAUAUUGAUCCUUUUCCAUGUUUAUUUGAUUAUUAAUUUUAGUAUUUAAGGACCGUCAACAGCGUGAUAGUCCCUUUGUAAAGGGAUCUGCCAGGUUUUUAUCUAUCUGGAUAUAGUCCACAGCUAUUUGUAACACCGUAGGUGUUAAGCUUGCACUUAGUCUCAUAAAACAUUCAUGAGCAUUCUCAUCAAGCAUGGCAUAAGCAUCACAUCCCAUGAGCACAAUAAUAAUCCAAGUGUGAUUUUAUGUGCUUUAUUUCAAGUGAAUUAAAUAGGUUAAAAAUAUCAUGCUUGCUUCUAAGUUCUUGAAUUGCCUAAAUUAAGUUGAAAUGAGUGUUAGAAUAUUUAAGAGUAAUUUUGUGAUAUUUUUGGAGCCAUAGAAAUUGAGAAAUUGAUUUUAUACUAAAAUUCCCCAAAAUAGAUUUAUUUAAAAACCUAUAACUAGUUUUGGGUUGUAUUUCAAAAUCUAUUUGGAAUUUGUGAAUUCGACUUAAAGCAAAGUUGUAGGGUUUUUGUUUUGGAACAACUUUUAUUUUGGGAGAAAAAGGUAAAAAUGAUUUUUAAAUAGUCCAAAUGAAUUUAGAAAGAAUUUGAGAAAAGAAAUUAAAAAAAAGGGAAAGGGGGGCGCUAGCAGGCCGCGGCCUCACUUCUGGCCCGCUGGCCGAAGCCGGCCCAGCCCGCCCGCGCUCACCCCCCCUUCCCCGCGCUCGCGCCCGCGCCGUGUCCGCGCGCGGACGGCCGCGCCGCGCCGCCGUGGCAAGCCGGCAGAGCUCGGCCGCCGCGUGACGAGCAUGUGGCAGCCUGGACGCGCCCUGGUCGGCCACCAGGAGCGCCCGACCGCGCCCGCCUCCGUCCUCGCUGCCAUUUUCUCCCGCCAGCCCUUCCUCUCUCGCCCUCUCGCCCUUGCUCCGCACGCGCAGAGCGCCGCCGUCGCCAUUGGAGCCCGAGCUCCGCCUCGACCGUUCUUCCCCAGCGCGUGCACCAUUCUCCGAUUCGUCAUCCCCCGAGCUCCGCCCUCGCUCUGCCGUUGCGGGACACGCUUCCAAGCAUUUGGUGAGGCACGGUGAGCCCCGCUCGCCCUCGUUCCUUCUUCGGCAAGAGCACCACCGCCGCGCACGUAGUCUGCCUGCCUCCGUGCCUUCCGGUGCCGCUUAGUUAGCGCGUCGUGCUCGCCUUGGCACCGCGACGCUCGCAAGCCACUCCAAUCGUGCUCUACCGGGCCAACGCCUCGGGUCGACGGCGAGCAGCGCCGCCGCUCUGCCAUGGCCGAUGGCGAGCUUGCUUCGGUUCGUUUCAGGCCGCGCAAGUAGGUUCGCUGAGUUCGCCUUGACCCGUAGAAUGCGUAGAGCCGCUCGGUUCACCGAGAGAGGCCAUCGGUGGUGAGCUCCGGCUCGUCGGAGUCGCCCCCUCUCUGCGUUCUGGCCAGCGAGCCCGGCUGGCAGGCGGGUCCGCUUGUCAGUGGCAGCGGGUGCACUGCACCGGGUGCACCCAGCUGGUCCCGGGGGUGGAUUUGAAUUGAUUUUCAGAAAAAUUAUUUCCAGAAAAUAGUUUAAAUGAUAUAAAAUCCAUAUCUUGAGAUUUAUGGCUCCAAAAUUAGUGAAAUAAAUUUUGAUGUGUUCUAGAAUCUCAGAUCUAUAGUUUGGUUUGGUUGCAUGUCAUGUUUGGACAAUUUUUCUGUGCAAUUAUAUUUAAUCCAUGUUUUUGCUGAAAAUUGUAAAAUGCAUAGUAAUUAAAAUAUAGCUCAGAAAAAUAUGAAACUUGUUUUAUUGGCUCUGCAUGGAUGAUUAGGCUCUAGGAAAAAUAUGUUACACAUUAUUUGCUGUUUGAAUUAAUUUAUGGUGAUUUAAAUGCUUGCAUGGCAGUGGUUUAUGAUUUUUAAUAAAUAAUUGGAUCAUGCAAUUAAUCUGGAAAUUUUUGUGGGUGUUUCUUAUGUUAAUAAGAUAAUUAUAAAAAUAUGAAACCUGCUGUUUGACACUUAUACCACAGUAGAGUAUUUAUACUUGCUUUUAUGAAUUAAUCUUGUGAUUUUUGUAGCCCAAAAUAAAUAUCCAAAUAUUAUGAGAAAUUCAUGGUAGACUUUAUGGUUGACUAGUGAUCUGCUAUGAUUUUUGUGGAAUUUAUUGAUAAACAGAAAUAGAUGCUACUUUUGUAGGCCUAAAAGUGGAUAAAGAAAUUAUGAAUUUGUUAUACAUAGAUUAAAUAAAGUAAAAUGGUGUUUGGUGUAUCUUUGAAGCAUCAUGUGAGUUUGCUGGUUAACCAUGAAUACAAUUUGUAGAAGAGAAUGCAAUAGAUGCUUAAUGUAAUUACCUAUUCUUGGAUGAUGUUGACUACCUUAUAGAAAUACCACCUAUGUCUUUAUGCACCAUGUCAUGAUCAUUUGGUACCUACUCGCAUAAGCAUUGCACCCCGGGCAUCUCGCACUCCGCUCAUGAGCACACAUGCAUCAUACAGGCUCGCAGGAGAACGAGGUGGGACCCGAGGAGCAGGAGGAGAUCCAGGAGCAGGAACCUCUGGGAGGACCAGAUCCCGGAGAGGAGCUGCAGGGGAGAUAAAUUCUCUGCGACGGCGUCGCAGACCGACUCACGUGAGACACCCCCUAGAAUCACGACGCGUGUCUUGCUAGCCGAGGCGGCGUCCGUCCGAGCCGACGAGCCGAGUCUGCUACUUCUCCAAGCCACAUCCCUUGACAUCCAUGGAUAUCCUUCAGAGCCGAGUCGGCAGUUAGUUCUCGUGGAGGAACUGAUGGAGCGAAUUUCUAGCAUCAUCUACUCCAUGUGCCACCAUUCUCUGGUCUCAUCUUCUCUUCUUAGGCCUUGCUGAUGGUCACGUCCAUACAAGACGAGCUGAGGUGAAGAUCGAUCAAGACGCCAAGCUCAGUAUUCAAUGGACGAGUCUCCUAUUCUAUUCUAGAGGAUGUUGAUAUUUGGUAACGCAAUAAGGAAAUGAUCCGCAAGCGCACGGAUAUCGGUGAGCAUUUCACCCAGGAGGUUAUCCAGAGUAUCGUAUUUAUAUUUUUACCACUGGAAGAAAGGGUGCAUCUGACUAACCAAUUCUAUUGCUACUAUCCCAUUAGGCUACAAAGAAUGUUUCUCGAUGUGAGUGAUGUAUAGAGAAGACUGCAACCGUAGUCUUGUUCUAACCUUAGUAAGGAUGAUCUACUGUUCUAUUGGGGAAGCUUACGGAAUCUAGACACCACAAAGGAUGUUCGACCCGAACCUAUAAACCUAUCCGUCCUACUAAUGAGAUAUGGGAUACAAAGGUAACUCGGAAAUGUCACGUUCCUCGCUACUACCACGGUCCAGCUAGUCAGGGGAUAUCUAUGAGUACCCUAGCCUAAACACCACGUUUACGCUAGCAAUGAUUACUCUAAUACUCAACCGGAAGAGGAUUAAAGUAAACUCAUAAACCAAAGAACAAUAAAACAAGAACUUACUAGAAUUAGAAGUCGAAUUACUGAAGAAUCAUAGAAGCAAGCCUCGAGUUAGGAGACUUGAUCCCGCAGGUACAACUCGGAGUAGACACCAACAGGUCGGCCUUCCUCCGAUCUACACCUCCACUCUAUCUCUCUCAAUCUAGUAGAAACUAGAAGAUCUAUUUCUACUUACAUUGGUUGCUAAGCCUAAAAAGAAAUAUUAUUUAGAGAAGAGGUUUUCCUUCGAGGGCACCCCUCAACUCUAUGAUAACUUCUUGUCUUCUCCAGGGGCCAGGGGGGUCUCCUUAUAUAGUCCUCCUCCUCUAUGCGUUUUUGGGUCGGUAGGCGAUGUGGUACUACGUUAUCCUUGAUCCUUUAUGUCGGUGGAACAUCGUGUGCGAAGAGAGUCCCGAACGGAGUCCAGGUCAGGGCGGGCGCCCAGGGAAGGAGGGCGGGCGCCCUGGCCCUGGCCCAUUUCGGCCUCUGCUUUCUUCCCGUGGCUUCUGGAGUCUUCUAGAUGGUAGAAAAAUGCGCGGUGCGUUGAUAUCUCUAUGUAAUCCUGACAUGUGGGCCUUUCUUCCUUAUUUCCUGAUAACCCCCCUGCAGAAAUAGACAAACACCAAAACUCAUGGAAUUCUGUCAGAUAAAACCCUAAGUCUAGAUGUUGAUUUCAUUUGGAUCCUUUUCUUUGUUUAUUUGAUAAUUAAAUUUGAUACUUAAGGACCGUCAACAAACUCCCCCAAGCUUACCUCUUGCUCGUCCCUGAGCAAGGAUGAACUCAAGAGUUUCUGCAGUGGUCUCAUGCCUUAAAAGUACACACGCAUUCAAGCAAGAUCUCAUCUCUGAGUUAGAAUAAACUGUUAAGACUUAAAACUUACUCAUUUUACCUUUCACCAUGGGGCUUGUAACCAUCACUUGUGUCUUGAGCAGUUAAAAGAUAGAAUGGUCAAGUCAAAAGCCAUGUCUGUUAUUCUUGAUCAGCUAUAGCUCUGGAGUUUUUGCAGAUUUUCAAAUAAAACUCAGAGAUUCCUUAUAUGAUUCUCUCAAAUCUCUCUUUUGUGGUAUUUCUGGAUCCUUACCAAGGCAAUAAUGGUAUAUGCCUUCUCUCAAAGUACGUGGUAUUUUUGGUAUAAUGCAUAGUGAUAUUGCCUUCUCUCUCACCCUACUCUAAUAAUGUUUUGAUAUCUGGAGCUCAUAGGUGGGAGACAGCUAAUACAUACUUACAAGACAUUUAUUGUAUAGUCAAACCAUGGAUCUAGAGAAACAAGUCAAUAAGUCAAAUCAAGAUGUGCAUGUGUGGCGAAUGAAUGGUGUAUGGUCAUGAUGGUGAUAAUAAUUUUGAAAGUCUAAUUCUACUUUUGCUCUUUUGAAGGGAUACAUACCUUUCUUGCACUUUGAAGCUUUUUGGGGAGAAUGAGAUGCUCUAUAUUUUCUUUUUCUUUCCUCUCAGGUGGGUAUCUUGUACUCCUAAUUCUACUGUCGGACACUUGUCCAUUUUUACCUCUCGUCUCACUUUUUCUUUUCUUCGAGGUUCCGGGCACUUGCCCCUUUUUAUUUCCUCAUAUUAUUUUUUUCUCUUUUUUUUCUCUUUUUUUAGAGCACUCAUCUCCUGAAAUAAUGUAGCAAGUGGUAAUAACCAAAAUAAUUGGAGCAUUUAUUUCGCAGGGAAUAACAGGGAUAGCAAAAUGUUUUUGGCUAUUCUCUCUCGGAUUAGGAGUAGAAUAAUUUUGGGUGAAUCUGGAGAUGGAAAUGAGUGGAUGUAUGUGGAUGCGUACUUCCGGAGUAGAAGCAGCAUAUACGAGUGAAAAUGCAAGUGAAUCUUGAUUUUAACCACAUGACAAGCUCCUAAGGGUCUACACAGCUUUACCACACUCAAUGCUCAUAAGCAGUAAAAAGUAAAUGUGUGGUUCAAAGUCUAAUAAGCAUGUAUAUAUGGCUGUGGUAGGAUUUAAACUCUCAUCAUACAGGAACUCAUCAUGUGAUAUUUUAAAGAUUUUUUAAAGAUAAAAUUCUCCAGAAUUCUAGCAUCUCUAGGAAGAGAUAAACAGCAGCUCAACCUUCCCAUAUCAUAUCCGUUAACAACUUAGACUUUAGAUCAAGUACUCUUCCCACAAGUUCAGGUUUAGAGCAAAUCUUACUUCAUAACAGUCAUGCCUAAACUUGAGAGAGAUUUCAAUUUUAAGAACUAGUCAUGGCAGAGCAACUAUUCAUCAUUUCCAUGUGAGAGUUUAUCAUGAGGGUUCAUAGCAAACUUUAUUUAUUUAUUUAUUUAGCAAACUAAGCAAAGAUAUAUAUAUAAAAGCACAAAACCUUUAUUUGGGUUUUCAUGAUUAUGCAUCUUUUAUUAUUUGAGUAAAGUAUAAACGCGAGUAGAAACACUUAGCUGGAUAAAUGGGGUGCUCUCCCCCAAGCUGGAUUUUGACGUAAUUUCUUCUCAUGUAGCUAGCAGGUGGUGGAGGUGUAUUUGAAAGUCGGCAACACCCUGACAGCGAUUAAGAUGUCCUCCGUCUGCUAGUCUUUUUUGAUCCUUGAAUUCUGUGGAGCUCAAAUAGACAACAAAGCUUUGUGGAACUGGUUAAGUGUUAGCAUAAAUAUCUAGCCUUUAUCAUGUUGAGCCUCCUCAAUAAAUGUUACUUAUUUCGCAGGAUCAUGCACUUAUUAUUUUUAUUGUAAGAUGAAAACUUAUUUAUUUUAUUUUUAUGCCACCACAGUGAAUGUACUUAUGGGUUUUAUGCCAUAAGCAUACUCACAUGGGGCUUACUAUUUUUUAACAUUUUUAUUUUCUUUUCAAGAUAGCAUGAACCUGAUUAACUAAGCAAACUAUAAUUGAAUAAUUGAAAGGAAAAGGAUAACUACCAAGUUUACCUCUGGGCAAGGCGUUCGGUGUUUUUAAGUCCUCCGAAUGGGACUCUCCGUUUUCAGUCGUCCUUGGAUUCGCUGGAUGGCGUAGUCGGUGGUUCCGGCGGCGCCUCCUCUUUGUGUAUAACUAUCUUCUCUUUCUACAUCUGACUCGGUGCUACGGUCUCCUCAGGGCAGUUCUGUUCAAGCUGUAUGUCUUCAGACCUUACCACUUCUCCUUUGUAGUCUGCCCAUCCGUCCUUGAUGAUUUGCCUCCUCUGGUUGCGGUUGCGUUGUCUUCUUCUUGUCCUGACCUGCUUAGAGUCUUCAACUAUAUAGUUAGGGUCAGUAAAAUAGCGGCGUACCUUCUCAGAAGGGAAGUACAUGUGGACUUCUCCGGUUCCAAUGUAGAUGAUAACUUUGAUAGUGUUGAGGAAUAGUCUUCCAAGGAUGAUGGGUGGACCGUACUCGUCUUCUCCCAUGUCAAUGAUCUGAAAAUCAUCUGGAGCUGAAUAUAUAUUGGUUGUAGGGGCAUGGUUCCAUGCAGGAGCUGAUAAGUGACUGCGGCCAUUAUGCUGUCGUUAGAUCCGGUGUCGUAGAGUGUCUUCUAAAAAGAGUAUCCAUUGAUUGUGCACUCAAUGAUUGGAACACUAGGGUCAUCCUUCUUGAUCUUGAGUCGACGAUCUUGACCUCCUCCGACAAGGAUCCAAUGUUUUAAGUCCUCUAGACAAGACUUCUCACCGUCUUUAUCCUUUAGGUGCAUCAUUUGAUUAUGUGUGGACCUUGACGUCUGCACUUCUUGAUACGGAGUCACCCAUGUUCUUCGUUUGCCCAGCAGUUCGAAGUGCGGUGUCAAUAUCCUACUCAGUGUGUUUGUGGUCGUAGAUCCAGGUCCUUCACUUGGUGGAGUCUGGGAGUUGUAAAACUCCUCCAUGUUUUGCUUGAAGUGUACCUGUUCAUAGAGACAAGGCAGAGAUCAAGUGCAUGGGCCCUGUUGGUGUAAAACACCAACAGAACCAAAAGUGUAUUUGUUCUUCUCUAACCUUAAGCAUAGUGAGCAAGACAAAGUUGAUGGAUCAUGAGUGUAGCAUUUGUCAGAUCAGAUGGCUCAACCUAAUGGAAAGAUAAUCUAUCUAUAUUUAUGUUUUGUUUAUAUCUUCCAAAGAUUGAAUGUGCAAUAUUUUAGCUUAUAUGAUUAGGAGUGUGGGAUCAUGAAGGUAGUACUAAGAACAAAGAUUAAAGGACUAAACAUGUUGAAUUAAUUGGGUUGGUUAAUUUGGACAAAUCAUACAUGUUUGUCUCUUUUAUUCAUGUGUAUGCCAGAACCAAGGAGAAGCUUAUGAAAGUGAUAGUCAUGUACCUUAAGAUGUUACCUUACUUGAAGAGUGAUGGUAUAGUAUCACCUUGUGGAAGCUUUCCUUUCCUAGCGGUUGUGCAUCGUGUUUGUGGCACUCUUCAUGGAUCAUCUCUUUAUGAUGAAUGAGCUAUGUCCUUCUUGUGCAAAUUGUUAAACUUCAUGUGUCUCCUUUAUCUCCAAUGAGUUUGUAUCUCAGGACUUCCCAGGUUGAUAUUGAAAGUUUUCCUGCAGGGGUUAGUCCAACAAAAUAUUCCAUAUCUACUAUAGCAUACUAUCGGCUCAAAAAUCAACCUAGACACCAUGUCUAAUUUGAUUUAGGAGGGCAUUUUAACCUAAGCACCAUGCUUAAUUUAAAAAAUCCUUUGGAAGUAAGAUCAUCAUUCCUAAACUAAGCACCAUGCUUGAUUUAAGAGAUAAAUGUAACUACUCCAAACCUAGACAUAUACUAAAGCAAAUAAAUGUAGCAUGAGAGCAUUUAUAGAGAUCUACUCAAGUGGAGGUGAAGUAGUGUAAUUAGUAUUUAACAAAUUGAGCAUGUCUCAAAGGUAAGGACAACCAACAUAGCAACAUGGCAAAUGAUGUUUUUAUGUAAAAUACUCCCCCAAGCUUGAAUUUUGCAAAAUUCAAGUUUGGAUGAAUUUAAUUCAAUGUUGCAUGAUGAUUGGUUGGACAUACCUUGUGCUUGUCAUUCCUCGGAUCUUCUUGCUCCAAUCCUAGAAAGGUUAGUGACACGAAUACCCGAAGGAAUAUGUCUACAAUUAUCUUUAUAUGCUCAAUACACAAGGCAAUGUUGCAAAUAAUUAAAAGUUCAUAUUAUGAUCUGAUAAGUGCUUGUUUUAGGACGCUAAGCUUGUCCUUAGGAAACCAUCAAAUUAUGUCGGCGAAGUGGUUUCCCCUCCAACGCUGACCUAUAUCAAGAUCAACUCAACGAGAUCUGCAAUAUUUAUUAUAGACAUAUGCAUUGACAACCGCCCUUUUAAAGUUUUUAUAAAUAGAAAAAGAAGAGGGGGUUGGAGAUCUCAAAUGUGGUGAUGUUGGAGAGACCAAUUGAUUGGGGAGAAGUUUUAUAUGAGCAAGGACUUGGUGAGGUAUUUAUGAAAUAACUUCCAUGCUCACUGUUGUUUCUCUCAUUCUCAAACUCCAAGGAUGAUUCCUCACGAAUGCUUAAAAUUCCUCUAGGAUUGUCUCUCAAGUUUGUUUUAUCUAUCCAUUCAAUGGUGAUAGCACAUGGAUUUUUAAUGCCGUCUAGCCAUUGAUGUUGCUCUUCUCGAUCCUCCUUCUUAUGCAUGGGAUGUCUAGAGAGAUUCAUAGGAUUAUCGGGAGGUUCAAGAGAAAGAGCAUAGUAGAAAUUAUUAAACUCAAGGAUGGGUUGGAUAGCCGAAUUAUGGGAUUGAAAUGUUUGGAAAUCGGCUAUUGAAACUUCCUUUCCUCGUCUGGGAGAUGAUUCCUUCUCUAUUUCUAAGAUUUUUCUAUGAAGACUAGUACAAGAAGGAUGUCCACGAAUGAAGACAUACCUUGCUUUACUCAUAGAUAAAGAAAGAAAGACUCUACCAAAGGGUAUAUGAUAAAGACCAAUGUGAAAAUAUCGAGAAAAAACAUGGUCUUGUAGGGCUAGGUCUAAACCAGAAUUUAUAGAAAGAUUAACAGAUUCCCUAGGUGUAGCUAAAAGUGCAUUAUCUUCUUGAUUAAAAGAUAGGACCUCAGCUAUAGAAAAGGGUUGGUUUUGACCUAUUGCAAUCAACUCCGGACACAGAUCAUAACUAGGGGCAGGACUUGUUGACUCCCAUGGUCUAUGGCUGGUCUCCGAAGGUGCAAAGAAUUCAAUAAUAGGUAUGGAAUUUAAGUUAUCCAUAAAGAUAAAAAUAAAAAGGUAAAAGAAUAAAAGUAUAAAAUAUAAUACAAGAUAAUAGCAAGACUCAAAGUUAUCUCAGCAAACCGUCUUUCUCCCCGGCAACGGCGCCAGAAAUGCUUGUUGAUAUUUGGUAACACAAUAAGGAAAUGAUCUGCAAGCGCACGGAUAUCGGUGAGCAUUUCACUCGGGAGGUUAUCCAGAGUAUUGUAUUUAUAUUUUUACCACUGGAAGAAAGGGUGCAUCUGACUAACCAAUUCUAUUGCUACUAUCCCUUUAGGCUACAAAGAAUUUUUCUCGAUGUGAGUGAUGUAUACAGAAGACUGCAACCGUAGUCUCGUUCUAACCUUAGAAAGGAUGAUCUACUGUUCUAUUGGGGAAGCUUACGGAAUCUAGACACCACAAAGGAUGUUCGACCCGCACCUAUAAACCUACCCGUCCUGCUAACGAGAUAUGGGAUACAAAGGUAACUCGGAAAUGUCACGUUCCUCGCUACUACCACGGUCCAGCUAGUCAGGGGAUAUCUAUGAGUACCCUAGCCUAAACACCACGUUUACGCUAGCAAUGAUUACUCUAAUACUCAACCGGAAGAGGAUUAAAGUAAACUCAUAAACCAAAGAACAAUAAAACAAGAAUUUACUAGAAUUAGAAGUCGAAUUACUAAAGAAUCUUAGAAGCAAGCCUCGGGUUAGGAGGCUUGAUCCCGCAGGUACAACUUGGAGUAGACACCGACAGGCCGGCCUUCCUCCGAUCUACACCUCCACUCUAUCUCUCUCAAUCUAGUAGAAACUAGAAGAUCUAUUUCUACUUACAUUGGAUGCUAAGCCUAAAAAGAAAUAUUAUUUAGAGAAGAGGUUUUCCUUCGAGGGCACCCCUCAACUCUAUGAUAACUUCUUGUCUUCUCCAGGGGCCAGGGGGGUCUCCUUAUAUAGUCCUCCUCCUCUAUGCGUUUUUGGGUCGGUAGGCGAUGUGGUACUACGUUAUCCUUGAUCCUUUAGGUCGGUGGAACAUCGUGUGCGAAGAGAGUCCCGAACGGAGUCCAGGUCAGGGCGGGCGCCCCGGGAAGGAGGGCGGGCGCCCUGGGCCUGGCCCCUUUCGGCCUCUGCUUUCUUCUCGUGGCUUCUAGAGUCUUCUAGAUGGUAAAAAAUUGCGUGGUGCGUUGAUAUCUCUAUGUAAUCCUGACAUGUGGGCCUUUCUUCUUUAUUUUCUGAUAACCCCCUGCAGAAAUAGACAAACACCAAAACUCGUGGAAUUCUAUCAGAUAAAACCCUAAGUCUAGAUGUUGAUUUCAUUCGGAUCCUUUUCUUUGUUUAUUUGAUAAUUAAAUUUGAUACUUAAGGACCGUCAAUAGAGGACAUGGAUGAUAGCACGUCAUCCCUAACACUAGAACCAGAUGAUGUCGCUGCGUUGUCCAGGCAAUCGUUGCUGCCAUCCAUCUCCAUGGUUGAGCCAUCUCAUAUCGAUGACGAGGAAAGGACCAUGACACCAUCCACCGAGGUAAUCAACUUCAACAAAUCGACAUUGGCAUAGAUUUUCUUUUUGUAGUCAAAUAUUUUAAUUAUGUCAUUUGUAGUUCAUCCAUAUUUGUGCUUGAAAUUGGGAUGGAUUUCAUACUGUAUUUAUAUAUUUUAAUCAAUUAUUAUCUUGUUUUACUUUUAGGCCGAUAACAACAAGCCUGGUCAAUCUGUUAUCGUACCAGAAGUUGGAAUGGCUUUCAACUCGGAGGAUGAUGCAUUUAAUAUGUAUAAUUCAUAUGCCAAGAGUGUUGGUUUUAGUAUUAGAAAGAGUACCUCAAGACUAAGAGCUGAUAAGACUUUAUAUCAGAAGCAUAUAGUUUGCAGCAACCAAGGAGAACGAGGUAAGCAUUCAUCACAUGAGACUUCAAAAGAAAAUGCUACUACAAGGAUUUGUUGCAAUGCUCGUGUCCAGUUCAGUGUAAGUCGAGAAGGAAUUUGGAAAGUUCAAAAGGUUGUAUUUGAUCACAAUCACUAUUUCGCUAGUCCAAAUAAGGCACACAAGUUGAGGUCACAACGACGCAUUACAGAGGUGGAUAAACAGCUAAUUUCUCAAAUACGAGGGGCUGGAAUACUGCCUGCACAAGUGUAUGAAUUUUUCAAGCAAUGGUAUGGUGGAGUUGAGAAUGUACCUUUCGCUCAGAUGGAUUGCAGUAAUCUUAUUGGUCGUGAGCGCAAGAAAUACUUACCAUCUAAUGAUGCGCAAACACUAUUAGAAUACUUGAAGAACAAGCAAUUAGAGGAUCCAACUUUCUUUUAUGCUAUACAAAUAGAUGAAGAUGAUGGCCGGAUAGCAAAUUUCUUCUGGGCAGAUGGUCAAGCUAUAAUGGAUUAUGCAUGUUUUGGAGAUGCAGUGUCAUUUGACACUACAUUUAGCACCAAUAAAUUUGAGAUGCCAUUUGCCCCACUCCUUGGAACAAACCAUCACAAGCAGACGAUUAUAUUUGGAGCUGCACUAAUAUAUAAUGAGACCAUUGAAACAUUUGUUUGGCUUUUUAACACAUUUCUAACAGCAAUGUCCAGCAAGCAUCCUAGCACAAUUUUCACAGAUCAAUGUGCUGCCAUGUCUGCUGCCAUUAGAAUUGUGUUCCCUAACACAGCUCAUCGUCUUUGUUUAUGACAUAUUUUCCAAAAUGCUGGUAAACAUCUCAGUCAUGUAAUUGAGGAUAACCCAAAGUUUCUCGCUGAAUUUAAGAGGUGUGUCUAUGAAGAGAGAUCUGUGGAAUACUUCACUGAGAUUUGGCAUGAGUUGCUGACUAAAUAUAAUUUAGAGGAAAACAAAUGGCUUAAUAACUUGUAUGGGCUAAGGAGGCAUUGGGCUGCUGUCUUUCGCGACUCAUUUACUGCUGAUAUGACCUCAACUCAAAGGAGCGAAGGUAUGAAUAAUGUUUUCAAGAAAAGGUUUAGAAGAAAACUAUGUCUUUCGGAGCUCAUUGAAGAAUGUGAGAAGUGUGCUGCUAGCCUACGCGAGAAUGAGUUAGAUGAAGACUUCGAGUCACGUCACUCUAACCCAGUUAUUUAUAUCCCACAUUUAUCAAUGUUGAAGACUGCAGCUGAAAAAUAUACAAGGAGGAUAUAUUCAGAUUUUGAGGAGCAAUUUAGAGAGCAAUUUUCUUUCUCAUGCCAAUUAUUAGAAUCUGAGGGGGCAAUGAUGACCUACAAGGUGACGCCUAGCCGAUUCAAUGAUGAAGCAAUAAUUGUCUUUAAUUCUGAGGAUAAGACCAUAACAUGUUCUUGUAGAAAAUAUGAAUGCAUUGGUACGUAUGUGAUUUCAAAAUAAUAUUACUUCUCACUUCUCAGUUCAUAUUAUUCAAACUUUGGGUACAUAUGCUGCAGGUAUAUUGUGCAAGCAUGCUCUCAGAGUGCUUAACAUCAAUGAAGUUUUUGUUUUGCCUAGCCAAUACAUACUGAAUAGAUGGACGAAAUAUGCGAAAACAGGAUUUCAUUGCGAGAAGAAACAAAUAGAUGAUAAUGAAACUUCAAGAGCACAAGCUGCACGAAUCUCUCGAAAAGCAACAUCCAUUGCAUUGAAGUGCUCAGUUUCAAAAGAUCUUCUUGAUGAUUUGGAGAGAGCUAUUGAAAAACUAGACCAAGAAGCUGAUAAUUCAUUAAGCCAAAGACCUACCCAACCUUCUGGAGUUUCUCAAAGUUGUUUUGAAUAUGCUGGAGACAUGUUAAAUGGUAAAAUAUCAAUCAGAGCUCCUGAGGUGCUAACAGGUGCAAAGAAUAAGAGGGCAAAAAGUGUACUUGAAAAAAAGAAAGGAAAGAAAAAGCCCACCAGUAAGAAAAAAGGUACGUAUAUUAGUUGAAGCAUACAUUUUUUCCAUCUCAGUUUUAUAAGCAGUAACAUGUAUCCCUGUUCUUUUAAUCUCAGGAAAACAAGCAAAGAGUGCAAAGGACAAAAAAGGAGUUGGACAAGAUCCAAAAGAAUCUGUGAGUGCACAAGACAAUACAGAACUUGGACAACAUCCACAAGAAUUGAUUGUAAGACAGGUGACCCUAUUUUUAAAGACUUCUUUUACAAGACUAUAUUCUGAAUUUUUUCCCACACAGGGUCCUUCUGAUGCAAGCAUUGGUGUCAAUAUUGCACCGCAAUACUAUUUAACCAACCCAUAUGGUGGAGUCCCGACCAUGGUUGCUCAUCCAACAGAAGGAGGAUAUACAAGUCUUUUACUUGGUCUUCAUCAAGAUACUUCUGCUGCUAGAAGAUUACAGUUUGAUGAAGUAUCAAAUACUACAGCGUUAGACUAGUCAUGCUUUUACCAGUUGAUUUGUUAUUGAUCAAUAACAUAGUACCGUUCUGGGCAUUCUGAGUAUUAUCAAAUGUUAAACUAGUUUGUCUUUAAAUUCAUACAACUGAUCUUUCAUUUGUGAUCCAUGCUCUCCAAUGGCAUCAAUACAUUUAUUUAUGAUAGUAGCAAUAUGUUCAGAUACAGUAGUGGGAUACAAAUCUCGGCUCAGGGAAGGAAGAAAUUCCAUACAUAAAUAAAGAAGAAAAUGUAGAAGUCGUGUACAUACAAUAGAUCUUCCUAUCAAUCUGUCAAAAUCUAGAGCAUACCACUACUUGGCUCAUUCAGUUCUUUUGGGUCUGUAAUUUCGACAAAUACUUGACGUGCACAUGCUGUCGCUGCUCACCUUCAGUGCUCAAUGACGGCAAUGCAACCAGAUCAGAGAAAGAGAUAGAAUGCUGAUGAUUCGCCGCCGACGCCGCCGUUCACCGGUCGAUGGACACCCGUGCGUGCGGGCGCAUAACAAGGCGACCUGCCGGUGCAGUCUCUCGCCCUUAUUGCCUGCUGAAGACUCGGCUCUGAACUCUGAAUGAUAUCCAUGUAUGUCAAGGGACGUGGCUUGGAGAAGUAGCAGACUCGGCUCGUCGGCUCGGACGGACGCUGCCUCGGCUCAAAUGACGCAGAUGACGGGCAUCUCGCAUGGUGGGCCAACAAGACACGCGUCGUCAUUUCAGGGGGUGUCACACACGAGUGGUCUGCGACGCGGUCGCAGAGAAUUUUUCUCCAGCUGCAGGAGUGCUCGGACCACAGACCGAGCACGUUUGAGAAAGGCAAGCCCCGGAGCAUUCUAAGUCUCCCUAUUCUCGCUAACAUAAAUGAUAUAUUAUGCUUGUUUUACUAUGUUGCAUUUAAGUGAUAGGAAUUGCUUGAUACCGUUGAUGCAUAUGUACUCCUUGAUAUCACCACUUGUUUACCUACCUUGUCCUAUGUAGAUAGGCACGGAGUCUAUGCUUAGCUUGCUUAGUCCGGUAGAAGUCAGGUGAUUUCCUGUCACCUGCGAGAACUAGGUGGAUACCUGCUUGAUUAGCGGUGAUUGCUUCGAGAAAGGAUAACUAAGUGUGGAGAAGAAUUUGAGACCGGGCAGGGUCUUAUGGUGGGAUGACCGUAGUGCCCCUGCCUGUGUCGAUUAAGGACCGAUCAUUAACGGCCCUCUUGUCAUGUUGAACGCAUGCCCCACACUUAGCUGGAAGGAUAAGUCGUUCCGACCGCGAAGCCUGAGCAGUAUCCAGGCCGGAAAUCGGCCCGAUGUACGCGUUGUAUUGGUGAUGGUUGAGGAGAACGACGAGGGCGCGGCGCGCAACCUUGGUAUACCUUGGAUACCUCGGUCGCCGGAACGGUCCUCGGGUACGGGCGGUGCCUGUCGAACCCGUGAAUUGGUCCUGGAUAGUGCAACACGGUGAUCUGUAGCUCACUUGAUCAGUGAGUGUGGUUUGUGUGGGGAAUAAACUCGCCAGCUGGUCAGAAAUCGAUUUGAAUCGCCAUCGCUGCUGGAUAGUGAGCACUUGACAUGAGCCCUGUCCUCGUAGUAAGGACUAUGGAACACUUGGGAUGGGAUGAUAAAUGAUUUAUGAAUGCUAUGAUGAGGUACCAUCAUAUUACUACACUUGCUUGUAAUAGUACAGGUGCAAACCUAGAUAAUAGGUAAUGAUAUUACCGACCUUGAGCUAAUUAAAAGAAGAAUGGUCUCUAGACUAUGUUUAGGGAAAUAAUGCUUUUUAUGCAAAAAGUCUUAGCUACCCCAUCAUACAGCCUUCAUGAUCCUUGAAGAGUCUUUAUUUUUGGUUAUGACGGGUAAGUCUAGCUGAGUACAUUCUCGUACUCAGGGUUCUAUUCCCAUGUUGUUUUGCAGAUGGUCCAAUAUACUAUGGUUAUUGCAUCCUCUGUCUGUACCCUACCAUGGGCGAUGACUAGACCAAGGGCGAUGGUCAUUCUAUCUUCUCUUUUGCUUUUGUGGGAAUGGCCGAACUAUGGCACUGUAUCAAACUGAAAUUGUGUGUGUUAUUUUCAGACUAUGAAGCUUCCGCUACUUAAGAACUUGGUUUGUAAUAAUUUUAAGCACUCCGAUGUAUUCGAUGAAUGUUUGUGAACUGGAUGUAAUUGUAAAUGGUGGCCGCUAAACUUAUUACAAUCUUGGCUGUACGUACGAUAUGUGGUUUGAAAUCCUUUGAGAUUUCAGGGACUACCGGGAUUAUAUGGGCUUAAGCUUGAUGGUUCGACUGUGCAAAUGGUGACUAUUAGGCUUAAUCUCUUAUAAUUUGGGCGGUUCUGUUACAGCUAGCAUCGGAGCAAGGUUUAGCGAGUUACUUCUCAUAAGUACGUUCUAAACUAAACUUAAACCGGUUUAAUAAAAGAUUAUUAUUAAUUAAAUGAUAAUCCAGGUGUCAAACUAAGUUUUUGGAAAACUAUCUAGUGUGCUAUGGUCAUAUCCUUUAUGCCCAGUUAAGGACCCUAAGGUGGCUAGUUAAGUACUGACUUGGGGGUUAAUGCAUCAUAUUUCUAUUUCGUCGCUCAUACGGCGUGCAAUAGUAUGAGUACCAUUCAUUUUAGUGGUAAUGUAUGGAUCAAUUCUUCCUCUACGCCUCGGUAAGUGGGAGCUGUGAGAGCAUGAUUGGAUACACUGCCGAUCUAGGGAAGUGUUGUUAAGGUGCUGUGUCAUGCACAUAUGUUUGGUGUGCCUGGGAACAAUACCGCAUGUUGGGAGAUUCCGUCCAGAGAGGCGAUGCCGUCACUAGGGCGAUGAUGUGGGUAGUAACACGUCAUAUGCAUGGAUAGGGUGUCUAUGUAUAUGGGGUGUAUAGUUUUAAAUUCUUGUUCUGCAUGAUCAUACUGUGGUUGGGCUGAAAUGAGUUUUCUACAGGUACACUAACUACGUUCCCGCCUAGAACGUUAGUUACGUAUGAGAGAACGUUGUGUGCCACCACAUAUACCGAUUAGUGUCAACUUUGUUUCUAAGUUUGUGAGAUCGUAAGUCCGUGCAUGCAUCAUGUUCAUUUCAUAUCAUUGCUUACUUCCCUCCCUUAAAGUAAAUCUGUCCCAAUUUUAAUUAAGUUAAAAAAAGAGGGGUACUCCUCGAUCUUAACCAAGGUAUUCCAUUUGCAGCAGAUGGCACGCACUAGGCUCACCGCUCGCAAGUCCACUAGUGGGUGGGCCCCUCGCCAUCCAUUGGCCGCCAGGAGCUCACGUCAUAAGAGCAAGUUCUUGGAGGAGUUUGGGAUGCCCACCUUGCUAUGGAGGGUGCUCAGUUCGAUGGGGUAUCCCGAAGGAAGGGAACCUCGUUACUAUUGGGACAAGGAGCAGCUUGGUGACGGUGAAAGCCCAAGUUUGGUUUUGGUAAUUAAUGACACCAAGUUGCUAAUGCUUUGUGUUUAAGUGGUUUGAGUUAGGCAUAGCAACACAUGUGAUGAAGGUGCAUGGUGGCAUGGAAAGGUGGCCACAUGAUCACAAAGGGAUGAAGCAUAAAGUGAAGAUCAUGGUGAUAAACAAGGAGCAAAGUUAUCAAGGCAAAGGUAUAAACAUAGGGUUUUACUUUUGCCGGUCUAAGAUGAGUAGAGAAGUGAUUGACCGGGUUUAGGAUAGAUAGCCGACUAUCAAGAGGAGAAAUCACGGUCAUCUCUCGAAUCAAGUGCUACUAGGUCUACAUCUUGAGCAUAUGCAUUAGGAUCUAGUAAAGUGCUAACUUAACUCCUUUGGUGAAAAUGUUUGUGAAAAGCUAACACACGUGCACUUUGGUGGUGGACACUUGUUUGUGUUAGCACAUUUACAAAGGAGGUGGUUUUCCUAGGGUUGAGAGGGGUGUGGGUUUCUCUCUCCCUCCCGCCGAGCUUGCGAGGCGGGAUUCGGCGCUUUUGAGAAAAAUAAGAGUAUAUUUUCUAUUGCGCCGGUGGGAAAUUUGGAGAAGUCGCGGGAGUGUUUUCUCACUGAGAAACACUCACCGGACGCUGAGUGCGGAGGCACCGGACGCUGGCCUCAGCGUCCGGUGUGCUUGACCCUACUAGGGUUGAGCACCGGACGCACUCUGGUAGCGUCCGGUGGUAAGCGUCCGGUGUGGGGGGUUUUUGCAACCCUCUCUGCGCACGAGUCCGGUGAGCACCGGACCGUCCGGUGUGGACCUGCAGAGCGUCCGGUGUGUUGCAGGUAGCCGUUAGAAACUGACACGCGAAAUCGAGGAAGGACAUGUGGCCAACUCCAGUGCACCGGACGCAGGGAGUCGAGCGUCCGGUGCUCACUUAGUAGCGUCCGGUGCCCCCGUUUUCAGCCCAGUGAAAACAACCAACGGCUAGUUUCUUUGAGGGGCUUAUAAAUAGAAGGUGGCCGGCUUUGGGAGUCUCUCUCUUGCACAUUUUAAUACUUGAGGCAUACAUUGAGCUAGAGAACACUCCCUCCACUCAUCUCCUUGCUUGGUUGUUAAUCCUAGUGAGAUUGAGUGAGAUUCAAGUGCAUUGCUUUGAGAGUUGCAUUUAGUGGCACUUGAUUCUUGAGUUUGCUGCGGAUUUCUUGUUACUCUUGGGUGUUUCCCGACGCCCUAGACGGCUUGGAGCAGCGGUGGUGUUGAGCUCGUGAUUGGAGAUUGUUUCGAGCCUCACCAAGUGAUUUGUGAGGGGUUCUUGAGCCUUCCCCGCGGGAGAUCGCAAUUGGCUACUCUAGUGGAUUGCUCGUGGCUUGGAGGAUCCCCAUCUUGUGAGUGGAUGUGCGGCACCCGCUGAGGGUUUGGCUUUGGAUUGCCAAUUAGCUCGUGAUCCAUCAAGUGGGUGUAUCGCCACAACGAGGACUAGCUUGCCGGGAAGCAAGUGAACCUCGGUAAAAAUCUUGUGUCAUUCCUUGCCGAGGAUUCUCCUAUUGUUGUGAUUGAUUGAUUGGAUAUAUUUCUACUCUACAACGUCGGUAAAACAAUCACUCAUCUCUCCUUUAAUUUUGUGCAUACCUUGCUAGUUGUGUAGCUUGUUUAGCUUAGUUCUCUUGUUGUUGUGCUUUAGUGUUUAGCCUUGUACUAGUUUGUAUAGGUGGCUUGCUUAGCUUAGUUGACCUAGUGCUAGAAUUGCUUCGCCAUUUGUUUUACUAAUCAACUUGUCUAGUUGAAGUUUGUAGAUUUUUAAAUAGGCUAUUCACCCCCCCCGUCUAGCCAUUUGGACCUUAUAGACGGGACCCUGGUGGGGAUCGAGGCAGUGGUCCCUACCAGUGGAGGUGACCCCGCCUGGGGCGGUUGGGUGUACGAGUUCUAAGGUACCACGCCUUUCCACGGUGCCAGCAGAGCAGCUUUCGCAGUUCUGAGGGACCUCAUGGAGAGGUUUCCACAGGAGCUGGCCCACGCCUUCGCUGGGUGUUUCCCUGGAGUGACCCCUACACUUCGGUGUGGGAUCAGUUCGAGGUGAAUGCUCUAGAGAGGAGUGCGGAUGAGGACCAGCACAGUGACAGCGCAACUAUGAGUGCUAUGUACGCCUUGAUGAAGACCUAUGGGGGCCUAGAGCGUUGUUUGGGGCGCUUGUCCGGGUCUCUUCUCACAGUCUAGGAUGAGAAGCGUCAGCUGCAGCGUGAGUUUGACACUGAGGUUGAGAGGUUGCAGGCAGAGUUGGCCCGCAUGACCCGAGAGAGGGAUCAGGCGGUCCAGAAGAGCAGUGAGCUGAGUCAGGACCUGCUUGCAGUGAGGGAGCAGAGGGACAGGGUGACUACUGCUCACAGGAACUGCGAGCGCAUGCUAGUUCAUGUGCUUGGUCAGAGGAAUGAAGCCUGGCACGAGGAGGACACCCUGAGGGCCCGACAGCUGGAGCUUGAGCAGCAGCUAGCCAAUGUUGAGGAGUACAAUGAGAACCUGCAUAAGGAGAUCCACCAGCUGUAUAACCAGCUCCACCCUCACCACCUACCUGGAGUAGCCGAGUUAGACUCUGAGGAUGAGAUGGAUGAGGGCCCAGAGAUGGGGACAGCUGCUAGUGGAGAUGAGGACGAGGAGGGCUCCGGCAUGGACAGCGACCAUAGCGAGUAGAUGCUAGGGCUCUAGAGCUAGUCCUUCUUCUUUUGAUGUUGUUGUUGCUUGGCAUGUCUUGUAAUCUUGGAUCCGGGCUGUGUAAAACUUCAUGUGAUGAUGCUGAAAGUCCAGUGUAUGUAUGCUGGCAAUUUUGGAUGUAUGCGAACCUUGUUGCUUGAAUGUUAAGUAAUCUGUUAGUGAUGUUGUGUGUGGAUGAUGAAUUGUUGUGCCUCAGUUUAUUGUGCGAAUUUAUUUUCCUUAGUAAAUUCAGUACGGCAUAAUUCUACACAAGUCUACCGUUGAUGGCAACUCCUAACGAUUGCUUAUCAUUGACGUAUGCAGAUGGUGCAAACACGUGGCGGGGGUAACAACAACCCCGGACUUGGAGCAGGUACUUCUGGAGGUGGGGCUCAACAGAAUGAGGACAGAGCACCAUCACCGCCACCACCACCUCCCCCAUACACUGUGGACGUGUUUUUCGUGCAGUUUCUGGGGAGCCAACGCAACAUGGAGCAAAUGCAGCGCAAUAUGGAAGAAGCUCUGCGCAAUAUCGCUGACAAUACCCGUCGUGGGGAUAACCAGGGCGGCCGUGAAGCCAAUCAGUACUGCUCUUUCAAGGACUUCAUGGAUACCAAACCACCAGUCUUCAAGGAGGCCUUAGAACCGCUCGAGGCAGAUGAGUGGAUCAACACCAUGGAGCAAAAGUUCUGUCUUCUUUGGAUGACUGAAGAACUUAAGGCUGAGUACGCGGCACAUCAGUUGCAGGGACCUGCUGGGAUUUGGUGGUCCCAUCACCGUACCACCUACAUAGAGGGGACCCCAAUCACUUGGAACCGCUUCACCACCACGUUUCGGGGAAAUUAUAUUCCUCCGGGUGUGGUGGAAAUGAAGGUUGGGGAGUUCAUGAGGCUGUCUCAGGGAACGAAGUCUGUGAAGGAGUAUCUACACGCCUUCAAUAAUCUUGCUCGUUACACCCCCGAGUUUGUGAACACGGAGGCCAAGAAAAUCGCUAGUUUCCAGAGGGGCUUGAGCCCGAAGAUGCUGAAGACCAUGGGUACAGGAACCUGGGCUACCUUCAAUGCUUACAUCAGUGACUGUCUGACCCAGGAAAAGAAUAACAACAAGUACAGUGCGUCCAAGGCUCGUAAGAGGGCUUUUGAAGCUGGGUCAUCUCAGUCUAGGGCACCAGUGGUGGGGCGACAGCAGUAUCGUCCUCCUGCCCCAGGUGCUAGGUUCCGACCGCCGCAGAGGAGGAACACCGGGCAUCCAACGCAGCAGAAGCCAUACAAGGUAGCAAUAGCUCCUGCCAAGCCAAAGGCAAUUCAGGCUGCGACACAUGCCGCCAACAACAUGACCAAAAGGCCGUGCUACAACUGCCACAAGAUGGGGCACUUUGCUAAGGAAUGUCCCUACCCCAAGAGGCAACAGACGACUGUUGACACUAGCUAACACCACUUAGAUACUAGGUUGUCAUCCCUAGCAUGGCGCCAGAGUGUACAAAGGUAUUUAUAAAUGUAAAGGCUCUCUAGAAAAUAAUCUAUUCUAUCCGCAAGCGCACAGAUAAAACACCUCAUUGUAGCAUUUCACCAGGAUAAGUAUUCCAGGUAUUGUUAUUUAUAAUUUUGCUUAGGGGAUCUUAAGAAGAUGGAAUUAAAUCAAUGGGCAAAAUCUAUCAAGGCAUAGACUAGAGAUAAACUUGCAAGAACAUGAUUACUAAUAAGAAACUCGUCACACAGUCACAUACUUUAGCAGGGGGUAAACCAUAAAGAUAAUGAUAAUAAAGUAUAAGUUCAUGGGAUAGAGAGCACAGCGAAUAGAAAAUAGACUACUCCUCAUAUAUGUAGGUGAUGUCGGAUUAGCUAGAGAAUGGAUUCUAAGUUAUCUACUAACUACUAAGUCAUAAUCUACUCUAGUUAUCUACAAGAUCAUGUAUCGCAUAAAAGACUCUUCAUUCAUGUAUAAGGAACAUUGAUAAAGUAAAUCAGAACAUCACAUGACUUACUCCACAAUACCGGUUCUGCCUGUCCUAUCAACGGAGGGUGGACUAUAUAAGAAUCAACGAAGCUGUCACUAUCUCGAACUACCACACGACUCGGCCAAUAGGAUACAUUUGCAGAUAAAUAACAUCUAAGCACCACGCUCACAUGUGAUCUAUCACCUAACUCCCUCGCGUCAAGAGCUAAGCGCUUUGCAAACUUAUACAUAAACUCAUUAUCAAUUAGAACUAUAUCAAAUAUAGAACUAGAGCAAACUAAGAACAUAAUAAUUAGAGACAUAAUGCAAUUAGAACAAUAGAAUUAGAGAAAGAUAUGAAUAAUACCAAUCUUUAUUACCGAAGAUCCGAAUCCAGAGCGUAGUGCUCUACUUCUCUAAUUGCUAUCUAAUCAACCUCUAAACUUGAAGGAUUAGGGAGUAGCUAAUUCUAAUUCUCUGUGGGAGAGAAGCUCUAAACCCUAACUUUGAUGGCUACCUCUGAAUAAUGAUUUCUCCUCUCCUCCUCCAGGGGCCAGGGGGUCUGGUUUUAUAGUCCCCUCAAGUGAACGUGAGCCAUUGGAUCAAACCGACAUAGAUUGUAUGGUUUAGAUUGAUCCUUUAGGUCGGUGGAGUCUUGCCCCGAAGCAGAGUCCUGAUUGGCCUCUUGGCCAGGGCGGGCGCCCAAGGGGGGUGGGCGGCCGCCCAGCUCCCGAGCUCGAUUCGCGUCCCGUUCGUUCCCGUGGCUUCUGGAUCCUUCUAGAUUGAGGAAAAUUGCGCGGCACGUAAUUAUCUCGUUGUAAACAUGACAUGUGGGCCUUCUCUCCAUAUUUUCUGAUAAACCCCUGCAGAAAUAGAUAAACACCAAAGCUCGUGGAAUUCUGUCAGAUAAAACCCGUAUUCUAGAUGUUUGUUUCAUAUUGAUCCUUUUUCAUGUUUAUUUGAUUAUUAAUUUUAGUACUUAAGGACCGUCAACAAACUCCCCCAAGCUUACCCUUUGCUCGUCCCUGAGCAAAUAGCUAAACUCAGACGGAUCAGGAGUUGCUUCGAUGUUUUCCUUCCUGACAGGCACACAUGCUUUUACAUAAAAAUUCUUCCAGAUUAAAGUGAAGUGUUGUGAAGUUUUAGUACCUGCACUUAAGUCUUAAGUAAUCGAAAGACAAAAUAGUUAAGUCAAGCACUAUCCCUCCUGUCUAUACUUCACCUUUGUUCUAGAGUUUUUCAUAAGUUUUCAAAAUAAAACUCAGAGUUCCGAGCAAUGAUUCUCUCAAGUCUCUCUAUAUGUGGUAUUUGUGGAUCCUUACCAUGAUAUCACUUGCCUAUAGCUAAUAGAAUAUUUAAGUGGAGCUCAUAGGAGUGAAAAAAACAGCUCGUACAUAUGUUGUCUAAUCGAGCCAUGGAUCCAAAGGAACUCAGCAUAUAAUUAAAUCAAGAUGUGCAUGUGUGAUGGAGUAAAUGAUAGUGAUGGUGAAAAUGCAUAAGUGACAAUGAAACUUAGUUCUCAUUGCUCCUCAUAUUGCUAUCUCUCCUCUUCUUUGAUCUUUGCUUUGGGAGAACAUGGGCUAUCUUUUUCUUUUCUUUCUUUUUUUUUCAGGUGGGUAGUAGAUACCCCUAAUUCUACUGUCGGACACUUGUCCAUUUUUUUCGCUCAAGUGGGCAUCUUUGUACCCCUAAUUCUACUUCGGACACUUGUCCAUUUUUACCUCUCGUCUCACUCUUUUUCUUUCUUUUCCGAGGUUCCGGGCACUUGCCCCUUUUUAUUUCCUCGUAUAUUUUUGCAUAACCCAUGCCUCUUCUGCAUUGAAUCUUUUUAGAGAGAGAGAAUAACAAUACUUGGGACAGUGAGUGAUAAUAUAUUUUUAGCAAUUUUAAUGAUUGAUGAAUGCUGUGGUAGAUGUGUGCAAGUGAAUAUCUUAAUUUAACCACAUGAAAAGCUCCUAAGGGUCUACACAGCUCGAUCAAACUCAAUGUAAAUAUAGUAAAAGAUGUUAUAGCAAGUAUGGCUGUGGUGUAGUUUGUUAUGCUAGGAACUCAUCAUGUGAUUUGUAAGUUUUCAAAAUAAAUCUCUAGAACUUAGUGUAGUAGGAACAAGAUAAACAGUAACUCAACUUUAUAUCAGGCCUUUCUCUUACCUAGACUUUAGUUUUAUGCUUUCCAAAGAUAGUAAUUUCGGUUUUAGUAAUUCCUGGAAGAAUUCUAAUAUAAAAGCUAGGUACUUGUAAGUAAGCAAACAGAGCAACUAUUCAUCAUUUCCAUCAUGCAUCUUUUUGGUCUUUUUAUUUUUUUAGAGAUUAAACUUAGCAGAAAAAUAAAGCACACUUAUCUACACACUCUUUUUAUUUUGUUUUCAUGUUUAUUAAGUGCAGUAGAUUAGCAAGAAAAUAUUUAUUUGAUUUUCUAAGCUUUCCUUUUAAGAUAAAUAAAAUACUAAGACAUAAUAGAAUAAAUAAGAAGAGCAAAUAAAAACUUACUUGAUAAAUUAGGGAGGAACUCCCCCAAGCUGGAUGUUGACGUCGGUCUUACCCGAUGUUCCAGAACCGCAUCGUGGUUGUGAUGUUGUCGUUCAUUGUUGUUGUAUCUUGUCUUAGCUCUUGUACUGCAGCGGCAUGGUCCUGGUUCCAUUUUUGUUGCUCUUCCAGGAGUCUUCCAUGUUCUGCUUGCGUGUUCUGGAUGUCGAGGAGGGUGUUGUCGGUACGAGUGAAGAAAGCACCGGCCUCUUGAUAAUAGUCAUUCGUGAAGGCGUAGGAGGCGUCGGAGUAUCGUCCUGCAUCAAAUUAGGGUGGAGGUCUGGAUCCUGAAGCUCCAUAUGGAUCAGUGGAGUACCUGCCCGUAUGAAAAGGCGGGUUUAUCCACUAGUGAUCUUGGCUCUACGGCCAUGUCUCCUCUGUUGGCUCUUGUGGUUGCGCAUGCCGGUCCCAUGGGUCUCGAAGGACUCGUGGAUUGUAAUCGCAAUAAUGCAGGUGCGCUGCUUUUUCUGGUCCAGGGUCAGCUCCAUACCAAGUGCGUUCUCGGUGAGUGGUUAUCCUUUCAGAUGCCACUCGCUGUGGAGUUCUCUGGUUCACUGGUGUUGCUGCAAUCUCAAUCAAAAAGUUUUGCACAGUGUAGAGGCCAAGGUUCGGGUUAGGUAACCGAAUCUUGCCUUUAUCAUCAUACAGCAUAUACAUUAUAUUCCCCUCUUUCUUUAACAUCCGAGCUUGUCUAAAUGUGUCAUAGCCAUGAUAAAUUCUUAAUUCUUCUAUGAAGUCCAACGAUGAGUUUUCUAGUAAGUGAAGAUUAGUGGCUAGACGAGUGAUAAGUGAAGUACAUCCUACUAGUCCCUGAAGACUAGGUAUACUAAGCCAAUGUGAAACUAAUAGUGUAACAGGUGAAGUGGGUACUUUACUAAUAGCAGCAUAUAAAAGUUGUAAAUCUCCUACUCUUACUUUCCUAAUAUCGUCACGAUAGAAAAGAUUGUACCCAAGCCAUUUGUGGAGCAUCCUUAGAGUGGGGUGUUCCAUGUCACUGGUUCGGGCUUGGCUGUAAAAAUUAUCUCUAGAUAUUUCUCUCCAAAACUGGUGUCUCUCAAAAUUGGGUAAAUCGGAGUCAGUGUUCAGGAUGCAUCCUGAAGAGAAACCAAGAUGGUCGCUCAGCUCCCUCCAAGAUAACAUAAUUUCCUGUUUGAACAUCCGAAAAACAAUUCCCCCCUCAUAGUUUUGUAAGGUGCAAAGAAAUUCGAGGGUGAGAAGACGAGAACCCAGCUCAGUUAUAUUCCAAAAAUUUGUCCAACCCAUCAUCUGAGAAAUUAAAUCAAAUUCAGUGUUCAUACCUGUUUCUAGUAGUAGGAUUGGAUCGAGAGUAGGGGUGUGAAUGAAAUCUUUAUUCUUCAAUUGCUGAUAAACUUCCUUCUCUCUUCGGGUCUUCAGUCCUAGGUCUCCUAUCUUGAGAAGGACCUUAACUUGCUGACCUGAUGAAGAUGACGGAGCUUGUGUGGGUGUCGGGUCGACGCUCAUCUCUGAUGGUUGUGAGGAGUGUCGGGAUGAACUCCUUGUACCAAUGUUCUUGAUAGCCUUCCCUGCAUUCUUUACCUUCUUAAACAUCCUGCAAACAAAAGUUAGCAAAAACACAACUGGUGGAAAAUGUGAGAUAAAAUGUUAGUGGUCAGCUGUUCGGAGUGUCAGUAGUCCAGUGGUUAAUCGUUCAAGACAAGUUUCUAUUUUGGUAGAGCCUCCCCUAAACAAUUUUUACUUCCGCUUAGACAACAGGAUCACUAUUUGCUAGGUGAUAAUCACUUUCUCAAAAGAACUCCAACCUUCCCUUCCACUCUCCUCUUUCUCUCUACUCUCUUCUCUUCACUACAAAAGCUUCUUCUCGGGAAACUGAGAUUUGUGUGGUUUUCUGAAGUGUUUGUGUGAAGAGAAGGGGAGCUGGAGGUGACCUUUUAUAGGCUGAGCAGGGGACAGGGCGGGCGCCCACCCCUGGUGUCCAUCCUGGGUGUGCCUCCUCCACAUGCUUCAUUGCGUUGAUCUCACGCAGAAUAAUGUUGUGUUGGUAGUGGUUGGACGGUGGAAAGAUGUCAGGUGAGUGGAAACAUAUUGGUGGAUGAAAUUAUGUGAUGGGAUGUAUGUGAGGUGAAGUGUAUGACAUGUGGGACCCAAGGUGUGUGGGUCACGCUUCUAGAAGAUUAAUAUAAUUAAAUAUAAUGCAGGAAAAUCUAUGAGAAUUGAAACUUAAUGAAAAUGAUAAUGGAAAUAUUUUUGUGCCUCCACAAUAAUUAAUAAAUAUGGGUUGUUACACACCACAAAUAUUAUUUAUAUGGGGCUUUUUGAUUAUUAUAAUAAUGCUAUGACUAAUGCAAGAAUUAAUUAUGCAAGAAUGAGAAAAUUGAUAAUGCGGAUAAAUACCGAUUUACCUCCCGGUGAGGGUUUGGGAUUUUUAGGUCCCCCAAGCUGGACCUCCAAAGCUUUUAAUCUUCUGAGUUACCUUCCUCCGGAGAUGGUGUCUAUAGUGGUUCUUCAUGAACUUCCUUCACUGUAGAGUCUCUCUCUGGUCUGGGUUUGAAUGUGAAGCGUUCUUCUUGUCCGUUUAUGUUAAACUUGAUUUCUCCCUUCCCGACAUCAAUGUGGGCAUUGGCAGUGCUCAGAAAUGGCCUUCCAAGGAUGAUGGACACUUUUGAGUCAGGACUCAUGUCCAGUACUACGAAGUCUACUGGCACCAGGAAAUCUCUGAUCUUGACUGGAAUGUUCUCGGUGAUGCCCAGCGGGUGUCGAACCGAUUGAUCCGCUAGUUGCAAGCACAUUGAUGUUGGUUCUAAGGUUACAUGCUCAAGCUUUUUGUAGAAUGAUACUGGCAUCACACUGACACUUGCUCCGAGAUCACAAAGUGCAUUAUUGAAGUGUUGGUUUCCGAUCGAGCAAUCAAUAGUGGGGCAUCCUGGAUCUUCCUUCUUCUUUGGUGGUUUGUGGAGGAUGGCCGCACUACAUUCUUCUGUCAGCUUGAUAACCUCAGUGGUGGGCAGUGGUCUCUUCUUGUUAAGAAUAUCUCUGAUGUACUUUGCGUAUGUAGGUACCUGUAUGGCAUCGAGCAGAGGUAUGUUGACAUAUAAUUUCUGAAUGACCUCUACAAACUUACCAAACUGCUCAUCCGACUGCAGUCCUCUGUUUUUUAUGGGAAAUGGCAAAUAGUUGGUGUCGUAAAAAUCUUUCCUCAUUUCUCCAGUUCUUGGUGGUUGUAGCAGAUCUUCUGCUCCAACUGGGCUUUCUUCUUCUAUCACUGCUGGUUGCACUGGUGCUGAUGUUCUUUGUUUCUCUUUUGGGUAUGGUGGAUCUCUGGUAGCUUUACCUCCUCUAGUAGUUAUAUUCUUUACCUGCUCAAGGUUAGUAGCAACAGGCAGUGCAGCAGCUAUCUUUAUUAAUUUAAGCUCUACCCUUUUAUUAAGAGUGUUUUGCUCAUCAAAGGCAGUUAGUAGAAAAUCCAUUUUAUUAUGUAUAUCUUUUAGAGACGAUUCAUUUGUAUCUAGCCUUUGUUUAACUUCAUCAUUAAUUUUGGUUUGUUGAGCAAUUAUCUCUUUUAAUGAAAGUUGCUUGACAGUAUUACCUGAAUUCAUACCUUUGCUAUUGGGUUGACUCGAAGUUGGUUGAUAUUUGUAUGCUGUCUCAAUGGCCCUUUGAUCUUCUUUGAACUUGGCCCUCUGGUCAAUCCAAUGGAGCAAAUUUUCCAACUUAGCUGAUAAUGCUUUUACUUCUUCUGGUAUUUCUUCAGUUUGAUGACAAUGUUGAGCUUUAUCUUGGAACCAGCUUUGGUUUUCUGCUAUCUUAUCCAAAAGUAUCUCUGCUUUUCCAGUUGUAAGCUCCAAGAAUGAUCCUUUAGCAGAUGCAUCUAGGCACUCACGAGCCUUCUGGGUUAAUCCAUGGUAGACGGUCUGCAUAAGUAACCAUGUGGCCAUUCCAUGGUGAGGACAAUCUGAUAUGUAUCCUUGAAAACGCUCCCAUGCUUCUGAAAUGGCUUCUGUCUUCUGCUGUUGGAAAUUGACAAUAUUUCCUCUUAAGGCAGUUGUUUUGCCUAUAGGGAAAAACUUUGAUAGAAAGGCAUCUGACAAGUUCGUCCAGUUGUUGAUGUUAUCUUGAUGAGUGUAGAACCACUUCCUUGCUUUUCCUUCUAGUGAGAAUGGAAAAAGGCGAAGCAGUAUGACGUCUUUGUCAACUCCGUUGAUGUGGAUUGUGCUUCCAAUCUCUAAGAAAUUCUGCAAGUGUGCACUAGCAUCUUCAUGUGCCUUUCCACUGAAUUGUGUAGCUUGUACCAAAUUGAUGAGGCUUGACUUGAGCUCAAACUCAGGUAUUCCUUCUUCUACUGCAAAUCUUGGACCGGUUGGAAUGUUGUCAAGACUUGGAGCAGAGAAUUCUUGCAAGGUCUUUUGUGCCAUAGCUUCAGCAAUUGGUAGCUAGUUUCUUCUUCUCUUGAUUGCUUUGGUUCUGAUGAUGAAGAGUUGAAUGUACCCAAAGUCAAUCCUGUUAUACCCUGUAUAAAAAUAUAAACAUAGAAAAAUAACAGGGUGAACCUGCCAAAGCAGCGGUGCCUUGUUAUGAUUUCUCACUUAGUAGCUGUUUUAUGCAAUUAUUUCUCUAUAGUCUAGUCUAAAAUUUUAUAUGAAUAACCUUGAUUGAUUUUCUGGCUUUCCUUAAUAUUACCCUUUUGUUCCCUUUUAUGACUUAUUCCUGAGACUCGUAUAAAUCCUAUAAGUUCCAUAAGUUCUAUAAGUCCUAUAGAUCCCCGGCAACGGCGCCAGAAAUGCUUGUUGACACUAGCUAACACCACUUAGAUACUAGGUUGUCAUCCCUAGCAUGGCGCCAGAGUGUACAAAGGUAUUUAUAAAUGUAAAGGCUCUCUAGAAAAUAAUCUAUUCUAUCCGCAAGCGCACAGAUAAAACACCUCAUUGUAGCAUUUCACCAGGAUAAGUAUUCCAGGUAUCGUUAUUUAUAAUUUUGCUUAGGGGAUCUUAAGAAGAUGGAAUUAAAUCAAUGGGAAAAAUCUAUCAAGGCAUAGACUAGAGAUAAACUUGCAAGAACAUGAUUACUAAUAAGAAACUCGUCACACAAUCACAUACUUUAGCAGGGGGUAAACCAUAAAGAUAAUGAUAAUAAAGUAUAAGUUCAUGGGAUAGAGAGCACAGCGAUUAGAAAAUAGACUACUCCUCAUAUAUGUAGGUGAUGUCGGAUUAGCUAGAGAAUGGAUUCUAAGUUAUCUACUAACUACUAAGUCAUAAUCUACUCUAGUUAUCUACAAGAUCAUGUAUAGCAUAAAAGACUCUUCAUUCAUGUAUAAGGAACAUUGAUAAAGUAAAUCAGAACAUCGCAUGACUUACUCCACAAUACCGGUUCUGCCUGUCCUAUCAACGGAGGGUGGACUAUAUAAGAAUCAACGAAGCUGUCACUAUCGCGAACUACCACACGACUCGGCCAAUAGGAUACAUUUGCAGAUAAAUAACAUCUAAGCACCACGCUCACAUGUGAUCUAUCACCUAACUCCCUCGCGUCAAGAGCUAAGCGCUUUGCAAACUUAUACAUAAACUCAUUAUCAAUUAGAACUAUAUCAAAUAUAGAACUAGAGCAAACUAAGAACAUAAUAAUUAGAGACAUAAUGCAAUUAGAACAAUAGAAUUAGAGAAAGAUAUGAAUAAUACCAAUCUUUAUUACCGAAGAUCCGAAUCCAGAGCGUAGUGCUCUACUUCUCUAAUUGCUAUCUAAUCAACCUCUAAACUUGAAGGAUUAGGGAGUAGCUAAUUCUAAUUCUCUGUGGGAGAGAAGCUCUAAACCCUAACUUUGAUGGCUACCUCUGAAUAAUGAUUUCUCCUCUCCUCCUCCAGGGGCCAGGGGGUCUGGUUUUAUAGUCCCCUCAAGUGAACGUGAGCCAUUGGAUCAAACCGACAUAGAUUGUAUGGUUUAGAUUGAUCCUUUAGGUCGGUGGAGUCUUUCCCCGAAGCAGAGUCCUGAUUGGCCUCUUGGCCAGGGCGGGCGCCCAAGGGGGGUGGGCGGCCGCCCAGCUCCCGAGCCCGAUUCGCGUCCCGUUCGUUCCCGUGGCUUCUGGAUCCUUCUAGAUUGAGAAAAAUUGCGCGGCAUGUAAUUAUCUCGUUGUAAACAUGACAUGUGGGCCUUCUCUCCAUAUUUUCUGAUAAACCCCUGCAGAAAUAGAUAAACACCAAAGCUCGUGGAAUUCUGUCAGAUAAAACCCCUAUUCUAGAUGUUUGUUUCAUAUUGAUCCUUUUUCAUGUUUAUUUGAUUAUUAAUUUUAGUACUUAAGGACCGUCAACAACGACCUUCCCAGCUCGAGUGCACCAUACCUCGAUAGAGGAGAUCCUAGAAGGAGAACCGGUAACAGCUGGUAUGUUUCCUGUCAACCAACAUCUUGCAGUUGUUUUGUUUGAUUCUAGAUCAUCGCAUUCAUUCAUGAGCCAAGCAUUUGCACAAAAGCAUGACCAACCAGUUACUGAGUUGGAUUAUGGUUAUCGCAUCAGCUUAGCAGGGGCUGAUGUGUUGACUAACAAAAUAGUGACGGGAGUUACCUUAGAUAUCAGUGGCCGAAGGUUCCGUGUAAACCUUGUGGUCAUGCCAGGGCUGGUUUUGGAUGUUAUCAUUGGAAUGAAUAAGAUGACUGACUGGGGCGCAGUUAUAGAUGCUGGACAGAGAACUCUCUCCCUUAAAGAUCCGCAAGGGGAGGUUAUGCUUCAGAUCAAGCUACCUCGACGGUUAGACUUUGCCAGUCUCUCGUGUGCAGUAUAGGUGGUUCCACUAGAACACAUACCAGUGGUCUGUGAUUUCCCUGAUGUUUUUCCUAAGGAAUUACCAGGACGUCCCCCAGAUAGAGAAGUAAAGUUCGCAAUAGAGUUGAUACCAGGUACCGCACCGAUAUCGAGAAGGCUAUACCGGAUGCCGCCUAAUGAGCUCGCUGAGUUGAAGAAUCAACUAAAGGAGUUACUGGAUAAAGGGUUCAUCUGGCCAAGUUCGUCGGAAUGGGGUUGUCCGGUGUUGUUUGUGAAAAAGAAGGAUCAAUUGUUGCGCAUGUGUGUGGACUAUCGUCCACUCAAUGCGGUGACAAUCAAGAAUAAGUAUCCAUUGCCAAGGAUUGAUAUCUUUUUUGAUCACUUAUCUAAGGCAAAAGUGUUUUCCAAGAUAGACUUGAGGUCCGGGUAUCACCAAAUCAAGAUCCGUCUGCAAGAUAUCCCGAAGACUGCUUUCUCCACCAGAUAUGGGUUGUACGAGUAUCUUGUCAUGUCCUUCGGGUUGAAAAAUGCUCCUGCAUACUUCAUGUAUCUGAUGAAUUCGGUCUUUAUGCCAGAGUUAGACAAGUUUGUUGUGGUGUUCAUCGAUGACAUUCUGGUUUAUUGAGAGAAUGAGCAAGAUCACGCCGAGCAUCUAAGAGUCGUGCUAACACGACUACGAGAGCAUCAGUUGUACGCAAAGUUCAGCAAGUGCGAGUUCUGGCUAAAGAAAGUUCCUUUCCUAGGGCACAUUCUGUCUGAAGAAGGGAUUGCUGUGGAUCGUCAAAAGUACAGGAAGUCAUGGACUGGAAGGCACCAACUUCUGUUUCGAAAGUUCGGAGUUUUCUGGGUCUGGCCGGGUAUUAUCGUUGUUUCAUACCCGACUUCUCCAAGAUUGCUAAGCCGAUGACCAGUUUGCUACAAAAGAAUCAUAAGUUUGUGUGGACAGAACGGUGUGAACUAGCCUUCCGCACCUUGCGAAAGUUGCUAACCACUGCUCCCGUUCUAGCGCAACCCAAUAUCGAGAAGCCUUUUGAUGUGUUUUACCUCGAGUUAGCAGCGGUAGUGCACGCUCUGAAGAUCUGGAGGCAUUAUUUGUUAGGAAAUAAGUGUCAUAUUUACACAGAUCAUAAAAGUCUAAAGUACAUCUUCACUCAGUCCGAGUUGAAUAUGAGACAACGAAGAUGGUUAGAGCUGAUCAAAGAUUACGACCUGGAAGUCCACUAUCAUCCAGGCAAGGCUAAUGUGGUAGCAGACGCUUUGAGUCGCAAACCGCACUAUCAAGUGGUUCAACUGUUGUUUGAGGAUGGGUUCAAUUUCAUGCAUCCUGAAGUCUUAUGUCACAUACAACUCAGUUGUUCACUUGAAAGUCAAGUCAUCGAAGGUCAGAAAACAGACAAGGGUAUUUUCUACAUCAAAGAGAAGAUCAAAGAUAACCAAAAAACUCAGUUUCAAGUUGAUGAGAAAGGGGUAUUGUGGUUUCAGCACCGGCUAGUAGUUCCAAAGAAUCGAGAAUUGAAGAAUCGCAUCAUGGAUGAAGCACAUCUCUCGAAGCUUUCUAUUCAUUCUGGCAGUAGUAAGAUGUAUCAAGACCUAAGGUCUCACUUUUGGUGGACUAAGAUGAAGAAAGAGAUAGCAGCAUAUGUGGCCCGUUGUGACACGUGUUGCAGAGUCAAGGCUAUACAUAUGAAAUCUGUAGGCCUGUUGCAACCGUUGUCAGUUCCAGAGUGGAAAUGGGAAGAGGUUAGUAUGGACUUUAUCACGGGUUUACCGACAACACGGAAGGGGAAUGACUCAAUUUGGGUGAUCAUAGAUCGAUUGACUAAGUCGGCUCAUUUCAUUCCGGUUAAGACUCAUUACAGACCCCCCGAGUAUGCUGAUCUGUAUCUAGCUGAGAUUGUUAAGUUGCAUGGUCUUCCCAAAACCAUCAUAUCAGACAGGGGACCACAGUUCACCGCUCAUUUCUAGGAGCGAAUGCAUAAGAGUUUGGGGACUAGUCUGAUAAGAAGCACAGCGUAUCAUCCCCAAACCUCGGGUCAAACGGAAAGACUCAAUCAAAUACUAGAAGAUAUGCUGAGGGCUUGUGUGUUAUCGUCCAAGGGAUCAUGGGAAUCAUGGUUACCUUUGGCUGAGUUCUCAUACAAUAAUAGCUAUCAAGAGAGUAUCAAGAUGGCCCCGUUCGAAGCUUUGUAUGGUCGAAGAUGCAGGACUCCGUUAAACUGGGUCAAACCUAGUGAAAGGAGAUACUAUGGCAUCGACUUCGUGAAUGAGGCUGAGAAAAAGGUGCAAAUCAUACAACAACAUAUGAAGGCGGCACAAUCGUGACAAAAGAGUUAUGCCGAUAAGAGAAGAAGGCCACUAGAAUUCAAUAUAGGUGACUAUGUUUACCUCAAGGUUACGCCAAUAAAGAAAGUUUAGCGUUUCCGAGUUCGAAGCAAGCUUGCACCCAGAUAUGUGGGACCAUAUCAGGUACUAGAAAGAAAAGGGCUUGUGGCCUACAAGAUUCAGUUAACUGAAGAGUUGAGUUCCAUCUUCGCAGUCUUCCAUGUGUCACAGCUACGGAAAUGUUUGAAAGUACCCGAGCAAAGGAUCGAACCCCGAGGCAUCAAGAUAAAGGCACACUUAGAAUAUAAGGAGCAGCCAGUGGGUAUCGUAGAUACCAAAGAGCGAGUAACCCGAAACAGAGUUGUCAAAACCUAUAAGGUGGUGUGGAGUCAUCUUGAUGAUACGGAUGCCAUCUGGGAAACCGAGGAUUACUUAAAAACACUUUACCCAAAAUUUCAUAAGAAAUGGUUAGUAACCCAAAUCUCGGGAUGAGAUUUCCCUAAGGGGAGAAGGGCUGUAACACGUUAGGUGUUAAGCAUGCACUUAGUCUCAUAAAACAUUCAUAAGCAUUCUCAUCAAGCAUGGCAUAAGCAUCACAUCCCAUGAGCACAAUAAUAAUCCAAGUGUGAUUUUAUGUGCUUUAUUUCAAGUGAAUUAAAUAGGUUAAAAAUAUCAUGCUUGCUUCUAAGUUCUUGAAUUGCCCAAAUUAAGUUGAAAUGAGUGUUAGAAUAUUUAAGAGUAAUUUUGUGAUAUUUUUGGAGCCAUAGAAAUUGAGAAAUUGAUUUUAUACUAAAAUUCCCCAAAAUAGAUUUAUUUAAAAACCUAUAACUAGUUUUGGGUGGUAUUUCAAAAUCUAUUUGGAAUUUGUGAAUUCGACUUAAAGCAAAGUUGUAGGGUUUUUGUUUUGGAACAACUUUUAUUUUGAGAGAAAAAGGUGAAAAUGAUUUUUAAAUAGUCCAAAUGAAUUUAGAAAGAAAUUGAGAAAAGAAAUUUAAAAAAAAAGAAAAAGGGAAAGGGGGGCGCUAGGAGGCCGCGGCCUCACUUCUGGCCGCUGGCCGAAGCCGGCCUAGCCCGCCCGCGCUCACCCCACCGUCCCCGCGCUCGCGGCCGCGUCGUGUCCACGCGCGGACGGCCGCGCCGCGCCGCCGUGGCGAGCCGGCAGAGCUCGGCCGCCGCGUGGCGAGCAUGUGGCAGCCUGGACGCGCCCUGGUCGGCCACCAGGAGCGCCCCGCCGCACCCGCCUCCGUCCUCGCUGCCAUUUGCACCCGUCAGCCCUUCCUCUCUUGCCCUCUCGCCCUCGCUCCGCAUGCGCAGAGCGCCGCCGUCGCCAUUGGAGCCUGAGCUCCGCCUCGACCGUUCUACCCCAGCGCGUGCACCAUUCUCCGAUUCGUCCUCCCCCGAGCUCCGCCCCGCUCCGCCGUUGCGGGACACGCUUCCAAGCGUUUGGUGAGGCAUGGUGAGCCCCGCUCGCCCUCGUUCCUUCUCCGGCGAGAGCACCGCCGCCGCGCGCGUAGUCUGCCUGCCUCCGUGCCUUCCGAUGCUGCUUAGUUAGCUCGUCGUGCUCACCUUGGCACCGCGACGCUCGCAAGCCACUCCAAUCGCGCUCUACCGGGCCAACGCCUCGGGUCGACGGCGAGCAGCGCCGCCGCUCUGGCAUGGCCGGUGGCGAGCUUGCUCCUGUUCGUUUCAGGCCGCGCAAGUAGGUUCGCUGAGUUCGCCUUGACCCGUAGAACGCGUAGAGCCCCUCGGUUCGCCGAGAGAGGCCACCGGCGGUGAGCUCCGGCUCGCCGGAGUCGCCCCCUCUCUGCGUUCUGGCUAGCGGGCCCGGCUAGCAGGCGGGUCCGCUCGUCAGUGGCAGCGGGUGCACUGCACCGGGUGCACCCAGCUGGUCCCGGAGGUGGAUUUGAAUUGAUUUUCAGAAAAAUGAUUUCCAGAAAAUAGUUUAAAUGAUAUAAAAUCCAUAUCUUGAGAUUUAUGGCUCCAAAAUUAGUGAAAUAAAUUUUGAUGUAUUCUAGAAUCUCAGAUCUAUAGUUUGGUUUGGUUGCAUAUCAUGUUUGGACAAUUUUUCUGUGCAAUUAUAUUUAAUCCAUGUUUUUUCUGAAAAUUGUAAAAUGCAUAGUAAUUAAAAUAUAGCUCAGAAAAAUAUGAAACUUAUUUUAUUGGCUCUGCAUGGAUGAUUAGGCUCUAGGAAAAAUAUGUUACACAUUAUUUGCUGUAUGAGUUAAUUUAUGGUGAUUUAAAUGCUUGCAUGGCAGUGGUUUAUGAUUUUUAAUAAAUAAUUGGAUCAUGCCAUUAAUCUAGAAAUUUUUGUGGGUGUUUCUUAUGUUAAUAAGUUAAUUAUAAAAAUAUGAAACCUGUUGUUUGAUACUUAUACCACAGUAGAGUAUUUAUACUUGCUUUUAUGAAUUAAUCUUGUGAUUUUUGUAGCCCAAAAUAAAUAUCCAAAUAUUAUGAGAAAUUUAUGGUAGACUUUAUGGUUGACUAGUGAUCUGCUAUGAUUUUUGUGGAAUUUAUUGCUAAACAUAAAUAUAUGCUAUUUUUGUAUUCCUAAAAGUGGAUAAAGAAAUUAUGAAUUUGUUUAUACAUAGAUUAAAUAAAGGAAAAUGGUGUUUGGUGUAUCUUUGAAGCAUCAUGUGAGUUUGCUGGUUAACCAUGAAUACAAUUUGUAGAAGAGAAUGCAAUAGAUGCUUAAUGUACCUGUUCUUGGAUGAUGUUGACUACCUUGUAGAAAUACCACCUAUGUCUUUAUGCACCAUGUCAUGAUCAUUUGGUACCUACUCGCAUAAGCAUUGCACCCCGGGCAUCUCGCACUCCGCUCAUGAGCACACAUGCAUCUUACAGGCUCGCAGGAGAACGAGGUGGGACCCGAGGAGUAGGAGGAGAUCCAGGAGCAGGAACCUCUGGGAGGACCAGAGCCCGGAGAGGAGCUGCAGGAGUACCCGGACCACAGACUGAGCACGUUUGAGAAAGGCAAGCCCCGGAGCAUUCUAAGUCUCCCUAUUCUCGCUAACAUAAACGAUAUAUUAUGCUUGUUUUACUAUGUUGCAUUUAAGUGAUAGGAAUUGCUUGAUAGCGUUGAUGCAUAUGUACUCCUUGAUAUCACCACUUGUUUACCUACCUUGUCCUAUGUAGAUAAGCACGGAGUCUAUGCUUAGCUUGCUUAGUCCGGUAGAAGUCAGGUGAUUUCCUGUCACCUGCGAGAAAUAGGUGGAUACCUGCUUGAUUAGCGGUGAUUGCUUCGAGAAAGGAUAACUAAGUGUGGAGAAGAAUUUGAGACCGGGCAGGGUCUUAUGGUGGGUUGACCGUAGUGCCCCUGCCUGUGUCGAUUAAGGACCGAUCGUUGACGACCCUCUUGUCAUGUUGAACGCAUGCCCCACACUUAGCUGGAAGGAUAAGUCGUUCCGACCGCGAAGCCUGAGCACUAUCCGGGCCGGGAAUCGGCCCGAUGUACGCGCUGUAUUGGUGAUGGUUGAGGAGAACGACGAGGGCGCGGCGCGCAACCUUGGUAUACCUUGGAUACCUCGGUCGCCGGAACGGUCCUCGGGUACGAGCGGUGCCUGUCGAACCCGCGAAUUGGUCCUGGAUAGUGCAACACGGUGAUCUGUAGCUCACUUGAUCAGUGAGUGUGGUUUGUGUGGGGAAUAAACUCGCCAGCUGGUCAGAAAUCGAUUCAAAUCACCAUCGCUCCUGGAUAGUGAGCACUUGACAUGAGCCCUGUCCUCGUAGUAAGGACUAUGGAACACUUGGGAUAGGAUGAUAAAUGAUUUAUGAAUGCUAUGAUGAGGUACCAUCAUAUUACUACACUUGCUUGUAAUAGUAUAGGUGCAAACCUAGAUAAUAGGUAAUGAUAUUACCGAACUUGAGUUAAUUAAAAGAAGAAUGGUCUCAAGACUAUGUUUAGGGAAAUAAUGCUUUUUAUGCAAAAAGUCUUAGCAACCCCAUCAUACAGCCUUCAUGAUCCUUGAAGAGUCUUUAUUUUUUGUUAUGACGGGUAAGUCUAGCUGAGUACAUUCUCGUACUCAGGGUUCUAUUCCCAUGUUGUUUUGCAGAUGGUCAAAUGUACUAUGGUUAUUGCAUCCUCUAUCUGUACCCUGCCAUGGGCGAUGACUAGACCAAGGGCGAUGGGCAUUCUAUCUUCUCUUUUGCUUUUGUGGGAAUGACCGAACUAUGGCACUGUAUCAAACUAAAAUUGUGUGUUUUAUUUUCAGACUUUGAAGCUUCCGCUACUUAAGAACUUGGUUUGUAAUAAUUUUAAGCACUCCGAUGUAUUCGAUGAAUGUUUGUGAACUGCAUGUAAUUGUGAAUGGUGGCCGCUAAACUUAUUACGAUCUUGGCUGUACGUACGAUAUGUGGUUUGAAAUCCUUUGAGAUUUCAUGGACUACCGGGAUUAUAUGGGCUUAAGCUUGAUGGUUCGACUGUGCAAAUGGUCACUAUUAGGCUUAAUCUCUUAUAAUUUGGGCGGUUCUGUUACACUAUUACUCUGGAGCUCCUUAAUUUCCUGAUAGACUUCAGUUUACGCUUUAUAUGUUUGCUGGACUUUUUUCCAUUAUCCUGACUAUUCUUCACCUUCGUGAUCACUAUUUGAUUAUCAUAGUUUAUGAGAAUAGUAGGAACUGGUUUCUCAACCAAGGCAAGUCCAUCAACGUAUCUCUUAACCACUCAGCCUCAGUAGAGGUUGUAUCCAGAGCUGUAAGCUCUGCCUCCAUUGUGGACUUUGUAAGUUUUGUCUACUUACAAGAUCUCCAAGCGAUAGCACCACAACCCAAAGUGAAUAUGUAUCCACUAGUGGCCUUAAGCUCAUCAGCUUCUGAAAUCUAGUUCGAAUUACUAUAUCCUUCAAGUACCCCUGGGUACCCUGAAUAGUGAAUUGCAUAACUCAUUUUACCUUUUAGAUAACGCAUUACUCUAUUAAUACCACGCCAAUGAUCACUUCCUGGAUUAGAGAAAAAUCUACACAACUUGUUAUAGCAAAUGCUAUAUCAGGGUGGGUUGGGCUAGCUAGGUACAUCAAUGAGCCAAUAAUUUGGGAAUAUCUUAGAUGAUCCUUUCCUAAUCUUUUAUUCUUUUGAAGUAUUAAGCUAGGAUCAUAGGGUGUUGGAGAAGGUUUGCAAUCCAUAUAAUCGAAGCAGUUCAAAACCUUUUCCACAUAAUGAGACUAUAAAAGAGUAAUCCAAUUCUCACUCUUAUUAAGUUUAAUAUUGAGGAUCACAUCGGCUUCUCCUAAAUAUUUCAUGUCACAAUUUUGGGAUAAAAAUGAUUUAACAUCAUUCAUCUCAUCGAUGCUUGUCCCCAAAAUUAGUAUGUCAUCAACAUACAAACACAAGAUUACUCCUUUCUUGUCACAGAACCCAUCAAAUUAUAAGAGUUCAAGUGUAGGAACGAUUGCUAGAGCAAUUAAGUUUCCAAACUUGAGCCCAUAUAAUCCCGGUAGUCAAUUGAAAUCUCGAAGGAUUUCAAACCAACUGAGCAACAUACCAAGAUCGUAAUAAGUUCAGCACAAUACAUCGAUUGUUACAACAUUUCAUACAAGGUCGACGAAGUGACACACAUCAAAGUUUACUUAAGUUAUUACAAACUAAGUUCAAAGUAGCGUAAGCAACAUAGUUUUGAAACCAACAUCACAAGUUCAUUGUUACUAUCAGAGUCUCAUCACAUCCACCAAAAGAUAGUCAGGUACGACGAUUAGAGAACUGUGCCCAACGGUUAGUCCUCAUCCCUAGCGGGGUAAAGACAGGUCUUGUAGAAACCAUCAUAGAAUAUAUCAUCUGCAACAAGUGGGAAUAAACCCUGAGUACGAGGUUGUACUCAGCUAGACUUACCCGACGAACCAAAACAAGGACACCAAGGAUCAUGCAAGGCAACUAAAAGAGUGGAGCUGGCUUGACUCAUUUUGCAUAAAAAGCUUAAGUUAGAGAACUAAACCUUUCUUAUUAGCCUCAAGUAAAUUAUCAUUAACCUGCCACUAUAUUAGCACGUGUACUAUAGCACUCACUUGAUUAAUCAUCAAACAAAUAAGCAUCAAACAAAUAAGCCUUUACAUGAGAACAGUUGUCGCAACGAGCGACAAAAGCAGAAAUUUCCUUCUUCAUUUUCAUCCACCAAAAUAGAGGUUUAAGGUCCUGAUACAUCUUACUACUACCAGGAUGAAUAGAUAGUGUUGAUGCAAAAAGUGGAUCUGCAAACACAAAGGGCUAAUACCCGAUUCAAACGUUAAGGCGUGCCAGCCGAUUUGACCUUGCAAUCGACAAAGGUGGUAACUCGACCACUUUGGUCCCGACAACAGCGAUGCGCCCGGAUGUCACGGCCAAGAGGUGAUCACGCGGAACUUGAGAACACGCCGAGCUUAAGUCAACGAAUUCCUAAGAACUCAUAAUGAAAAGAAAAUAUUGACGAAGUCGUUGAAAAAGUAGAUGCUGGAAUAUGAGUAAAAACUUGUGUUUGAUUGAUUGAUAGAUGUUCAUUACAAGGCCCUAGAGUCUACAUUUAUACCCUGCUCAAAGAGCUACAAUCAGACACGACUAGGACUCAAAUUCCAAAUUAAACGGAAUCCAUACGUAAAACGAAUUUAAACAAAACUAUCUCCCGUAACAAACCAGGACACCACCAUAGAUCAAUCGACAACCUUCAUGUUGUCCUUCCGAGUCAUCAGCAGACUUCUCAUCAUAGCCAUCAGCAAAGAUUAACACUGACCAUCGGCACGAACGCGUCACCACUUCUGGACUUAGUCACAUUCAGCUGUCUCCUCAUCGGCAAUCACCCUCAUCAGCAACUCCCCUGCAGACCAGUUACUGUUGCCACAUCUUGCCGAUCUAUAUUUUACCGAUCCCUAGGUACGUGUCAAAAAAACGGUGUCAACAGAUAGCUUGGAUUUAUGAGCUUCAGACAGAAUCUGAUUCCAAAGCUCUCAAUUCUUAGGUACCACAAGCCUAUCUUUAAACCACAAAAUUCCAUUCUCAUCAACCUAGAAAUGCUUGGUUUCUUCCUCUUUCAUCUUUCGUUUUAUGUGGUGGAUACCCACAUCAGUCUGCUGCAACUCAAUCACCCGAUUACAAAGAGAACUCUCUAGGGCAAUGUGGUGAAGCACCACUGGAUGCAUAAGGUGUGACAAGGAAGGAUCCUCAAUCAUUACUGAAUUGCAAUGCGACUUCCGACUCAAGGCAUGGUAGUGCACUUGAAGAUUAUAAUCUUUGAUCAACUCAAGCCAUCUUCGCUGUCGCAUGUUCAACUCUGGUUGAGUAAAGAUGUACUUGAGGCUUUUAUGAUCGGUGUAGAUGUUACACAAAUUACCUAAUAGAUAGUGCCUCCAGAUCUUCAAAGCAUAAACUACUGCUGCCAAUUCUAAAACAUGAGUGGGGUAAUUGACCUCUUGCUUUUGAAGUUGGUGAGACGCAUAAGCGAUGACUCUUCCUUCUUACAUAAGCACACAGCCCAGACCGAUACCGGAUGCAUCGCAAAAGACAUCAAACGACUUCUCGAUAUCGGGUUGAGCUAAGACUGGGGCUGAUGUCAGUAAGGUUCUCAACUUAUGGAAUGUCUCAUAACACUCUGGCAUCCACAGGAACUUUUCAUCUUUCUGAAGCAAACAAGUCAUAGGCUUGGAUAUAUUUUGGAAAACUUCAAAAUGAAACGACGAUAAUACCCAGCUAAGCCUAGAAAACUCCGCACCUCGUGCACUAAGGUUGGAACCUUCCAAUCCAACACUUCUUACACCUUGGUUGGAUCAACCGAGAUUCCUUCUUCAAACAAGACAUGGCCCAAGAAAGGUACUUUCUUUAGCCAGAACUCACACUUGCUAAACUUAGCAUAAAGCUGAUGCUCACGCAACUGAGUCAACACCACACGCAAAUGCUCUGCAUGUUCUUCUUCAUUCCGAGAAUAUACUAAGAUAUCAUCAAUAAAGACCACCACGAAUUUGUCUAAUUUGGGCAUGAAGACCGAAUUCAUGAGAUACAUGAAAUGCACCGGUGCAUUGGUCAGACCGAAGGACAUAAUGAGGUACUCAUACAACCCAUACCUUGUUGAGAAAGUCGUCUUGGGUAUAUCUUCAGGACGGAUCUUGAUCUCAUGGUACCCAGAUCGCAAAUCAAUCUUAGAGAAUACCUUGGCUUUAGACAACUGAUCAAACAAGAUAUCAAUGCGAGGAAGUGGGUACUUGUUCUUGAUAGUCAUCAUGUUGAGUGGAUGAUAAUCCAAUGCGCAAGGAUUGAUCCUUCUUCUUCACAAAGAUAGCCGGACAACCCCAAAGAGAAGAACUAGGAUAAAUAAGACCCUUCUAGAGAUAGGAGCAGUGCCUGGAAGCAAUUUGAUUUUAAACUCCAUGUCCCGGUCUAGAGGAAGCUGUUGACAGUAGAUAAGUAUCAAUUUUAUAUCAACAAGAGAAUGGAAUAAGGGCAUGAAAUAAUCACCAACAGUAGAAUAGGGUUUCAUCUGACAGAUUUCCAUAGGUUUUGGUGAAUGUCUGUUUCUAUAGGGGGUUAUCAGGAAUUGACCCUUAGAGGCCCACAUGUCAUGAUUACAUAGAGAGAAACGAGAUAUCUAUGCCACAUAUACAAAAGAAGGAUCUAGAAGAGUCGAGAAUCUACCAGAACAAAGUAGAACACGAGCGGAGUCUGGGGAGGGCGCCUAGAGGGGGCGGCUGCCCUGCCCUCCUGACCAAUUAGGAGCAGUCUUAUGGAUCGAGCUAUAAUCACCUUUGAGGAGCAUGGAUCUUCAUCCAUUAAGUCAGUUUGAUCCAAGGGUCACUGUUAAUCCCACCGGCCUAUAUAAGGUGGGGUAGACCCUAGGGUUAGAGGCAUUGAUUAGAAGAGAUAACCAUUCCCCUAGGGUUAGAGGCAUUGAUUAGAAGAGAUAGCCAUUCUCAUUGAUAGAAUUCAUUCUCUACCUUCUUCUCUCUAGAGCUCCAAGUUUAGAAGCAUAGCUACACAGAAUAGAUCUAGUUGGAGGCAAGCAUCACUUGGUUUCUAGAUCUGUCGAAAAGAUACUCAGUAAUUCUUGUAAUCUUUAUCCUAUUUUAUUCUAGUCCAUCAUUAUAUAUAUUAUUUCAUCAUAUUAUGAAUAUGACUUUGCUCUAUUCUAUUAUAUUGGAUAUGACUUUGCUCUACUUGCUUAUAUUCUUAAUUAUAUUGUUCUUAGUCUAUUAUGAUUCUAUGCUUGGCAUAGUUGGUUUAGAUUUAUAUUCAAAUAUAUGUUUGUAUAGCGCUCACUCUUUGAUAUCACGGGGAUGGUCGACAUUAUGUAGGUGUGGUGCCUAUAUCGUGUUUGCCUGCAUUUGCAUGCUAUAUUUCGAGUCAUGUGGUAGAUCGCGGGGAUGAUAUACCCAUUGAGUCCUCUAUAGUCCACCCUCCGAAUGUAGUUUCUGUAGACACUAAUUACGAGGAGAUGAUUGCCUUAUUCCUGAUUUUCCUCGGUAAUGUCCAUAUGUGUAGAUAUAAUCUACUCUUGCUAUGAUUGCCAAGUAUAAUUGCACUAAUCAUAAUAUGCUAGACUAUAUAGUUGGAAUAACAUAGGAGACAUCUUAGUAGAUCAUUCUAAUUCAUGUAGUGCUAUAGACCGAAGUACUCUAGAGAUACAUUUAUCAUUCUAUGUUUGAUUACUAUUCAUUAUAUAUAUUUAUCUUGAUUAUGUGACUUACCCCUGCAUUAAGUUAGAUAGAUAAGAUGUGGUUACCCUCAUGAGAUUACAUGCAAGUGGUAUCUAUUCCCUUGGUUAUCAUUCCUGUGGGUAAAAUUAUAAAUACGAUACCUAGAACUUUCCUGGGUGAAAUGCUACAGUGGUAUACAUCUGUGCACUUGCGGAUACCUGAUUCUAUAUUCAUCAUUCUAAGAGAGCAUUGCAUAUUUACUACCACUAGCGUAUUUCUUGGGGUCAUGCUGGGGAUGACAACCUAGCCACUGAGGAUAGGGUCUUUACUCUACUCUUAGUAAGUGAUGCUAAGAAAUGCCAAUAGAAGCCCGGGCAAGUCAUCAGGAAAGAUAUCCAAAAACUCACACACCACCAAAAUGUCCUUGUUGGCACUAGAUGUAACUGCAUUCAUCGUGUUGUGGAUGUUAAUAUCGCGAGGAAGUUGCACUAAGAUGCCUCCUUAGUGCUAGGAUCCCUCAACAUCACCAUGCGAGUAGUGGUGUCAAUAAGGACCCCAUUGCCACUCAUCCAUUUCAUUCCCAAUCACAUCUAUGCCCACACCAGGCAAAACAACCAAAUCAGCAAGAAACUAACGGUCUCCUAUUUCUAGAGUUGUCCCCAAACCACUUGAUUUGUUGAAAUAUUAUUCCAGGAGGCACUAAUGCAAUAACUGCCUUUAUCAAGGGUGACUGCCUUGAGAUUAUGCUUAGAUACAAAGUUUGAACUCACAAAUGAAUGCGAUGCUCUAGAAUAAAAAGCACAAGUGCAACACAUCAGUUAACUAGAAACUUACCAGCCAUCACCAUUUCACCAGCAAGGAUCUCUUCGGCGGGUAUGGGCAGUUGGUUUGCUAAUGACUCGUCUGAUUGCAAUUCUAGCACGGGCGGUUGGCAGGUGGAGCCUUGGCAUUGUUGGGCCUAGUGUUUCCCCUAGGAAGAACAAUGGAAUACCCCUUACGGAACCUAGUUUUCAUCGGAUUCUUCAUCACUGGAGGUUUGUACCGCAUAUUUGGGGUUGGCGCACGAUACUGGGGCUUCGCUGCCACUAGAGCCUUGGACUCGGAUGCCUCGGCCUCAAAAGCUCGCGAGUUUUGGUCGCAGUGUACACAACAUUGUAAUUCUCCUGAGUAAGAGCAUCAUAGACAAACUCAUUGAAUGUAGCACAUUUGGUAUGACCCAUAGUCUUCAACAACUUGGGACCAAGACCUCUCUUGAAACUGGUAAUUUUCUUUACCUUAGUGCUCACGAACUCAGGUGCAUACUUGGAUAAAUGAUUGAAAGCAUGCAAGUACUCCUUCAAGGUUUUGUUAUCCUGGGUUAGCUGCAUAAACUCAGUAUGCUUCACCAUGAGCCCCAGGGGUAUAAAGUGCCCCUUGAAUGCCUCAUGGAAUAGAUUCCAGUCAACCACUGUAUUCUCUGGGAGGGCAUUCCUAUAAUGAUUGCACCAGAUACUAGCGGGACCUUGUAGUUGAUGAGCUGCAUACUCAGCCUUCAGACUGUCGAUCAACCUGAGCAAGCAGAACUUCUGCUCCACCAUGUUCCGCCAUUCCUCAGCCUGAAGGGGUUCCUCAGCCUCCUUGAAAGGUGGGGGCUUGGUCCAUGAAGUCCUUGAAGCUGCUGUAUUGGUUGGGUGCCGGCCCAUGUUGUACAUCUCGGCCCCCUUGAUUUGCCAUCUAAUGAAUAGUGUCAGUUAACAACCUUUGUGAAAGGAUCAAGAUGCCCAAGAGGGGGGGGUGAAUUGGGCUUCUCUAAAAAUUUAAGCAACCUAUAAGCUCCAAUUCACCCGCUUGUGCCUAGGUGUGUUCUAUGGAGGUACCAGAUAAAAGUUUUGCAACCUAGUUCCAAUCCUAUUCUAGCAUGGCAUUAUAGAAUUGUAAAUGCUCAAAGUAAAUGCUAGAAUGUAAAGGAUGAGAGCUAGAAGAAUGUAGCAAUGUUUUGCCGAGGUAUCAGAGAGUCGCCACUCUCUACUAUUCCUCAUUGGAGCACCUGUGCAAGGGCCUUGCUCCCCCUUGGUCCGCUUAAGGACCAAGUGCUCUCUAUGGGCUGAUUCUUCAACACUCCGUCGCGGUGAAUCACCCAAAACCACUCACAAGCUUGACACGAGCCACCCACAAGAACUUUGGGCAGUCUUCGUGCCUCUAAUCACCACCGAACCAUCUAGGUGAUGGUGAUCACCAAGAGUAACAAUCAAAGAACUCUCACUUAACCCAAACAAGGCUCUAGAGAGUGGUGGAUGCACACUUAAACUCUUGGAACUCAACUAGAGAAGGAUUCACUCAAGAAAUCACUCAAUUCUCAAUCCUCUCUAGGCUCUUUGCACCACAAGGUGUGACUCAGCUGAUCAAAUGGGCAAGAGACCUCCCAUGGACGAGGUGAAGGAGUAUAAAUACCCCCCAUCAAGUCCAAGGGCCGACCACCCGAAUUCCUCCAAAAACGGGAGCACCGAAUGCGCUCCGCAGAUCGUCCGGUGCUCCAUCAAUAGCUAAUUGUACUUGCUCUGCAACACACCAGACGCACCCACAGUGGAUCCGGUGACUCACUUGGAUCGUGUCCGGUGCUAGGGCAAACUUCAACCCUCUCUGGGUAUGGGACCAGACGCACCCUAGUGGGUCUGUUGCGUGCGUCCGGUGCUCGGUCAAACUGUAGACCUCCCUAGGUAAGGGACCGGAUGCACCCCGACGAGUCCAGUGUGUGCGCCCCGUGCCUAACCCUAGGCACCCAGGCACGCUGACCCAAGUCAGCACCACUGGACGCGCUCAUAGAGCGUUUGGUGCCUGUUUCAGCAUAAAAACUUCGUCAAAGUGCAAUCUUUCCAAAAUGAAGUUUGUUCCCCUCGAUCUAAGGACUUUCUCAGAGCUACCUAGUGCUAGGUUUACCAAGUGUGCACCACACCUAAAUCUAAAGCCUUGCCUAGGUCAAGCUACCCACUCAAUGCCCCCUUAACAGUAUGGUCAAAGGAAAAACAAAGUCCUAAACUACUCUAGGUGCCCUUCUUCACCAUAUGGCCCCUAGACCUAGUCUAGUUUCGAUGAUGUCCAACAAUCCUUUGAAAACCAAAACAAUUUCCACCAUUAAGUCGGCAUGAAUGAUCUAGUCCAUCAAUCACCAUUACCAUGACCUAACAUAAAUGACUUUGCCUCUACAAAACACACGUUAGUCAUAGUAAUCAACAUUGUCAUUAAUCACCAAAACUCAUUAGGGGCCUAGAUGCUUUCAGUCUCCUCCUCUUUGGUGAUUGAUGAGAAUAACCUCGAGUAUGUUUGAAGUGAGGUUUUCAAUUAACUUGGUUUCUAUAAGCAUGUGACAAUAAGAACAAAAAAGAUUAGACAUGCUUAUAUCAACCAAGCCUGAUAUCCUGUAUCCUGAAAUGUAAGAUGUGUGCAACAGGAUACAACAACAUAAGGCUCAUAAGAUAUUGGAGUAAGAACAUAGGAGCAAAACAAAAUGAGCCAAACACAUGACAUAAAGGAUAUUAUCAUAAAGCAUAAGUCAUGUCUCACAACUAUAACAAAAAGUAUCUCACAAAUGCAUAAAGUAAACAUGAUGCAUGAAGAGUGUCGCCGAAAGCUAGUCGGCAGUUUACCUUGGGGUAUACCCAUGGUAGUAGUUUAUCGGUAGACGGUGCGCAAACUACGAACUCGAUGGUGACGCAAGACACGGACAAGCUUUUUAUCCAGGUUCGGCCGCCGAGUUGGCGUAAUACCUACGUCCUGCGUCUGAUUGUAUUGGAUUGUGUUGAGAGAUAAUGUGUCCUAGGGGGGUCCCUUGCCCCUCCUUAUAUAGUCUGGAGGGCAGGGUUACAGAUCUGGAAACUAAUCCUAGUCGGUUACAAUUGCCAUUGAUAAUUCGAUAUCAAUUCCUAUUCUAACCGACUAGAAUCCUGCUUGAUCUCCACGUCUUCUUUCCUUGCGCGAAACUUCAAGUUGUCGGAUCAAGCCUUGAACUCGUCUCGUAAUGGGCCAAGCCUCCUAGCCCAAGUCUAGCCGUAAGGGUAUAAGGGUUUAUACCCCCACAGCUAGUCCCCGAGCACCAUGUAUUGUGAUGUAACACGCCGUCUUGAGCUUCUUCGAUCAGUGAGGCUUGACGUAUCGAAGAAGCAGGUUGUUUGAAGAAUGCAUGGUGCUCUAAAUUAAAAAAGAUUUCUUUCCUGGUGAAGUGUGCCCACUUUACUUUUCUGAAAAGUAUAAACCUCAAAAAAGCAAGCAUAUUCACCGCAAGGUGAAGUGUGCCCACUUAGUCCCCGAGCCUGGUAGUAGGUGGCGUAGGCACGUGGUGCCAGGGUCAAAAGAAAAGUCCUUAAAGAAAUUUUGAAACUGAGAUGCAUCGCCAGAUGCAUCGUACCGAUGUAGUCCCCGAGCUUGCUGGAAGGCGAAGUAUGAGCCUUAUAGCAAGGUCUAAAAAAUUAAAUUUACCAGUUCGUCUGCAAUUGGAUAGACUAAUCGACCAGUCCCCUGGUGUACAAUAGUAUGACGACCAGUCCCCAAGCACCAAGUGCGCUCCUUAAAAUUCUACGUUGCUAUACUGGACGACCAGUCCCCGAGCAUCAAGUGCUCGGUGGUCGGUACAGUCUUUGAAGUUCCCAGUUGAUAUACUGGACGACCAGUCCCCGAGCAUCAAGUGCUCGAUGGUCGGUACAGUCUUUGAAGUUCCGAGUUGAUAGACUAAGCGACCAGUCCCCGAGCAUCAAGUGCUCGGUGGUCGGUGCAGUCUUUGAAGUUCCGAGUCGAUAGACUAGGCGACCAGUCCCCGAGCAUCAAAUGCUCGGUGGUCGGAGCAGUCUUUGAAGUUCCGAGUCGAUAGACUAGGUGACCAGUCCCCGAGCAUCAAAUGCUCGGUGGUCGGAGCAGUCCCCGGUUUGUUGACUCCCUACCAAUUUUAUCUGCUUUUUUUGAAAAAAUUUCCACACAAAGAGUUGACGUGACGAGACCUUCUGACGGGAUGUCAGAUGGAUGCAUGAAAAGUUGCGCCUGGCAACUGUACAGCCGCCCUUUGCGCGGUUUGAGAAAAGGAAACCAUCAAUUUGUAUGAAAACUCCACCGCAUUAAUUGUCGAUAAUCAUUGAAAACCGAACCGUCGCGUCCGCCGUAUGGCCCGCCCAUUUCCCAAGAAUGCGGGAAGUGGGACGGGUGAAGUUGCGGGUUAUAAGAGUUCGACAGUCCCGCCUGUAUUGCUUACCCUACCAUUGCCUUCAAGCCUUCGACUCUUGCCUCCUACAAUCACUCGCAUCUUCCUAACUCAAAUCCACUUCCUCACCUCCAAUGGCGAAGAGCGACUCCAAGAAGAGGGCCGAGCUGAUGGCCAAGGAGUGGAAGAAAUCUCGCAGCACCACCAAGUCUCUUUGUGACCUCGUCGAUAUGGGGCUUCUGCACGGCCCGGAGCUCGGCGGCUGGAGAGCGCCGGAAGGAGAGAGCUUCCCCGACCCCCGUGCCGGUGAGAUCGUGGUAUUCGAAGACUUCGUUAAGAGGGGUUUUGGGGUUCCUGUUUAUCCCUUUCUUCAGGGUCUUCUUCUUUAUUAUGAGAUCAGGAUUUGCAAUCUGCACCCGAACUCAAUCCUUCUUAUUUCUACAUUUAUCCAUUUGUGCGAAGCCUAUGUUGGCAUAGAACCGCACUUCGACCUUUUCCGCUAUCUUUUUUGUUUAAGAAAGAAGGGAGCAGUUGGAGGCUCCAAGGUUACAGGUGGAGUAUACCUCAACCUUCGUGACGGAAUGAAGAAUCGCUACCUGCACUGUCCAGGGAACACUUCCUUGACCGAAUGGUACAGGAAGUGGUUCUACAUCAGGGAGGAACCGGGCAGCUCCACGUUCUGCGACGUGGGAUACAUUCCUGAGAAGAGGGUAAGCUGGACCGACCGCUCGGAGUUCGAUGGUCAAGUGGCGGACCUCAUGAAGCUGAUCGACUGGUCGCGCCUAGACGGGCUUGGCGUGGUCGGCAACUUCAUUUGUCGUCGGGUGAUGCCCUGCCAGAAGAGGGUGCACUCGGCGUACGAGUAUGCCGGAAGCGUGGACCCGACCAGGAUGCGACCUGAGAUCCUGGAGAAGGCGGAGGUACAGCAGCUGUUGAACGAGCUGUUCAACUUCGCGGACGGAGGCUUCAUCCGUGGUAGUGAUCGGGUGCAAGCUUUCAAGUUGGGACGACCAGCACCAAAGGUGCGUUACAGAUUAUUUUGUUUUAGCAUUCGUAUAUCGUCUGCAGCUGGCUCAUCUUUGUUGCUUUUGCAGAUCGGCGAUGUCGACCGGUGCACUGUUUAUGUAUCACUGGCACCGGGGAUGGAGAAUCCUGCGGGAGAAGAUCCGCCAGAGGAGGACGCUGCUCGGUGUACUCAUUACACCAGCAGUGAGGAAGACCAGGCCCGCCCCGUCCCGACCACCGAGGAUAGGGUGACGGGGAAAAGGCCAAUGCCCGCGGAUCCAUCGCCGGCGCUGACGCUGCCGGCAGAGAGCAGCCGAGCGCCAAAGCGACGUCGGUUCGUUCGGAUCGACGACGACGACGAGGAGGAGGAGGAGGCCGUACCGUCGUUGGUCCGGAGGCCUCAUAGUCGUCCGGACAGCGGGCCGACCACUGCUGAUCGUGUGGCCGGCGACCCUCCUGCGCCUCGUGUUGCAGAGUCGGGGGCACAGGAGCCGACUGGCCGGACGAGGAGGAGGUUCACCGCGACCCACCGUCGCUCAGACCUGUAAGUGUUCGACUUACGCAUUUCGGCGAUUUUUUUUUUAAUUCCACUUUUGUUCCUUUAGCGCAGCGUCGGAUGUCAACCCCGGCCAUGCCGCCGGCCAGGGGACAGGUGAGCCUGUCUGCGCUGCUGAAGACGUGGCGCCGCAGACCACAGAGCAGCCUACGGCUGCAGCCGUGCCUGUGAGUACCGAGGAGCUUCCGGCCAUGGCACCGACUACGGCGAGCAGCCCGACCAUCCCCACGCCGCCCCGAGCCGGGACCGCUUCGACCGCAGGAUCCCCGGGUCUGGUCCGGGGGCCAGUAAUGCCUGCGACUACUACCGGGGGCAAUGCAGCGAGGGAGGAGGAAAACCAGGCGGCCUCCGACGAUGAGGUGGAGGAGAUUGAAGGUCAUCCCCGUGAUGGCCGCCAACACGUGUAUGUGUGGCGCCAACGCGGGGAUCACUUUAUCGGGCAUGAGGAGCUCGCCGAGACCGAGGAGGCCGCCAGGGUGGAGCGCGCGGCCAAACGCCUCGUCGACGAAGUCAAGGUAAGCGAUUCUUUGUACUGCUGUACAUUCUGUGCGUUGUCUUGCUUGGUCGACAUAUGUUUGCUUUGUAGGGCGCGAUGAAAACAGCGAAGUACCGGAAACGGUGCUUCGACCAGAUAGAAGGCGUCGUGGCCGAGAACAAGGCCCUGGCCGCGGAGGUGGACCGGCUGCGGCCGAAGGUUGGGGAGAAGGUGGCCGAGAUGAAUGCCCAGGAGGAGCAUCGUCUCGAGCUUACCCGUCGCUUGGCCGACCAGUACCGGCAGCGAGAAGGUUAGUCACGCUCUCCGAGCAGCUUUGUGUAGCUGUGUAAUUUGCUUUACUGAUCAGGUUAUGAUUCACUUAGACAUGGAGGAGGAGGUGGCGCGGCUCCGACAGGAGAAGGAGCAGCUCAACCAAGAGCUCGCUGGUGCGCUGGAGUCCGGGCGCCGAGCAGGAGAAGAGUUGGGUCGGAAGGACCGGGAGUUAUCUGGUAAUACGCGUCGCCUUGUUAUCUGCCGCUUGUUGCCCCCUUUGUUUUUUGAUAUGUCGAAAAUAACGUCCUGCUUGAUUUGCAGUGCUCAAGGUGAACGCUAAGAAGCACCUGGAUGAGCUGGUCAACGACCGGGACUCCUGGAAGGUCAAUUGUUGUAAGAUCUGGAAAGGAGUAUCCCCGGUCCUGGAUCUGAUCAGUCCCGAGCUCCCAGAGAGCCAGCCCCGCGCGCCGAAGUUGACUCCGGUGGAGAAGGCGCAACGGGCGUGGGACUGGCUCCAGCAAUUCGUGAAGGACGCUGGGGAGUUUGCCGGCGCGCAUGUCCUUAGCAUGGUGCGCGCCCAUUACCCCUUGGUCGACUUGUCCAGGCUGGAGAAAGGGUACCCCAAGGAGGUCGGCCCGCAGGAGGCGGACGAGCUUCGGGGUGGUCUGCUGGACUUGUCGUCGACGGUGAUCGGCGACAUCAAUCUGUGCGGAACGGCCACUCCCCCAGACCAGUCGGGCUCAGAUAGGUCGGCCAGGGAGCUGUCAGGCGCGUCCAUUGCGGGAGAUGGGCGGUCGACGCCUGCGGUCUCGACCAGCCAGGCGCCGGUGGCCCCGACCCCUUUGUCCGGGCAGCAGGGCUAAGCGGGUGAUCGACCCGAGCAGUUAGGCCGAUAGGGUAGUCUGUAGGAAUAGACUAGCGUCUGCCCGUCAGGUUAUUUAUUGUAAACUUUGUAUGUGAAGUUUGUAAUAAAGUUUGCUUUUGUCAUGACUGUUAUUUUGAGCGCUGUAUAAUUAUCUGUGUGACGUGUCACUGUACUUGACUUUGUAGUCGCUAAGAGCUUCCGUUGCAGAAGGUUUGCCGAGUUCUGCGUGCAGCAAAGUAUAGGCAAAAAAUAGAAAACUUUAUUAUUGACAAUUAUAAGAUAUUUACAAGCGAAAGUUAUUAGAACUUAUGGAUAAAAUCGUCGAAGUUUGUCUAUGUGCCAAGAGUUAGGCACGCGUGUUCCGUCUGGGUAUGCCAAUCUGUAGGACGUGGGUCGUGUUACUUCGGCGACCACGAAGGGUCCUUCCCAGGGAGUGGAUAACUUGUGCAUUCCCUCUUGGCUUGUUCUCCACCUAAGUACCAGAUCGCCGACCAUGAAGGAACGGUCCUUGACAUUCCUGUUGUGGUAUCGCCUGACUGCCGCGAGAUACUUUGCUGUUCGGAGACAAGAAUUCAAACGCUUUUCCUCCAUGCAAUUGAUUUCGAGUUCUCUGGCAUUGUCGGCUAUCGCCUGGUCAAAGUGUUCAAUCCUAGGAGAUCCGAAGGUUAUGUCAGACGGUAGGACUGCCUCGGAGCCGUAAACCAUGAAGUAGGGAGACACUCCUGUGUUCCGACUGGUCUGUGUUCGGAGGCCCCAGACCACUGCCGGCAACUCUUUCAUCCAUCGACCGGGUGCUCUGUCGUUCUCGGUGUACAGUCUUUUCUUUAGGGCAUCAAUGAUCAUUCCGUUUGCGCGUUCAACUUGACCAUUGGCCCGUGGAUGAGCCACUGACACAUAUUUUAUGACUAUGCCCCUGUCAUCGCAGAAGUCCCAUAAUGUGGUGCCAGUGAAUUGAGUACCCAGGUCGGUGAUUAUGCUGUUCGGGAUGCCGAACCUAUGUAUGAUUUGAUUGAGGAACUCCACAGCCUUCUCGGAGGUCGCUUUGACCAGAGGCAUGUAUUCGAUCCACUUGGAGAACUUGUCGAUUAACACGAAAACAAACUUGAAGUUGCCGGGAGCUGGUUUAAAUGGCCCGAUCAUGUCAAGCCCCCAGCAAGCAAAGGGCCAGGACGACGGGAUGGUUUGAAUUUCGUGAGCAGGUGCGUGGGUCCUUUUAGCGAAGAGCUGACAUCCCUCGCAGUGCCGGACCAGUUUUUCUGCGUCGCUAACCGCGGUUGGCCAAUAAAAACCUGCCCGGAAGGCUUUCCCGACCAAUGUUCUGGAUGCGGCGUGAUUGCCGCAGGAUCCAGCGUGUAUGUCUUCUAGGAGCUUCAUACCAUCAUCUUGGGAUAUGCACUUGAGCAGUACUUCAGAGCUUGCGUUUUUUCGCAUGAGUUUGCCGUCGACCAGGAUGUAGUUCUUUGACCGUCGAAUGAGGCGCUCGUUCUCUGUUUUGUCCUGAAAGCCUGUCCCGUCCGAUAUAUACUUGUUGAACGGGGUACGCCAAUCACGACCACCGGUUGUCGGAGUGGCGUCGUCUAUGAGCAUUGCCUCGGUGGGUUCCUUUUCGACCAGGGUAGAGCCUACGCUUGGCUCGUGUAUGUCCUGGAUGAAAAUACCCCGCGGGAUCUGGGCCCGAGAUGACCCUAACUUCGACAACGCAUCUGCUGCCUGAUUCUUAUCCCGGACCACGUGGAUGUACUCUAUGCCGUAGAAGUUGGUUUCCCAUUUGCAAAUUUCUUUGCAGUAGAGAUCCAUCUUCUCGUGGGUUGCGUCCCACUCCUUGUUGAGCUGGUUGAUAACCAGGGCAGAGUCGCCAUAGACAUAGAGGCGUUUGACUCCCAGCUCAACGGCUAGCCUUAUGCCGUGCAGGCAUGCUUCGUAUUCGGCGACAUUGUUUGACGCCAGAAAGAGGAUCCUAAGGACGUAACGCAGCUUGUUCUUGUUAGGCGACACGAACAGUAUCCCAGCGCCGUUGAUGUUCAAGGAUCCGUCAAAGAACAUUGACCAGUGGUCGGAGACAUCGGGAACGGGAGGCUCGUUGAGAUCUGUCCAUUCAGCAAUGAAAUCGACCAGGGCCUGAGACUUGACUGUGGUGCGGCUCUAGAACUCCAGGGAAAAUGGGCAUAAUUCCAUCGCCCAUUUCACGAUUCUGCCGUUGGCGUCUUUACUGCGCAGAAUGUCCCCGAGAGGGAAACUGGUGGUUACCAAGACUCGAUGGCCGUCGAAGUAGUGCUUCAGCUUUCUUGAUGUUAUUAGAAUGGCGUAUAUGAGCUUCUGUAUUUGUGGGUACCUGGCCUUGGACUCGUUUAAGACUUCGCUUAUGAAGUAAACGGGUCUCUGGACCUUAUAGGCAUGACCUGGUUCAUCUCGCUCGACCACUAUUGCUGUGGAAACAACCCUGUCGGUUGCAGCAAUGUAAAGUAGUAGGUCUUCAUCGGGCUGAGGCGGUGUAAGGACAGGUGGUGAAGUGAGAAAAGUCUUAAGCUGAGUGAAUGCGGCGUCGGCUUCCUCUGUCCAAGAAAAUUUUUCCGACGCUUUCAAGAGUUUGAAGAAAGGGAGGCCUUUUUCUCCUAGUCUUGAGAUGAAGCGACUGAGGGCGGCCAUACAUCCGGUAAGCUUCUGAAUAUCCUUGACGUUUUUAGGUGGUCGCAUGUCGAGUACUGCUUUUACUUUUGAAGGAUUUGGCCGUAUGCCGUCACGACUGAUAAUGUUGCCGAGCAGUAGACCAGAAGGAACACCGAAGAUGCACUUUUUGGGGUUUAGCUUCCACUUGUACCUAUUAAGUGCCUUAAAAGUUCGGUCUAAGUUGUCGAUUAGGGUGCUCGCAUCCCUUGUUUUGACGACCACGUCGUCUACAUAGGCUUCGACGAGGUCAUCACGAAUCUCGUCGUGGAGGCACUGCUGGAUGGCCCGUUGAUAAGUGGCUCCGGUGUUUUUGAGUCCGAAUGACAUGGUCGUGUUUAUUGAGAUCAGUGUAAUCAACGCACAUUCUCCAUUCAUUAUUCUUUUUGCGUACAAGAACCGGAUUGGCGAGCCAAUCGGGGUGAUACACUUCUUUUAUGAAUCCGGCUGCUAGAAGCCGUGUUAUUUCUAUCCUAAUAGCCUCCUUUAUGUCACGAGCGAACCGUCGUAGCUUUUGCUUGAUUGGUCUUGCGGUCUUCGAGACAUUUAAGGAGUGCUCGAUCAGGUUUCGUGGGACGCCGGGCAUAUCUGCGGGUUUCCAUGCGAAAACGCUCACGUUGUCCAUAAGGGUAUAGGGGUUUAUACCCCCACAAAGAGUAGCACACAAAAGAACCAAAAGCCCACUCACUAGCUCCCCCUAAAUCUAACAUACUCUCCCUCUCCUCCUUUGGCAUCAAACGCUAAAAACCUAAGAAGCUACAGGUGGAGGUGGAGCGGAGGAGUCACGUGGCACUGCCUCAAAAUGAGCUGUUGUUCGGUAUUUUAAACUCAAACAAAAAAAUCCGCAAGCGCACGGAUACCGAUGUAACUUUCACCCGAGAGUAUUCCAGAGUAUCGAUUUUCCACAGGGAACGUGAGUGUACUAAUUAAGAUUCAAGAUUGCCCAAGGAUAACUAUAUAAUUAUUUUUGGUGGGAAGAGAGGAAGUUUUCUGAGAGUUCUCUAGUUGAUCUAAGAAUCAAGAAUUACUUCAAAGAUUAUUUAUUUUGGGACAUCAGAACACUAACCAUAGAAAGAGAUGAGAUAGGGGGCUAGGAAGCUCUGACUACGGUCCUACAAACACCGAUCCGAACGAGGUGGAAUACGUCGACCGUUAGGGCUGUCACUACCCUAGGGCUACCACAAUAAUCCGCAGGAUUGGGUGCAAUUCUAGGUAAUUGCAAGACUAAACACCACGUCUAAUCUAUUAAUUACUACUCUAGCAUUAUAAAGACUAGAGCACUUGAUGCAAGCGGGAAUCCAAUAAAUAACUUGAAUGUAAAUAAAAGUUAUUAAAGAACUCAGGAAUUAUGAAUUGAAGAACUUGGAGAACGUUUAAGAACGAACCAGUUGCUGCAAAAGUACAAUGUUGAGGAAGAUCCGACAAAUCUGGCACCUCCUCCGCUCUCCUCUUCUCUCUCCCUAUUUUCUAGAUUACAACUAGAACUAACUAGAACUAGAACUAGAUGAACUAGAACUAGAAGUAGAUGAGCUAGAGGGAUCUCUCUACUUGGAUGAAUAAUUGAAACCCUAGCUUUGAUUGUGUAGAAGAGGUAUGUUCGACAGGGGCUAGGGGGGCCUGCUUAUAUAGCCCUUCCAAAUGAACGUGGGCCGUCGGAUCAAACCGACCUUAAUCGCACGGUUCUCCUUGACCCUCAAAGGCAGUGGAGCACGAUCCGCGAGAUUUGCCCUGAUUGGUCACCAGUGCAGGGCGGGCGCCCAAGGGGGGGAGGGCGGGCGCCCUCCCCCCGGGCCCGCUCGGCCUCCCGUUCGUUCCCCUGGCUUCUGGAGUCUUCUAGAUGAUAGAAAAUUGGUGCACACGUUAAUAUCUCUAUGUAAACUCGACGUGUGGGCACUUUCCUCCAUAUUUCCUCAUAACCCCCUACAGAAAUAGACAAACACCAAAACUCGUGGAAUUCUAUUAGAUGAAACGCUAAUUUUGGAUGUUGGUUGCAUAUAGCUCCUUUUCCAAGAUUGGUUGACGGUUAAAUGUGAGCAUUAAGGACCGUCAACAAGCUCCCCCAAGCUUAACCUUUGCUUGUCCCUGAGCAAAGCUAAAAUCAGCAAGAAGACAGGGGUUACUUUUAUGCCUCUUACUACAGAGACCUUAAGUUAUCACUAAGGUCCUAAGUGAUUGAAAAACAGAACGAUCAAGUCAAGCACUAUGUCUCUAGUUCUUCUGUCUUACCUUUGUUCUGGAGUUUUUUUUGUAAGUUUCCAAAAUAAAACUAAGGCAUUUGGCUUCUUCUCGAAAGAUAUAUAAGUAGAGCUUUAAAAGUUUUAGCAUACUUACUUUGCAUUUUGCUAUGUCAAUGCUCGGAGCAAGGGAGAGGAAUGUCAUACUCCUAGAUCAAGACCUUUGACCUUUUUGAAAAGUUUGUCAUCUCUUACUGGCAUAUUGCUUAUUAGAGGGACCAUGGGCUAUCAUUUUUUUCUUUCUUUUUUAGUCUCUCUCUCUUUUUUUUAUGAAGUGGGCACCAAGUACCCCUAAUUCUACUGUCGGACAUGUGUCCAUUUUUUCCACUCAGGUGGGUAUCUUUGUACCCCUAAUUCUACUUCGGACACUUGUCCAUUUUUACCUCUCGUCUCACUCUUUUUUUUGAAUCAAAUUUUUGCAUAGUCCUAUGCCUCUAACGCAAUAAUACUUCAAAAGAGUGAAUCUUUUAUAUUUUUAAAAAGACCUUGAUCUUUGGAGCAUGAUAAUUCUCUCAACCGAAACUACAAGAAUUAACAAUGGCUUGAACAAAGCAAGUGCCCACAGUUUUAAUAUUUAUAUCUUAUAAGACUCUAGGUAUUAUGUCAAACGGGAUCUCAUUCCUUUUUUUCGAAUUUUAGAUUUUCAAAAGAUAAAAUCUCCAGAACUCUAGCAAAACUUGGAACAAGUUAAAUAGUAGCUCAGACCUUCUCAUAUCAUGUUUGUCAAUUACCUAUACUUGGAUCAAACUUUCUUUUUAUUUUAUUAAAAACUUAGGAUUACACAAAACUAUUGUAUAUUACUCAAAAUAAAAACUUUGUUUUGGUUUCAUGGUUAUGCAUUAUUUAUUUAUUUAUUUUUGAAUACUAGUAAAUAAAACCAAGAAAGAAAAGUAAUACUUAUCUAGAUAUAAGUGGGGGUGCCUCCCCCAAACUGGAUGCUUGUGGCCUGCAUGUUCGGUCUCACUCUUCUUAAAGCUCAAAAUCCUGCACAACCCAAAUAGACAACAAAACUCAUGGAGCAUGUUAAGGUUUAGGUAAUUGUCUAGAGCUUAUGAGAGCUUAAUGUGAGAAUUCUACAAACUCAAUUACAUCAAGUUCCUCUGCCAGGUUGUUUUGUGGCUCGAGAUAGAUUUUCAAGCGUUGACCAUUUACCUUAAAAGUGUUACCUAUGUUGUCUUGGAUGGUAAUGGCUCCAUGAGUUGAAGUGUCAAUAACCUUGUAUGGUUCAUCCCACUUACUUCGUAGCUUACCAUGCCCAAAGAGCUUAACUCUUGAAUUGAAUAGUAGAACCUUAUCUCCAGGCUUAAACCCCUUGUUCUCGAUUCUUUUAUCAUGCCAUCAUUUUGUUCUCUCUUUAUAGAUCCUUGAAUUGUGGUAGGCUUUCUCUCUCCAUUCUUCUAGCUCAGAUAGUUGCAUCAGACGAUUCUCGCUAGCGAGGUGGAGAUCCAUGUUCCAUUUCUUGAGUGCCCAAUGAGCCUUAAACUCUACUUCCACAGGCAAAUGACAAGUUUUUCCAUAUACAAGUUGAUAAGGUGACAUGCCUAUGGGUGUUUUGAAUGCAGUUCUAUAUGCCCAAAGUGCAUCAGGAAGUUUGUCCUUCCACCCCUUACCCAUCUCAUCUACGGUCUUUUGUAAAAUAUUUUUGAUUUGUUUGUUAGAUGUUUCGGCUUGACCGCUAGUCUGAGGAUGGUAUGGUGUUGCGACGUUGUGUCGAACUCCAUGAUCGGCUAGGUAUUUCCGGAAGAUUUUGUCGAUGAAGUGGGAACCUCCAUCGCUUAUAACUAUCCGGGGUAUACCAAAGCGAGGAAAGAUUACUUCAUGGAACAUUCUCUUGGCAUGUUUUGAAUCAGCUGAUCGACAAGGUAGGGCUUCUACCCAUUUGGACACGUAGUCCACAACUACUAAGAUAUACUCGCAAUUCCCGGACAUAGGGAAUGGCACCAUGACCCCAUACACCGAAAACUUCUACUUGAAGAUUAUUUGUGAGAGGCAUUUCAUUUCGUGAGUUGAUAUUCCCAUGUUUUUGAGAUCGGUGACAUCUCCUGACAAAGUCCUUUGUAUCUUCAUACAUCGUUGGCCAGAAAAACCAACUUUACCAAAUUUUAGCAUGUGUCCAGAAUUCUCCAUAGUGUCCUCCAUAUGGCGAGGCAUGGCAUCUUUCCAUAAUUUGAGUAGCCUCAGCCAUAGGAACACACCUUCUCAAGAGUCCAUCAGCGCAGACUCGAAAAAGAUAUGGCUCAUCCCAAAGGUGGAAACGACUAUCGUGAAGCAACUUCCUUUUGUUUGUACCAGGUGGGACAUAGCCUUUUUCUAUAAAGUUUACGAUGUCAGCGUACCAUGGAUCUGCAUGUGUUACCUUAAGCAGGGUGUCAUCCCUUAGGUAGUCAUUUAUGGGAAGCUCAUCAUGUGUUUCCUUAUAUUGAAGCCUAGACAAGUGGUCAGCUACGAAAUUCUCUACUCCCUUCCUAUCACGGAUUUCUAUGUCAAAGUCUUGGAGUAGAAGAAUCCAUCGAAUUAGACAAGGCUUAGCAUCUUUCUUAGUGAGGAGGUACUUGAGAGCAGCACGGUCUGAAUAGAUUAUUAUCUUUGCCCCCACUAAGUAAGACCAAAACUUGUCUAUAGCAAAUACAACAGCCAAAAGCUCUUUUUCAGUUGUAGUGUAAUUGAGCUGUUGUCCAGACAAGGUUUUGCUAGCGUAGGAUAUGACAUAAUGCUUUUUAUCCUUGGUUUGUCCUAAAACGGCACCAACCGCAAAAUCGCUAGCAUCACACAUGAUCUCCAAAGGAAGAUUCCAAUCAGGUGGCUGGAUAAUCGGGGCUGAGAUGAGUGCUUUCUUAAGAGUUUGAAAAGAUUCAUGACACUCAUUACUAAAGAUAAAAGGUGCAUCCUUAGCUAGGAGACUAGUUAGGGGUCUAGCAAUUUGAGAGACUUGAUAAAGCGUCUAUAGAACCCUGCAUGCCCCCAAAAAGCUACGGAUUCCUUUCACAUUCGUGGGAGGUGGAAGUUUUUCAAUAACUUCAAUCUUUGCUUUGUCCACCUCUAUACCAUGUUCGGACACUUUAUGUCCUAGCACUAUUCCUUCCUGAACCAUAAAAUGGCAUUUCUCCCAGUUUAGGAUUAAGUGCUUUUCUUCACAUCGCUGCAAGUCUCUAUCUAAAUUCUCCAAACAAUGAUCGAAGGUUUUGCCAUAGACGGAAAAAUCAUCCAUGAAAACCUCCAUGAUCUUCUCAAUCAUGUCCAAGAAAAUAGACAUCAUGCACCGUUGGAAAGAAGCUGGAGCAUUGCACAAUCCGAACGACAUUCGUCGGUAUGCAUAAGUUCCAUACAGGCAUGUAAAGGUAGUCUUUUCUUGGUCAUCUGGGUGGAUUGAGAUUUGGUGAUAUCUAGAAUAACCAUCAAGGAAACAGAAGAAAGAGUGGUUUGCAAGCCGUUCCAACAUUUGAUCAAUGAAGGGUAACGGAAAGUGAUCAUUCUUUGUAGCCUUGUUGAGUUUUCGAUAGUCAAUACACAUACGCCACCCAGUGACAAUUCGUUAAGGGAUGAGUUCAUUCUUCUCAUUCCUAAUGACUGCCAUUCCUCCUUUCUUUGGCACUACUUGGACAGGGCUAACCCACUCACUAUGUGGCACAGGAUAAAUAAUCCUAGCAUGAUAGAGUUUGAGGACCUCUUUCUUAACAACCUCUCGCAUAGCAUUGUUAAGUCUUCGUUGUGGUUCCCUUGAAGGUGUAAAAUUGGGAACAAUAGGGAUACGAUGAGUGCAGAGAAUGGGACUAAUGCCCGUGAGAUCUUCGAGAGCUUAGCCAAAUGCUAAUCUAUGCCGUUCAAGAACAGUGACAAGUUGUUGUGUUUCAUAAUCGGAAAGCUUGUCACUGAUAAUUACUGGAGUUUUUGGGUUGUUGUGCAAAAAAACAUAUUGAAGGCCAGAAGGAAGAGGUUUUAACUCUAUCGAAGGAGGUGAAGGUUGUUCAUUUUUGUCUAGCUCAAUGGGUUCUACCAACUCUUCUUCUUCUUGAACAAAGUGUUCAUGAUUAAAGAAUGGUUGGGCCAUCUCCUUUUGAGUCAGCAUUAAGAUCUCCUCAAUAGGAUCUGAUUCAAGUUUGGGUUCCACUAUCGUGUUAAUUGAUAUAGCAAGAGGAACAACAAUAGUGGAAUUCCCAACCUUCAAGUCUAAAUGACCUCGUUGUGGUUGUUCUUGUAGAAGUUUCAUGAUUGGUCUGCCAAUCAAGAGAGGAAUCUCCGGUAUGUCAAAAAUGUGAAAAUCUAGACAUAUUCCAGAGUCCUUGAUUCUAAUAGGUACUGCCCUUAAUACCCCAUGGCUUUCUAGAAUUAAUCCAGAUGGACUUUGUAAAAGUUUUUGAGAUGGGUGUUGACGGUCCUUAAUGCUCACAUUUAACUGUCAACUAAUCAUGGAAAAGGAUCUAAAUGGAACCAACAAGCUUUCUGGCGCCGUUGCCGGGGAACGGUAGCUGUGCUAGUUUCGAACCAAGUCGUCCGUGUAUCCCUUUUCUUUUCCUUUUUUACCACACUCACCUUAUCACUUUCACCAUACCACAUGGAUUUCACUCUAAGCAUUAAUGAGCAUGGAAUUUAUUUCAUAGCCACUUCACUUACUCCAUGCUCAUAUGCAACAUCUUCACAAUCCAUUGGUCUCUCCAACAUCACCACAUUCGAGAUCUCCAACCCCCUCUUCCUUUCUAUUCAUAAAAACUUUAAAAGGGUGGUUGUCGAUGCAUAUGUCUAUAAUAAAUUUUGCAGAUCUCGUUGAGUUGAUCUUGAUAUAGGUCAGCGUUGGAGGGGAAACUGUUGAUAUUUGGUAACGCAAUAAGGAAAUGAUCGGCAAGCGCACGGAUAUCGGUGAGCAUUUCACCCGGGAGGUUAUCCAGAGUUAUCGUAUUUAUAUUUUUACUACUAGGAGAAAGGGUGCAUCUGACUAACCAAAUCUAUUGCUAUUACCCCUUUAGGCUACAAAGAAUGUUUCUCGAUGUGAGUGAUGUAUAGAGAAGACUGCAAUCGUAGUCUCGUUCUAACCUUGGUAAGGAUGAUCUACUGUUCUAUUGGGGAGGCUCACGGAAUCUAGACAACACAAAGGAUGUUCGACCCGCACCUAUAAACCUACCCGCCCUGCUAACGAGAUACGGUCUGCAAAGGUAACUCGGAAAUGUCACGUUCCUCGCUACUACCACGGUCCAGCUAGUCAGGGGAUAUCUAUGAGUACCCUAGCCUAAACACCACGUUUACGCUAGCAAGUGAUUACUCUAAUACUCAACCGGAAGAGGAUUAAAGUAAACUCAUAAACCAAAGAACAAUAAAACAAGAACUUACUAGUAAUUAGAAGUCGAAUUACUGAAGAAUCUUAGAAGCAAGCCUCGGGUUAGGAGACUUGAUCCCGCAAGUACAACUCGGAGUAGACACUGACAGGCCGGCCUUCCUCCGAUCUACACCUCCACUCUAUCUCUCUCAAUCUAGUAGAAACUAGAAGAUCUAUUUCUACUUACAUUGGUUGCUAAGCCUAAAAAGAAAUAUUAUUUAGAGAAGAGGUUUUCCUUCGAGGGCACCCCUCAAUCUCUAUGAUAAUUUCUUGUCUCCUCCAGGGGCCAGGGGGGUCUCCUUAUAUAGUCCUCAUCCUCUAUGCGUUUUUGGGUCGGUAGGCGAGGUGGUACUACAUUAUCUUUGAUCUAUUAGGUCGGUGGAACGUCGUGUGCGAAGAGAGUCCCGAACGGAGUCCAAAGGAGGGCGGGCGCCUAGGUCCUCAGGGCGGGCGCCCUGGGCCUGGCCCCUUUCGGCCUCCGCUUCCUUCCCGUGGCUUCUGGAGUCUUCUAGAUGGUAGAAAAUUGCGCGGUGCGUUGAUAUCUUUAUGUAAUCCUGACAUGUGGGCCUUUCUUACUUAUUUCCUGAUAACCCCCUGCAGAAAUAGACAAACACCAAAACUCGUGGAACUCUGUCAGAUAAAACCCUAAUUCUAGGUGUUGAUUUCAUUUGGAUCCAUUUCUUUGUUUAUUUGAUAAUUAAAUUUGGUACUUAAGGACCGUCAACAACUCCCCCAAGCUUACCUCUUGCUCGUCCCUGAGCAAGGAUGAACUCAAGAGUUUCUGCAGUGGUUUCAUGCCUUAAAGGUACACACGCAUUCAAGCAAGAUCUCAUCUCUGAGUUAGAAUAAACUGUUAAGACUUAAAACUUACUCAUUUUACCUUUCACCAUGGGGCUUGUAACCGUCACUUGUGUCUUGAGCAGUUAAAAGAUAGAACGGUCAAGUCAAGAGCCAUGUCUCUUAUUCUUGAUCAGCUAUAGCUUUAGAGUUUUUGUAGAUUUUCAAAUAAAACUCAGAGAUUCCUUAUAUGACUCUCUCAAAUCUCUCUUUUUGUGGUAUUUCUGGAUCCUUACCAAGGCAGUAAUUGUAUAUGCCUUCUCUCAAAGUAUGUGGUAUUUUUGGUAUGAGGCAUAGUGAUAUUAUCUUCUCUCUCACCCUACUCUAAUAAGGUUCUGAUAUCUGGAGCUCAUAGGUGAGAGACAGCUAAUACAUACUUACAAGACAUUUAUUGCAUAGUCAAACCAUGGAUCCAGAGAAACAAGUCAAUAAGUCAAAUCAAGAUGUGCAUGUGUGCCGAAUGAAUGAUGUAUGGUGAUGAUGGUGAUAAUAAUGGUGAAAGUCUAAUUAUACUUUUGCUCUUUUUAAGGGGAUACAUACCUUUCUUGCACUUUGAAGCUUUUUGAGGGGAAUGAGAUGCUCUAUAUUUUCUCUUUUUUUUCUUUUCUCUCAGGUGGGUAUCUUGUACCCCUAAUUCUACUGUCGGACACUUGUCCAUUUUUACCUCUCGUCUCACUUUUUCUUUUCUUUCGAGGUUCCGGGCACUUGCCCCUUUUUAUUUCCUCGUAUUAUUUUUUUUUCUUCCUCUUUUUUUUAGAGCACUCAUCUCCUUAAAUAAUAUAGCAAGUGGUAGUAACCAACAUAACUCGAGCAUUUAUUUCACAGGGAAUAACAGGGAUAGGAUAAUGUUUUUGGCUAUUCUCUCCCAGAUUAGGAGUAGAAUAAUUUUGGGUAAUCUGGAGAUGGAAAUGAGUGGAUAUAUGUGGAUGGUACUUCCGGAGUAGAAGUAGCAUGUAUGAGUGAACGUGCAAGUGAAUCUUGAUUUUAACCACAUGACAAGCUCCUAAGGGUCUACAUAGCUUGACCACACUCAAUGCUCAUAAGCAGUAAAAAAUAUGUGGCUCAAAGUCUAGCAAGCAUGUAUAUAUGGCUGUGGUAGGAAUUUAAACUCUCAUCAUACAGGAACUCAUCAUGUGUUAUUUUAAAGAUUUUUUCAAAGAUAAAAUUCUCUAGAAUUCUAGCAUCUCUAGGAACAGAUAAACAGCAGCUCAACCUUCCCAUAUCAUAUCCGUUAACAACUUAGACUUUUGAUCAGGUACUCCUCCCACAAGUUUAGUUUAGAGCAAAUCUUACUUCAUAACAGUCAUGCCUAAACUUGAGAGAGAUUUCAGUUUUAAGAACUAGUCAUGGCAGAGCAACUAUUCAUCAUUUCCAUGUGAGAGCUUAUCAUGAGGGUUCAUAGCAAACUUUAUUUAUUUAUUUAUUUAGCAAACUAAGAAAAUAUAUAUAUAUAAAAGCACAAAAUCUUUAUUUGGGUUUUCAUGAUUAUGCAUCUUUUAUUAUUUGAGUAAAGUAUAAACGCAAGUAGAAACACUUAGCUGGAUAAAUGGGGGUGCUCUCCCCCAAGCUGGAUUUUGACGUAAUUUCUUCUGAUGUAGCUAGCAGGUGGCAGAGGUGUAUUUGAAAGUCAGCAGCAUUUUGACAGCGAUUAGAAUGUCCUCCGUCUGCUAGUCUUCUUGAUUCCUAAAUUCUGUAGAGCUCAAAUAGACAAUAAAGCUUUGUGGAACUGGGUAAGUGUUAGCACAAAUAUCUAGCCUUUAUCAUGUUGAGCCUCCUCAAUAAAUAUUACUUAUUUAGCAGGAUCAUGCACUUAUUAUUUUUAUAUUUUUAUUGUAAGAUGAAAACAUAUUUAUUUUAUGCCACCAGUGAAUGUACCUAUGGGUUCUAUGCCAUGAGCAUACUUACAUGGGGCUUACUAUUUUUUUAACAUUUUUAUUUUCUUUUCAAGAUAGCAUGAACCUGAUUAACUAAGCAAACUAUAAUUGAAUAAUUGAAAGGAAAAGGAUAACUACCAAGUUUACCUCUUGGCAAGGCGUUCGGUGUUUUUAAGUCCUCCGAACGGGACUCUUCGUUUUCUCAGUCGUCCUGGGAUUCGUUAGGUGGCGUAGUCGGUUAUUCCGGCGGCGCCUCCUCUUCGUGUAUAACUAUCUUCUCCCUCCACACCUGACUCGGUGCUACGGUCUCCUCAGGGCAGUUCUGUUUAAGCCGUAUGUCUUCAGACCUUAUCACUUCUCCUUCGUAGUCUGCCCAUCCGUCCUUGAUGAUUUGCCUCCUCUGGUUGCGGUUGUGUCGUCUUCUUCUUGUCCUGACUUGUUUAGAGUCUUCAACUAUAUAGUUAAGGUCAGUAAAAUAGCGGCGUACCUUCUCAGAGGGGAAGUGCAUGUGGACUUCUCUGGUUCCAAUAUAGAUGAUGGCUUUGAUAGUGUUGAGGAACGGUCUUCCAAGGAUGAUGGGUGGAUCGUACUCGUCUUCUCCCAUGUCAAUGAUCUGAAAAUCAUCUGGAGCUGAAUAUAUAUUGGUUGUAGGGGCAUGGUUCCAUGCUGGAGCUGAUAAGUGACUGCGGCCAUUAUGUUGUCGUUAGAUCCGGUGUCGUAGAGUGUCUUCUGAAAAGAGUAUCCAUUGAUUGUGCACUCAAUGAUUGGAAUACCAGGGUCGUCCUUCUUGAUCUUGAGUCGACGAUCUUGACCUCCUCCGACAAGGAUCCAAUGUUUUAAGUCCUCUGGACAAGACUUCUCACCGUCUUCAUCCUUUAGGUGCAUCAUUUGAUUAGGUGUGGACCUUGACGUCUGCACCUCUUGAUACAGUGUCACCCAUGUUCUUCGAUUGCCCAG